GGGAGGGAGGUUUGAUAUAGAUCUGAUGGAGAUCAUUACUUGCAUGAAUCUCAAGUACGAGAAUGUUCAAUUUCCUACCUCGCGAAAGAUGGAUAGGUUUUCCGGUCCAGCUCUCCGUCAAGUAGGCCCAGUAGCUUGGUACUAUCUCUCACUCGGCCCAAACGAGGCUACCGGGCCGCUAGUUCCAGCUACUGGGCCAUGGCUUAAACAGCCGCCGGUUGGAUUUUGUUUCUCAAUCACACAAUGAUCGGUUGGUUUUACUACAGUCUACAUUGUGAUUUCGAGUAAACUGCAACGGAGGACAUUUGAUCUUUUAUGCCACAGAAUGUCGUUGUUCGUUACAAAAUAUUACUCCCUCCGUUCAUUACGAAAUAUUACUCCCUCCAUCCUAAAUUAUAAAUCGUUUUGAUUUUUUUAGAUGUAUAGAUUUUACUAUAUAUCUUAACACAAUGUAUAUCUAAGUGCACAGCAAAAUGUAUGGAUCUUAUAAAGUCAAACGACCUAAGGACGGAGGGAGUAUUGUUUAAUGCAUCAGGCUACCACAAUUUGCUUGGAAGGCUUUGUUGUUGAUGUACUGUCAUUUGGCUUUUCAGAAAUGUGGAGAUUAGAUUCAGUCUACGUGGAAUAGUAGGGCAAAAGUAAACUGAUUGCCUUGUCAAUCCGAAAGGUAUUUUCAGCUGGGCAUGUUCCAUCACAAAUAUGGUUAGUUUAUCUUCUCGUAUGGCGGUUUUACGCUGUAGUGCGUGGCUGGAGAAUCUUAGAGCGUGUUUGAGACUGCUCCCAUCCAAUUUUUUCAACUCCGCUUCCAAACCAUCUUACCAAAUACCUACAGCUCCAACAAUCCCAACUACAAAAAAAAAGGUAGAUCUAGAGGGCAACUCCAAGGUUUUUCUGAAGUACCUCAAGGGGUGCUCAUAAAAUUCAUGUUUGAUAACUUUUCAUGGAGCUGUGGGGUAAUUAAUCACCAUGCCACUGAUUACACACGUGUCGAUUCGCUAAACAAAACAAAUCAGCGUUGUUCUCCCAUCGCCCCCUCCUCAGACUAGUGCUGCCACCUACGGAUUGGGCACUGUCGGCCCCAAUCUCCGGCGAAAAUGGAUGCUGAGACUGCAACCGCCGUCGCCGCGUUCCAUGCCGCGCCGGGGCUGCAGGCACUGGGCUGCGCUGCCGCAGCUAGCCGAGACGCGCAGUGCCGCUGCUUGUGGUCGGUCGUAGGGGCGACAGGGCUGCCGCGCUGGUGCUGCAAGCGCCGCCGCCGCGCUGGUCAGUAGCAGGGGCUCCGUCUUCUAUCCUUUGCAGGUCUCCAGCAUCUUCUCCAUUGACUCGCGCAAAGUAACCAUAGCUUAUUCCUCCCCAAAUCUGAGCAGAAAAAGAAAUCAAAAUCAAGAAUAAGAAAGGAAGGCGAGUAUCCACAACACGCCUACCCGGUGAGAGUCUGGAGCGUUGCUCCUCCAAGGCUCCGACCUCAUGUGCGACUUCACACUUGUGCAGGCGGCAUUCCAGGUGCCACCACAUGCUUGGUUGUCCUGGUCUUGCGCUGUCGCAGGUCUUGACCAUCAAUUCAGGCAAGCUGUGACUGUGUGAUGUUCUUAUAGGUCCAUCUAUCUGUCGAUUUCAUCGAUUUCGUCACCGAUUCCUUCAAAAAUUAGGCAAGCUACGACCGUCUCUCUCUGAAUCGAGACGUCAAUUCCGACGGCGAUGCAGAUCCCACGUCGAAGGUUGGAGCGACCGAGUGGGGUAGGCCAUUGGGUGGGACGAAAAUAGGGUAGCAGGGUGACGGGAGGCUUGGGGUGGUCGGCGGUGGUCACAGAGGCGAGCUCCGGCGAGAGGGUCGGACAUGGCACGGGUGGUGCGGGUUGGAAGGGUUAGGAAAAAAGAAGAGGAAGAAGAGAAGAGGGAGAAAAGAGAAGAGAUUGACGUGUGGAUCCAUUCACAAAGGGUAAAAUAGACUAUUCAUAGCAAGUCUUCAUGUUUUUGGAGCUGGAGUACUGCAACUAGAUAAACACGUACAACAACUCCAUAUUUUUCUAGAGUUGGUGGAGUGGAGUUGAAAAAAAUGAAGUUGGUGAAGUGGAGCUGUUUUUCAUGAGGUGGAGCAGUUCCAAACACGCCCUUAAUCCUUGACGGAAAUUAUCUUUUUUCGCCCUCGUCAUCAAGAUCCCUACGAUGUGCAAGACCUAAUUGACGUCUAACGAUGGCAUCCAGAUCUGGAAAUAAAUAAGAGCUUUCACUAACUACGACCAUAUGCCAAAACGGAGCUUAAUUAUAUUAUACAUCGCUUGCAGCAUCUACGCCGAACCCACGCGCUCUGCGUGGAUUGGAUUAACACCUGCGUAUAUAUAUGCGAAUUAUGCAAAAAAGAGACGAGGGCAUUGCAAUGCUUCAGCUCACGACGCUUCCUGAAACAUCAGAUUGUUCGGAGCAUAUCAGAACCCACUCACUCAUCAGUCGCUCGACAGACGGAGCUCCACUUUUAGGGACAGAGAGCUACAGCUACUGACGAAUAUGAGAAAGAGAACUGAUCCGCUCUUGCUCCGGAGUGGGAAUCCAGGAUUAUUAAUUCCAAAUUUUCCAACACGACAUGCAAAUCUUAUCUCCAGGGUUUUUGCAUUUUCUGGAGAAGAUCAUCGAUCAUGCGAGUACGCGGGGAAUCGCAUUUUUCUGGAAUUUUGUUGUGGGGGAAACAGCAAGCAUAAUUGCUGUAGCUGACUGUAUAAUCUGCAACAGUGUAAAUGUUCCAAUGUUCAGCGUAGCUGGCUGAUGCAUGUGCUCUCUCUCUUUUAUUUUACAUGGGAAUCGAAAGAUUAAUUUAAUAGCUAUUCCUCCACGAAAAAUGAUCAUCGUUCCUUUUGCCACCAAGGAACCUUAGCUAGAAAUCUCAUAUGUGUAUAGUACAAUGCAUUAUUGCUUGAUGUCUGCCAUGCAUCUGUAACAUGCACAAACUUCGAUUCUCCAUGUUGGUCUUGGAUGAAGAUCUGGCUACAUUUUUUUGAAAAAAUGACUAUCAAUAAAUAACUAAUAGUAUAUUCAGUUUUGAAACAUGAAAGUUAUAUAUUCAGGAAAAGACUUCUUAUUACGAUCAUAAGUUUAUUAGAUUUAUAAGUAUAUCCUAAUAUAAAAUAAAGGUGUGGGUUAUUAUACAAAACAUCGAUUGUUAGCAUUGCGACCUGAGGAGAAAAUUUUAAAUUAGUCUCUAGUACCAUAUUCCUUCUGUUCUAAGUUAUUUUCUAGAUACAUAGUUUUUAUUAUAUGUCUAGACAUAACGUAUAUCUAGGUACGUAGUAAAAAGUAAAAAAAUUAUAUACAUAAAAAGCUAAAACGACUUAUAAUUUGGAGUGCAGUUCUCUCAAUUCCUACCUUUUUAGACAAAGAAAUCGUCUUUAUCCUGACCUCUCUUUCUGUAAGACAUGCACUUAAUCAUUCAAUAUUACAAGUCUCAGUUAAUAGCUACAAAAAUAGCAACAAACAGUAGAAUAAUGUUUACAAAAGGGUACUGUUUAAGCACAAAUCCUGUAACUGAACACCCACCCGUUGUUGACGAAGGUCUCCGUCCGUAUAUGAUCGUACCUUCAAAGUUCGUCACACCCAUUUCAUCUACACUCCAUGCUAUUACACGAACUAAAUCUCGGGCCCUUAUCUUUAGUUGUAUCUUCCUAAUCUUUAAGGAAAAACUUGAAUUUAUUCUGGGGUAUAUUCAGCAGCAUAUGCAGUAUACAAACUACAUGGUCAUGGACACGCGUAGCAUAUCGACACUCGGGAAUCAGGAUAUAUGUACAUGAAUGGGCCACGAAGCCGGCCUCGUCAGCAAUCGAUCCAUUAUCGAUCAAGAACCAAGAUCUUUACCGGCCUGUCCGGCUGUGCGUAAAGAUCAUGUCGGCUGUGCGUGGAUAGUGCUAGCUGCCUAGCUGGAUGGUGUUAUUGAUCUCCCACUCCCUGCAGAGUGACCUAACCGAUCGAUCAGAUUCAGAGCACAUAGGACGCCAUGCACAUGCAUGCAGAGCUAGCUGCUAGCUGCUACUUGCAGCUUUGGGUGGUAUCCCGUAUCCGAAUCCGAGAGUGAUCCACGAUACAUUAUCCAGGCCCCGCUAGCGAAGUGGUGGUGGCAUCCAUCCAUUCCAGCAAUGCAUGCAUGCUUAUGCUUCACGCCUUCACUGUUCUAUUCUAUGUAGAGGUUAAAAUUAAACAUAGGAUGGCCGUAUACUAGCUAGGACAAAGAGACGAGGAGCUAUAAUGAUGGAGCUCUUUUACGGUGCAUUAUACUACCACUUAGUGGUAUAUAGCAUCCAUUAGUAAUAGUAAUAUAGUAACUACUAUUAAAAUUAUUAAUUAAGGUUCGAUUAGUUUUUUUUUCCCGAUCUGCCUUGCGAAGUCCAGACCGCCGCCCACGGCCGGCUCUCCCGAUCUUUUCCACGGUGCACCAUGCGCGUGCCUGGCGCACCAUACCGCCAAUGCCCGGUCGUCCGGUCCCUGCCCGUCCGCCGCUGUAGCAGGGCGCGUCACCGGCGAUCUACCUUGGCGCAACGUGCCUCUCCUGCCCGGCUGCCUGCCGCACCAGGGCUUGUCCCGGAGCACGAGCGCUUCCACACCCACCUCGGGAAAACAACGGCGUUGAGAGGGAUCAGGUCGCUCAUGUCCGGACGGAAGGCGGUGGCGCCAUUCAUUCCUCGCGUGCCGAGUUCGGGUUUGUGACGGCCUGAUCCAGCACCUCCACGUCCAUCCUCUUGUCCCAAAGAAGAGGAAGAUAGUAAAAGAGGCUGCGCUGCACUACUCGCCAUGUUUGAUGCCAUAGCCCUGGCUUCAGUCACAUGUUCUUGUGUACAUUUGCUCACCAGCUUUCGUCUUAGAAACCCCAAUUUAACUGAUGCGGUCAUGUUGCACGAAAUUUUACGAAAUAAUGGUACACACUUUGUAUUUGAGUCAUUUAAUUUGCACAACCCAAUCUCCCCUCUUGGCAACCUUGUGGCAGUUUAACCAAAUAAACUUCAGUACAUGAUGUUUGCAUCGAAAGAUGGCCUCUGACCAUAUCUAUACUAGCAGCACAAAGCCUCAUGGAAUGCGCGCCGUCCUCGGUCACCCGUUCUCUCCAGCCGCUCGGCACCCCGCACCUGGAAUGGUGCCUCCGCCCAUCCGUCCACACGCGACAGAAACGAAACGCCGGUGCAUUGGAUCGAUAGGAUGGAUAAGAUCCGAAAUCAUAGAUGGAUGUGGGCCGGGCUCUAUUUGGGUAUGGGUAGGGCCAUGACGAAAAUAAUUAAAAUUAGAUAGAUGCCAUUCCUAUUCUUUUUCCCCAUAAUAUAUCAUGUAUACUACCCAUACCACUAGUAAAAUUUUUAGCAGUAUACAAUUAAUCUCAACCAUAUUUUUAUACUAGUCUUUUUCGAACACUAGUAUAGCUUAGUAUAAUGCACCGUAAAAGAGCUCUGAUGAUGAUGCGGUAACAAGUCGAAAACAUGCGAGUAUUCUAAACACGAAAUUAGCUUUUUAGGAAAUGGAUAGAUUUCUCCGACCUUUGCGACCGCACACAGUCAAAAUCAAAACACGAAAUUAGCUAGCCUAGCCUCUAGCAGCUUGCUAUCCGCUUUUAAUUUCUAGCUACCAUACCGAACUGACUGAUUGAGCUGAUUCCAUUGCUGCAUACAUGUUCAUGUCUCUCAAGUCGAUGCUGUACGUGCAUGCAUGUAUCAUCCAUCAUGAACGGACGAUGGUCUGAUAAAACCGAACUGAAUUCCCUGAAUUUCUUUUACAUGUGAUUGAUAUAUCAUUGACGGAUGAGCCUGAAGCAGCACUAUAUACCAUAUACACUACCCAAACCCAAGAAUAUAAUCUGAUACCCGAUUCCAUUAGUGAGGACGACGAGAGGCGAGCUGAUGACGGUGCAGGCAUGCAUGCAGAAAGGUUUGGUUGAACAGCGACAGGUUCCGACGGGGAAAGGAAUUAUAUGCGCAGUGCAGUGCAGCCUGCAGCAUUUUCUUCGUCAGCACGACGGAACGCUGCAAGUUAGGGUAGCAGAACUGACAGCUGAGAUAUUUACCCGUCAGAAUAGCAUACGUGAUAACUGGCCACUUGCACACGCACCAGGACUUCUCCCAUGGACACAGAUGGCUCAACUGAAACGAAUGAAGAAGCAGCAAAAGUGAGACAAGGUUUUUGAUCUGACCCCCGGUUCGAUCAUUCACUCCCACCAUAUUUAUUUGUUUGUUUGUUUUUACCAUUAUCAUAAAAUUAAAAAAGUCUAAAAUCAUGCAAGACUAACGUGAGUUUUAUAACAGAGCAGAAAUAGACUAGGCACCCUAGCUAGCUAGAGAGAAAAGAAAAAGGAAGGAAAAGAAAAAGACCUUAUUAGCUGAUAUGUUAAAGAGUGAAAAGCAGAGAAAGGUGCAAGAGAAGGUAGGGUGGAAAUAUGACAAAUACCACACAAAACCCUACCAGCAGGAUGCAGCAUCUGCUUUCCAUUUUGUACGACCUGUCAGUUAUUAAGCGAGAGCCAAUCGCGGUUCGAUAGGUGGGAUGACAAAAAGGUUUGGAUCGGGAGUCAUCAUGCACGCCAUUGACAAAUGACAAGCAUGUAGACUGUAGAUCAGUGGGUGAUCAGCGGGCAGGCGCGCACAUAAUGAUACGGCUUGGUACUACGCUGACUUCGGUUCGGCACAGCCACAUGUGUACGCAUAUCUUGGACAGAAUUUUAAGUUGUGAAUCUCCAUUCAGCCCGUUUCUUCCUUCUUCGAUGACAUUGAUAUGUGUUCCCAUUGUAUGUAUGGUCGUUAUCGGUCCUCGCGGAGGCAACAAAAGGGUCCGACCGCUAUAGCUUUCAUAUUUGACAUUGGUAUAACGAGUCCUUUUUUGAUAAUAGAUGUAACUUUGAUUCCCAGUGGACUAUGCCAUUUUACUAUUGCUAAUUGAGGCUCCUUUUGAAGCCACCAGGUGAAGCCACCUAGGAUUCUAGGUGAACACUCUAGAAAAAGAGAGAAAUUCUCCCAAAAAAGUAAAACAUCUAGCCAUCAUAGACUCAGAAUCAUCAUAGCCAUUGGAUCUAUUAUGUUUUUUUAAAAAAUUACUCAUUAUGAAAAUAGCCUAAAGUAACCCCGUAAAUCUAUAUCUAAAUUACACACCUCUGCCAUUACAUAAAAUAAACUAAAGUAACCCCUAAUCUUCAUCAAAAUUAUCCACUUAUGCCAUUAUAAACAAUAUUUAAAAUAACCCCUAAAUUUGCAACCCAAUCGCCCACCACUAAUACUUAAAAAUAACCUAAAGUAACCUCUUAAAUUUGCAUCUAUAUUACCCACAUAUGCCAUUAUUAAAAAUAACAUGAGGUAACUAUACAUUUGAACCCAAAUCAUCUUAAUUAAAAAUAUACACCAAUAUAUGAUUCUAAACCGUCUAUUUCUUACACUAUUAGUAUAUGAUAUAACAAUUAAGGUAUAUAAAUGUGAUGUGUGUCACCAUUUAUAAAGAUAUAGUGAAAAUAUUGAGAAUAUAGAUUUAUGUGUUGAAAUUAUACUCCAUUCAUCCCAAAUUACUAUUUGCUUUGGCUUUUCUAGAUACAUAACUUUUGAACAAAUUCAAGCACAUACCUACAAUAUGAAGUGAAAAGUUAAAGAUUAUAAACGUGGAUAAAAAUGUUAUAGACUAAUUACUAACUAAAAUCAAUCACAAUCGAAUGAAGAUAAUAACUAUAUAUCUAUGCAAGUAUUGUGUUCGAAUAUUUAACAAAUGAGAGGUAGCUCAAGGUAAUAGUUUUGUAGUUCCAUUGGAGACUCUGCAUUAGUUCUCACAAAACAUGCUAGAAAAAAGACAAAUCCUAAAAAUUCUCACAAAACUUAGAAACACCCAACAUCAAUCAUGUAAACUCUAAUAAUCAUAGUCACUGGUCUAUAUUAUUUUCUAAAAAAAUACCCACCAUAAUUCUAAAAUAAACCCUUGAGCUCUCCAAUGGAAAGAAAAAUGAGGCCACAUUGCUACUGAGCUCUGUCAUUAUGAAAAAUAAACUAAAGUAAUUUUAUAAGACCACAUUGCUACUGAGCUCAAAAAUAUGUUUUAUAAUGACAUAGCUCAGUAAUUUUAUAAGUUACCCACCAUAAUUUAAAAAUAAACCCUUGAGCUUUGUCAUUAUAAAAAAUAAUCUAAAGUAAUCCCAUAAUAUUCAUCCAAUUUACGCAUGCAUAUCAUUAUAAAGCAUUGCUUAAAAGACCAUUCUAAAUUUGUAUCUAAGUUACCCACUAUGUCGUAUCAAAAAUAACCUAAAGUAAACUCUUAAAUCUUAAUCUAAUUAUCUUAAUGUGCAUCAUAUAGAAAUGUUUAAAAGUAAACUAAUAUAUGAUUCUAAAUUACUUAUUUAUGUUAUUGUUAAUAUAACAAUACUAAGUUAAGGUAUAUACGCAUGAUGAGUGUCACCAUGUAGACUAGUUAUACAUGUACGGGAGGAAGUGACAAAAAAUAUUGAUUUUUAUACUAAACACAAUGUAUGGAGGUGCAAUACAAAAUAAAAGAGAUUGGAUGUGGAUGAAAAAGUGUAUAGAGUAAUUACUCUUCAACCACAACUAGACAAACAUAAGUACACGUCUAUACGAGUAUUAUAUUGAAGUAUUUAAAAAUGGGAGAGUAGUAGGUAAAGAGUUUUGAUUAUUAAUUAGUACAAGUUUAAUUUCUAAAUAAUUUUAAAAUACAAUAGCUUUUAAAAAUAUUAGCCCGUGCCUCCGCAUGGGCUGAUGGACAAUUUAAUAAUUAACUUGCUUCUACAGAAUAUCUUUGGUAAUGCGACACGGAUACAUGGACUAAUUGUGGAUGAUCAAGUAUUAGAAAUCGUGUCGAUGUUCUAGUAGGGUCCUUGAAGUUAAAGGCCUACUAAUUAAGAUCGAAGUAGUGCAUUCCACCACGGAGGAUACAUGUAGGCCAUCGAUCAAUCUCUGAGCUCCAGUGCUAAAGGCUGUAAAAGAGCCCACCGCCCAAUGCGAAGUGGCGAGCAGUCAUGUGUCCAAGGAGAAUGUACAAGGAUUCAUGUAGGCAAGUUGGGAUGCACAUCUGUGCCACCCACGACUAGCUUGCUCGAAGCUAAGUAGGGCCAGCCGAGCACCAUGCAUAUGCAUGCACGGAGCGAGACCAACAAUGAAGCUUGCAUCCAUGAUCUUGUCUACGCAACGAUCAGCAGCCUAUAUAAAGAUCAUGUCUGUGGUGUAGAUUAGUUUGAUUUACCCAGUGCACAGGAGCAGAUCAUGCAUUCAUUUGACACGCGCCAUUCCACGAGCACCGGGCCUUGAGAGAAAACCCAAGGCCCUCACGUCGCUCUCAAAAGCGGCUUGGGGGCGAUACAUCCAGCCCUCCGCUGCAUCCUCCUAACCCUAGGCCGACGGCCGACCGGCCGCCGGCGGCCCGAAGCCGGUGCUGCUCGCGUUCCCUCUCCCCUUCUUUCCCUCCCUUCCUCUCUUCUCUCCCAACCACACACCUAGGUCGCUCCCUUCUCCUUCGUUGUCGGCGAGGCUACUCCGGCCCUCCGGUCGUCAGAUCCGCACCUCCCAAUGCCGGAUCCAUCCUCUUUGGGCCCGGAUCUGAGGUCUCCCGGGUCGAAGCAGCUAAUCGUCGGUGCGUUUGAAGGGAAGGGGAAGGAGGCGGCAGCUCGAGGUUCUGCGGCCUCCCGAGUCGUCUCCCGCAGCAGGGGCUCGGCAGCUGCCGGCGCACCUCUCGUUGGCGGGGCACGGAGGUCGGCGGCGCGGCGAAUCGCGGUGGGGGCCUGGCGACCGGCACCUCGGCACACGACGCGCCUCUUAGUGGCGGAGCACGUGGCCGGCGGCGCUACACCCCAUGGCGGGGCUGGCUGCCGGCAGCGCGGCGCUCCACCGACCCACCGCCGCAAGAUCCUACCUUUUGCGCUCACAGCAGCUCUGGAUCUGCAUGGUCCCAGGCGCUGGCGCCAGGCUUCACCGGGCUGUCACCGCUGGGGCGCUCGGGGGCUCUCACUCGGGUGUUGUCGCCGCCACCACCACCUACCUCCCGGGGUCCUCGGGGGCUCUCACUCGGGGCUGGCUCGUAGGCUUCCGCCCUGCGCCGGUGUGGAUCCGCCCCCCAACGACAUGGAUCCGCCCUCCCCAGUACAACUGCUCCCGCUGUUCAAGGCGGUCUUCUCCGCCGGUGAAGGUGUGGGUCGGCUGACACUGGACCCACCCUCCCCCGACCCCACCCCCACCUAGAUUUGCGUGCGCCACUUCUGAUCAUCAUCGUCGAGCCUCGGGAGCUCGUCAUCGUCACCGCCGUCGCCACUUGUUACGCUACUCGUGUAGGCGCUGGGUGCCCUUGAGCCUCCUGUUCCAUUGCCCAUCCUUGGUCGUGUAGGUGCCCAUUGCCGGGCCUUUGGUCAUGGGGAUUCUUCCCCCUUUGGUCGUUCGGUUGGUGGGAGUUCUAGGGUGUGUGCUACCGCUCGUAUCUACUGGCGCUCCUCUCCGGGUGAUGCUGCACUAGCUGUUUUGGUCGUUGGGUGGCGGUGGCGUGCUCUUUCAUUUCUCGUUGGCGCGUUUUUGAUCAUCUUUGGGCCAUCACGGUCGCCCAUGGUCGUCUGGGCCCUUCCUUCUUCUCAAUGGUGCCUGCAGAUGUUCCUCAUCAUCGUCGCCUUGGAUUACUCGUUGCCAUCCCAUCGCAUUGGCUAUCAUCCAGGACUCGACGGUCGUCUGCUGCGUGGAGUUAGUUUUGGGGGCCUUUGGCGAAAGCUUUGCCUGGCAUUCACCAGUGCUGACAACGGUUGCAUCCUUUAAGGUAGCUUACCUUGCUGGGGGUGUUGUUGCGGCCACCAAACCCAUUUGAUUUCACCAAGUGAAGACUUGGACUGCUCCUCUGUGGACAUUCGGACGAUGACGGUGUUGGCGUCGCUCCCUCCUUGGAGGCAUCAUCUUGCAUGACCUUCUUGCUCUGCCUCCACUGGCUCCGGGUUGUUAGGCAACCGGUGAUGUGCAUGUGUUCUUGGUGCCCUUCUAUCCUGCAUGUAUCGGUCGUCUUAGGUCGUGUUUGGUGUGGUGGUGUUGUAAGUUUCUUUUCUGUUGUGUUUGUGUUGCUUGUCGUUAUUGUAACUCUGCGCUUUGGGGUCUCUCCUGAAGUGGCUUCAUUGUAACCCUCUUCUUCUUAAUGAAAAACGUGCUAUGCAUGUCUUAAAGAAUAUAUUUAGUAGAUUAUAAGACGUGCAAAAGUAACACAGGCAUACAAGUAUUUUUUAUAAUAUAUAUAAUUACCUAGAUUUGUAAAGUAUUUGAAAUGUAUACAAUUUAUGUGUAAAGAAACACAUGCAUAUUUGAAACUUUGUUGUUAUGAGUUCACAUAUAGUUUUUAUUCAAUUAAUGCCCAAAGUUAGAUAACUUGCCUAGCCGCACACCUUAUGCAAUACGCCAAUACCGUACAUUUGCAAACAUUGAUGGAUCAACAAAGGGAUUAUGGCAGGUUACUAGCUGCCACACCAUUAAAGUAGGGCUGAGGUGUGUUUGAGGAAGAUAAAGAGGGCAAGAGGAGUACAACGGAGAUAAGAUGUCGAAGAAAGCACUACAUGUGAAGAUCCAGCACAUGUCGCCCUAUGCUACUUUAUGUUUGUCAAUGCUAAUGAACGGAGGUAGUGCAUAACGAUCAUAAGGUACGUUGCAUGAUAAAAAUCUAACAGUAUCCUUUUCAUUCACCGUAACAUCUAGGCAAAGAAACACCGCCUCGCCUAGCGCCUACUGCCUAGCGCUUUUGAAACAUUGACUUUAACCAUGGAUACCAAUGAAAGUUUAUUAAUUUGAAUAGCGGAGUCAAAGGAGGAGAGAGCGGGAGUACUGCUCAGAGAGGCACAUAGCUUUUCCUUUGUUCUUCUCUCUUUAACAACGUUCUGUUGAUAAUGUUAGGCUAUCAAUUUGAACAUGUAUGACGCUUUUGGUUCUAAGUUUACUAUACAUUAAAAUCUAUUGUUAAACUGGAUCAACCUUCUUUUAAAAAAAACUGGAUCAACCAGCGAGCGUGGUUUCUCAAUUGGCAACAAAUGAGAAAAUCUUCACAUUGAUUUCUUGGAGAGAUUGAAAAAACAAGGCCUCUUCUAUAAACUGAAAAAAAAAACCCUGAAGGACAAGGACACGCAUGCGUGGACCAUAUGGCACUUAAAACAAAGUCGUCUGGACGACUUUGGAGCAUACCCUAUCCUGCCAAUAUCUUUUUUUUAGAAAAAAUGCCGGCUAGAAGAUAAUUAAGGCCACAAUUACAACGUUAAUCUCAGGCCAAUGGAGGCGCACGGACUCCAUCAGACGGUAUGCAAAGCAAAUGUCUGCAGUGCAAUUCGCUACAAGUGUAAUAAUAUGCAUGGACGUGAUUGUCUUUUGCCUCACAAGAUAAUCUUGUUUCAACUAAAAAGGAUAUCAGCAGAUUAUAUUAACAAAGCAGGGUGAGUGGCCUUUUCUUUUCUACACUGCUUGAUCGAUCUUUCUAUCCUGAUUGAUCAUGUCUAUGUGUUUUGAUUGGAUACUUACACUGCUGAAUGGACACGCACUCAUGCAUAUUAAGCAUAAUUAUAAGCAUGCACAGAUUUCACGCCCCAUACGUUACUAACUCCUCCCUCGCAACCAUAGUGGAAAGGGUGAAAGCCAAAAGUGUUACUGCAGUGGUGGUCUGUUCAGUGAUACUUCUAGUUUAUUAGGCGUUGUGGCCUGUUCUGCAUGGCCAGCCUUUCAUGUGUCCAAGGGCCAUAUUUUUGGCUGCUAGGGGAGCAUCACGCAUUAGCUAAGAUGAACUAAAUUGGAUAUCUUUCCUUGAAAAAGGGAACGAGAGCUUCAAAAGAAACCACAGGAUUGGUGACAAAAUUUUCGAAAUGUUGUCAUUUUAAUUGUUUCAAGUGUACCAAGGUGAUUUCCGAAAUGAAGACUGAUUCUGCAAUGUGGGAAGUAUAAUUAUCAGGAAAAUGUAUGUGAGCUCACUUCAUUCUAUUUGGCAAUCAUAGGUUGUGCCUUGAUCGAAAGUGUUUGGGGUUUGCUUGAAUUUCUGCGAAACAUUUGCAUACUUAAUUUAAAGAAAGAGAAAAGGCAAAAAAAAAUCCGCAUAGGUUAGUUUGUCAAGAAAAAAAAUUAUUAUAGCUCGUAUUUUCAUUGUAGCAUCCGUAUGUCUUUCUUAUGUCAAAUCCCCCUAGCGCCGCACUCAACUAUAUGAUGUGACAUUGCAUGGAUUCCACGUACAAUUCUUUUCGAAGAUAACUAAAAUUUAACUAGCUGAGGUGUUUGGAUCCAUGGAUACCCUUCAUUAAUUGCUGUACAGUGUCAGUGGGAAAUUCACGUGAACUGGUAGGGUUAUUUUGGUCUUUUAGCUCGUUUAGCUGGGUGCAUUUUUUGGCCUGUAGCUAAAUAGCUAUCCCUAGCAGCUUAUGCGUAAAAAGGACCUAAAUAGCAGGUUAGAGAGCUGAAAAAUCCAGACAAAGACUACAUUAUGGUAGGGCAUUUUCGUGUAUUAUUCCUAUAUAGAAUUGUUAUAGAGAUUCGUUCAGACUCAACAUAUAUGACACGGCUAAGCGGUGGUUAAUCGAAUGAUUACAUGGCACUAAACUGUUGUUAAGGUGAGGUAGAGAUGAUUAGUGCACAUAUUUAUUUAGUUAAUGAGUGAUUUGCAACAGUUAAAACAUAAGAGAUUAAAGUCAAACUUUUACGAUACUUAAGGGAUGAAAAUACAUGUUUUCCUUUAUCUCUUCUCAUCAAGAUCAACAAAUUAUGGAUCAUCUACUUCGAAGUUAGGCAGCCUAAUUAGGCACACUCCCAACAAGACUCAUGAAAAGGCAGAAAUAUAUAUGCUCCAACCAAAAGUAGAGUAUAUAUGCAAGUUCCCUACACAUAUACCGUGACGUGUGCAACCUUUGCAAAAUAAAAGGAGGAAUCCAUGCAUUCUCAGCUCAAUUCUGAUGGCUCAUAAAUCGCCGUCUGAGCUUUAAAGCAAGCAUGCUUUGUUUAGUUAAUUCACGGAGGGAUCAUAACUACCACAGCAGGACAUUAUGCAUAUCUGCAUGAACACACGGUAUAUAACCCCGAGAAUGCCAAAUCCAAAGGAAUUCAGCCCAUGCAUGUGUGUUCUUUAUCCCUUGUAGGGUAGAGCAGAAUCGAUCUCUCAGUUUCGAAUGGUCCUGUCGAUCUAUAUGAGCCAUGCACACUGGAGAGUGAAUUAUUUGCAUAUUUUACGGGUACAAUUCCAUAUUAGUCACCCCAUAAGCUAUUUGGUGGUUUCUGCGGCGGUGUAGCUUCCUUCUUACACUGCUUCUGGAAUAUAUGCUGCACAAGUGAAGUUACAGAUGUGCCAUGGCAUAUAGCAUCUGGUAGUAGUUUUCUUUUCCUCGAUCAAGCACCUUGUCUUCUUAACUUUAUUAUGUGCACCACAGGCGAAAUGAAUAUAUCUUGAGCCAAACAGAAAUGGGAAAUCUGAAAAGAGUACAUGUGUCUAGCUCCCAUAUUGAGCAAAGAAUCUUGCACGAACUUCGCAUGAUAUUUACAGAGAUCAAUAAAAGUCCGAAUCCUACAACAAUAUUCACUUUCGAUUUCUUACUAUGUUCAUCCACUGAGCCAGAAUCUUAUGAAAAAUUAUUGCACUUAAUUUUUAUCUCGUUUGCUAUAUUGUAAUCAUAUAUGUGACUAUCCAUGCCAAUAUUUUUUUCUAUUUAAUUUGGUAGCUAAACUCCACCGUAUAAUUGAGAGAGAUCUUAGCUAAUGUUUGGUGAAAGCAUAUGGAAUGAUAUAAGAUAGUGUCCACGUACUUCCGGUAAGUUUUGUUUUAUAAUGGUAGAUGUCAGUGGUCCAGAAGCAGUUUUCAUUGUAUAUUCCUUGGAUUGUUUAAUAAUGCAGGUGUGAAAGCAUUGUAUUACAAUGGGUACUCUGGGUUAUUUUUCGUAAUAGUCGGUAAAUCAGAAUAAGGUGUCAUGAUAUUUUCAUUUUUUUUCCUUUUUGACAAAUGUGGGUAUGUUAGAAAUAGGUUAGAUAUACAACGGUAAAUUUUUUUUUGCCAAUUAUAAUUAUAGUACCCAAAGUCAAUUUUUUGCAUGUUUCGUCUAAGGAUUAACAUGGAGAAUUCCAAUUAGUAAUAUACAAAGAUAUCCUUGUGUUCCAACUCUGGUCUUUUGCUCCUGAAACACCAUUUUAAUUUGCACGAACUGCAUGUUGUUUUCCAAUGAGCCAGACAACAUAAGAGGAGGGGAAAAAGUACUCCCUCCGUUACAAAUUAUAGAUCGUUUUAAUUUUUUAUUCAUAGAUGUUUGUAUGUAUCUAGACAUAUAUUAUAUUUAAGUGCAUACAAACAUCUAUACGCCUAGAAAAGUUAGAAUGACGUAUAAUUCGAGACGGAGGGAGUAGAAGUUGGUGGGAUAAUUGGCGCCUACUUUCUGCCACCAUGUUUCCUAAUGGAGGUACUCGUGCUCUACACCUAUACAUACCCAAGUAAUGGUGUCUGGACCAAAUGAUAGGAUCGUUGAGCACCAUGCAAUUAGCAUGAGCGGGGGGCCCACCCACUAGCAGCUAAACCCUGCUGUGCUACCACCUCCCCGCCUCUCCACUCACUCACCCCUCUGUGCUCUCAGGCCACCAUAUAUGCAUGCAAACGGAUGCACCACAUCUCAGUCGCUCUCUUCUCUGCUAUACAUAAUAGCAGCUUCAUCGCCCUUCCCUCCUCGAUUCACCACCCUCCUCGAUUUACCUCCACUCCACAGCUUCGACAUCUCCCUCGUCAAUUCCCUUCUCCUCCCUGGUGGAAUCCAAUCCGAUGCGGCGGCCACCAUCGGCACCACCACCAUUGCCAGCCCAAGUGGCGGCCUCGUGAGAGGUUGGCAGCGAGCCAAGCCUAGGAGACGGCAUCGGUAUAUCUCGGAAUGUGCUGCCUCCCAACACCCCCGGCCACCGCCUAUAAAGCCAUCGCCAUGGCUCCCCCUCCCCACCCCCGCCAGAGCUAGCUAGGGAUCGAUCUCAUCUCUCACUCGCCCGCUCGUCUCCCACCGAGCUCCAUCGCCGGCGCCGGCGAGACCCACCAGCAGCUAGCCACAUGGUGAAGUUCUCGAAGCAGUUCGAGGGGCAGCUCGUCCCCGAGUGGAAGCACGCCUUCGUGGACUACUGCCUGCUCAAGAAGGACCUCAAGAGGGUGCAGCACGCCCUGCUGCUCAUCGGCCGUUGCGAGGCGGCGGCGGCAGGCCUAACCGCCGCCGCACAGCAGCAGCAGACAAGCGAUGACCGGCACGCGGAACGUGUUGUUGCUUCCCUGUCCCAAUGGCUCCAUGCUGCCGGUCUCUUUGGCUCCUCCAGCACGCCCAAGGAUCACGGAGUCAUACACGUACGAAACUGACGCUUCGAUCAAACGUGCACACGUAGUCACGUGUACGUGACACACCCUUCUCCGAUUGUUAGUGAAUCUUUUGCGCUUUUUUGUUCGUGUCCAGGUGCACCGCCGGAAGCUGGCGGGGCCGGCGGCGAGCAGAGGCGGCGGGGACGAGUACGAGACGGAGCUGCUGGAGCCACUGGCGGCCGCCGACGACAACGAGGCGGCGGCGACGCGGGAGUUCUUCGCGCGGCUGGACGCGCAGCUCAACAAGGUGAACCGGUUCUACAAGGGCAAGGAGGAGGAGUUCCUGGAGCGGGGCCGGUCGCUGCGGAAGCAGAUGGACAUCCUCGCCGACCUCAAGGCCGCCGCCAGGGAGGACACCACCACCAAUCCCUCCGACUCCUCCGUCGCCUCCGGCGGCUGCUCCGGUGAGCACUUGCAAACCGAUCAAUUGCAUUUCCCACAAAUAGGGUAGCUAGCUCUGAUCAGCAGGCGAUCAUGGCCUCCGCCGCCGCAAGCCCGCAACAACCAGCAACACGGCCGCGCGCGGCCGGCGUAGCUAGCUAGCGUGCGCUCGUCGUCGUGUCGCGUGGCCGGUGGCGAGCGAGCUGAGGUAGCGUGAGACGAGAUGUCACGUAGGCUCGCGACCGGCGCGGCGAAUGGGGGCGCUGGCCGGUGGUGCCUGCUGAUUGGUGAGGUGAGGCCCACCGUCCAUGUCCAUGGAUGAUGCUGGAUCAGACGUUUGAUGAGCUUUGAGGCGUGUGAGCAAGAAGUCACUAAGCUCUGUGCCCAGGAAUAUUGGCUCUCUCUCUUUUUAUCGUGUGGGUGUCUUUAGUAGUUAGUCGUGUCUGCAUUUGGCACGACACAUAUUGUGUUGUUAUCCUGACUUUGCUUUUAGCGUCUCCUGGCGUCUCUUUUAGGCUCGUUUGGUAUGGCUUAGGGGUUCUGGUUUUGUAUCUGUAGUAGUACCGUAGCAGGUGGAGCCGAAUCCAUAGGAAGCUAUUUUUUUAGAGCUUCACCGGUUUCACCUCCUUCCCAAUUCAUUUUGAAGUCUUGGUAUCCGUUCCGACUUCGUGCUACUGUAACGCACAGUGCUAAACAGUGCGCGUUACUGUACCAUGCUAAGGGGCCUUAAUAUUUGCCGAAUUUCAUUUUUUUAAUUUUGACGAUGGAUCCGCAUUGACAGUACAUUAGCAAAAGCAUUAGUAGCAGAUAACAUCUGGAUGCCUCGCUCCCCUGAUUCUUCUAGAAAGAAGAUAAGAGAAAUAAUGCAAAAUUCCGUGCAUUAUUUAUGCUGCUAGAACAUGACUCUUGAAAAAGCAGAAUUUCUUCCUUCAAUAAUAGUACACACAGAGCAUCUAUAUUUUAUUAUCACGAUUUCUGAUCAAAUUAUCUUUCAACAUACUUUUUUAGAUUAUUCAUUUGAUGUCAUCUUCUUUUAUCCUACUGAUGAAAACAGAGGAUGAGUCCACACGGUACGCGAUGACGUCUGAGACAGACACGGACCAGCUGAGCGAGCAGGAGGCCACCACACCGACCAAGGACCCCGGCGUCACGGCUCAAGAAGACCGGCAGAUGGAUCUAGACGGUUCUGGAACCUUCGGGAGGUCGGCGAGCGGCUGCGGGAGGAAGAGCCUCAAGAUCAACAUCCCCCUGACCAACCCCUCCCGGACGAUCGCCGCGCUGGCGGACAUCCUGCGGGACGAGCUCGCCGCCCAGUCCGGCUCCAAGAAAUGCAACCCCGACGGCGGCAUGGGGAAGCACGGCGUCAGCAAGACGAAGCUCCGGCACGCGGAGAAGAUGAUCAGGGGCGGCUUCGUCGAGCUCUACAAGGGCCUCGGCUACCUCGCCACCUACCGGUAAGCUCCGCGCAUUCGUUUGUGCGUUCAGGUUCAGAACUGCUUGAUCAGAUUGAUGCUGAUUUUUUUUUUAUUUUUUUGGCAAUGAGCAGGAACCUGAACAUGAUGGCGUUCGUGAAGAUCCUGAAGAAGUUCGAGAAGAUCAGCGGGAAGCAGGUGCUCUCCGUGUACCUCAAGGUGGUGGAGAGCUCCUACUUCAACAGCUCUGACGAGGCACGCACACGGUUUGCUCUGUUCCACUCUCUGUCUCUGCACCGCUAUCUGACUGACAGAGAAAGCUCGCCGAACUUGCUAUUCUGAAUGGAACUGAUGACGAGACGACAUUCUCGCUGCAGGCGCUGAAGCUGAUGGACGAGGUGGAGGAGAUCUUCGUCCGGCACUUCGCCGGCGGCAACCGGCGCAAGGCCAUGAGGUACCUCAAGCCGGCGCAGCGGAAGGAGUCCCACUCCGUCACCUUCUUCACGGGCCUCGCCACCGGCUGCUUCGCCGCGCUCUUCGUGGGCUACUGCGUCAUGGCGCACAUGGCCGGGCUCUACCUCUACACCUCGACUCCACGCGGGCGCGGCGGCGGCGAGGCGGCGCGCUACAUGGAGACGGCGUACCCGGUGCUGAGCAUGUUCACGCUGCUGUUCCUGCACCUGCUCCUGUACGGCUGCAACAUGGUGGCGUGGCGCCGGUGCCGCGUCAACUACGGCUUCAUCUUCGCGUCGUCGCCCGCCGCUGCCGGCGGGGAGCUCCGGCCCCGGGACGUCUUCCUCACCUGCGCCGCGUCCAUGGCCGCUGUCGCCGGAGCCAUGUUCGCGCACCUCGCGCUCGUGCUCAGGGGAUACCACGCGUCGCCGCACGUCCAGGCCAUCCCCGGAUUCUUGCUCCUGGUGAACCCUCUAUCUACUACUGCAAUUGUUCUUAUUCUGAUGGUCUCCUGAUCGUGAUCACUAGAGGCUCAUCAAAGGACAUUCUCCAUAUAUGCUCCUGCAGCAACUGCACCUGAUCAAGAAUGGGAAUAAUGGAAUGUGUUCUGUCGAUUCAUGCAGGUGUUCCUGCUCCUUCUGUUCUGCCCUCUCAACGUCGCGUACCGUUCGAGUCGGUUUCGGUUCCUCAGGAUUAUGAGGAACAUCAUCCUGUCACCACUCUACAAGGUACAGCAUCAGCAGCACUUGCAGUUAUUCAUUCUGAUAAGCCUUAGCAUAAUCUUCUUGGACCCAAACUGGGCCAAUGUUCGUUCAAUUUGUUUUUAAUUUUUUCAAAAACUGGGCCAAUGCAUAGCCUGAUGAUCUUUGAACAUUUGCAGGUUGUGAUGGUAGACUUCUUCAUGGCCGAUCAGCUAUGCAGCCAGGUGCCUAUGCUAAGGAGCCUGGAGUACUUGGCCUGCUACUACAUCAGCGGGAGCUACAUGACGCAGGAUCACGGCUACUGCAUCAACACCAAGCAGAUCAGAGACCUGGCCUACGCCGUCUCCUUCCUGCCCUACUACUGGAGAGCCAUGCAGGUAACAGCAAGGUCUACCACGCAGUAGAGUCCGUUCAUCUUCAUGAACAUUCCUCAGUCUCUGCAGUUUCUGAACUCUGGAUGUCUGAAAAACGUUUAUGCAUUCAUAUCUUCUGUUCCAGUGCGCGAGGCGGUGGUUUGACGAGUGGGACACGAGCCACCUGGUGAACCUGGGCAAGUACGUCUCGGCGAUGCUCGCGGCCGGCGCCAAGGUGGCGUACGAGAAGGACAAGGGCCUGGCGUCGCUGUCGCUGCUCGUCGCCGUGUCGAGCACCGCCACGGUGUACCAGCUCUACUGGGACUUCGUCAAGGACUGGGGCCUGCUCCAGCCCAACUCCAAGAACCCCUGGCUCAGGAACGACCUCAUUCUCAAGAGGAAAUCCGUAUACUACUUGUCAAUGGUACGUUCAUCAGUUCAUCGCCGUGCAUGCAGAGAAACUUGUAAAGCGAGGUCAAAUGGCUUCAGUUGCAGUGCAGGACAAUCUGCUCUUUCAGAGUUCAGACAGCCUGUUAAAUUGAGAAAUCAACAACCAAAACAGAACUUUGGUCAUGCAAGAAAAUCACAAAGCUUACAUUUUACAAUCAGUAUCCAAUACUAAAACUUUCGGCAUCAUGGUCUAAAUGGACGAAACAUGCUAUUUGUUCUGCACUAGUAGUGAAGAAUCACGUUCCAGAUAACCAAAGGCUCAAGUGAAAUGUUCUCAUUCCUGUCUGAACCUUUUUGCAGGGACUGAACCUCGUGCUGAGGCUUGCCUGGCUGCAGACCGUGAUCCAUCCAAAUUUUGGGAGCUUGGAUUCUAGGGUCACUUCCUUCUUCCUAGCGGCCCUCGAGGUGAUCCGGAGAGGUCAUUGGAACUUCUACCGGUAAGAACUUGCAAUUUGAUGGUUGCGCACACAGUCUCAUCCUUGAAAAACAACACAUCAAGGGUCUGAACGAGUACAUGAAAAUUUUUCAGGUUGGAGAAUGAGCAUCUGAACAAUGCGGGCAAGUUUCGGGCGGUAAAGACGGUUCCACUGCCUUUUCACGAAGUGGACGAGGACUAACGUACUACUGACCAUGGCUAGAUCGAACAAUUGUUUCUUCACCAUUCUGCUGAAUUUUUUUCGUAGUGAAGAACUCGAGAGGCGGAGAAUUGUUGGGAACCUUAGCUGUUUAUGCGCGUAGUAGUUCCUUCAGGAUGCUGAAAAAUCAUUUGUUCGUUCCUAGUAGAUGCGUCAAUGUGUAAAUAAGAAAGGCAUCGCGUUUCGCAGUGUUUUGUCUGACCAAAUGUGAGCCUUUUAUUCCAAGAUAAACGAAAAAAUGGGUACAAAAGCAUGUCAAAAUUAUCACAAGCCACAAUCCAAUGGUUCCUAUGACAGAUCCCGCGGGUAAUCUCACCGGUCUAUGAUGGUACAACAAGAACAGCAACAGCGGAAAUAAUUAAAUCAUGAUCUGGUACACUGAUAUAUGUAUAUAUGGAUCUCUCUGUUGGAUUUACCACGCUAGCGAUAGCAAAAGAGCAGCCAUGGCGGUCUGCAGGACGGCGACGCCCCAGUGCUGGUGCUGCCGGCUGCUCGCGUUCUGCAGGAAGAAGAAGCAAAAGCAUUAGUGAUUAUCAAUUGAUUUUUUUUUCCGUGCUAGUUCCUACUAUAAAUAGGGAAGAGAAUCUUGUGUUUUAGCGUCGUGAUCCGUGCAUUACCACGUCGAACGCCGACGGCGCGGGGCCGGACACGUCCUCGAGAUCAGCGGGCGACGGCGCGGCGGGCGCCGGCGGGCUCAGCGGCUGCGGCGCCUCCGCGGGGGCCUCCUUCUUGCCGUGCUGCUUCCUCCUCCUCUUGUGCUUGUUCUUGCCCUUGGAUGGCGCCUCGGCCGGCGGCAGCGUUGCGGGCGACUCGGCCACGGGCGCGGGCGUCGCGGGGGGCAGCGUCGCGGGAGCCUCGGCCGGGGGCGUGGCCGUCGGCGGAGGCGCCGCGGCGGGCGGGAGCACCGCGGGCGGCGUGGCCGGCGGCGGCGUGGAGGGAGGUGGCGUCACGACAGGGGGAGGCGUCACCGGCGGGGGCUUGGCCGGCGCGACCGCGGGCGCGGCCGGCGGCGGCUUUGACGGCGGGACCGGGGUGGCGGCCGGCGCGGGGGUCGCUGGGGUCGGCGGCGAGUUGGCUGGCGCCGCGGGGGUGGCCGUGGGCGCGAGCGCUGCCGGUGUCGUCGGUGCAGCAGGUGUCGUCGGCGCAGCAGGAGUCGUCGGCGCUGCCGGUGUCGUCGGUGCAGCUGGUGUCGUCGGUGCAGCAGGUGUCGUGGGCGCAGCCGGUGUCGUCGGUGCAGCAGGUGUCGUCGGCGUCGCAGGAGUCGUCGGUGCGGCUGGUGUCGUUGGCGCUGCCGGUGUCGUGGGCGCAGCCGGGGUCGUGGGUGCAGCAGGCGUCGUUGGCGACUGCGCCACGGCGGCGCCGAGGUGGAGCGCGAGGACGGCGGCGAGCACGGCGAUGCGGCGCCAUUGCCGGAGCAGCGGCGGCGCGGCCAUGCUGUUGGCGCGGUGCGGAUGCCGAGCUAGCUCGCUGACGGGAAUGCGGUCGAUGGAUCUCGCGCCGACCGAUGAAGCAGGUAGCCGGCGAUGGAGGGGAGUAUAUAGCGUGUCCGUGCGCGCGCGCGCGGGCGGGUGCGGUUGGGAAGGACGUAUACUAGCUUGGGAGUGAAGGGAGUCGGGUGGCCGGGUGGGCGUGCAGCGCGACGCCGACGCGAAAGGCGACGCGACAACGGCCUCCGGCCCCGCGCGCAGACCGGUGUGCACGCUAACUUGCAUGCCUUAUUUCUUCUUGUUGUUUACAAAUAAUUUAACCAAACCCAUUAAUUUAGAUGACCAAAAUCAAGUACUUGAGCAAAAAGAAAUGCGUCUUCUUGCUACUAAGAGCUUUUACAUGUGUACAUGAGCAAGGUAGCUUGUGCAGCGAGAGAACAAGGACACCAAACACCUUUUUUGCUGUCUCGGUGGCCUUUUCAAAAUCUUUGCUUCAGAACAUGUGAUGGUGCAAGGAUACGUGGUGGGUGCAUGUAGCCGUAUGUGUGUAUUCCUACUACGCGGUACUAUGCACACUGUGGUCAAGAUCGGAAAGCAAUGAUUCGGACGUCUUGCGAAUCACAGUAUGGGUUGGUCAUUAUCUGCCCAUACAAGUACAGCGUUCAUAUGAAAUAACUUACGGGACGUUUGGUUGCUUAUUUUUAGCACGAGUCCCAUCGAAUGUUUAGAUGCUAAUUAGAAGUAUUAAAUGUAGACUAUUUACAAAAUCCAUUACAUAAGUGGAGGCUAAACGGCGCGAAUCUAUUAAGCCUAAUUAAUCCAUCAUUAGCAAAUGUUUACUGUAGCAACACAUUGUCAAAUCAUGGACUAAUUAGGUUUAAUAGAUUCGUCUCGCCGUUUAGCCUCCACUUAUGUAAUAGGUUUUGUAAAUAGUCUACGUUUAAUACUCCUAAUUAAUAUCUAAACAUUCAAUGUGAUGGGUGCUAAAAAUAAGCAAGAGGAACCAAACCAGACCUUAGUUUCUGCUAGAUCAAAAGAUAAAACCAAUACAGGUGCUCGCAUUUUCCGAUUUAACCAGCGUUAUUUUUUCAGAUUUGCCCCUCGAUUCCCAUUUCUGGCCCGAUGACGACGAAUUGACGAUGACAACAAGGAUCGUGGUUGCUGUAGCGGAACGAUCUCCAGGAAGGGGACAGUGACAAGCGACCAGCACGAUCAGGUCUCAGCUGGUUCACCCCCGCAUCCCUUCCAGCUAGUCGAUCAAGUCGCUUGCAUUUCACGAUCAAGUCAGCUUGCAUUUCCAAACGGCCGAAAUUUUAACUUGUGGCGGGCGUUACACAUCUAUGUACAUUUCCAGCUCAUGUCACCAACGCAACGCAAGCUAGCUAGCUAGCUCGCCGUGUUGUUAGGUCUCUUUGCGGUUUGGUGGACGUGUGUAAGGUGACACGUCGCUGCACGCUCUGCUCGAUCGCUUGCUCCCCACGGGAGCGUUGCCCAGCACGCACACAAAAGGGAGAGCGCAUUCCCCUUUUACGGGCUUGCCAGCGUUGCGUCCGAGAAUUCGUGUCCUCUCAUCUCGGUGACCAGGAUGUAUAAGAGGGCGCCGGACCAUCAGGUCGUGCGUCGACCGGUCGGAAUUACUGGGUAGCUCGCCAGUCAUGUUCCUCGGCUCCUGCUGCUCGCUUCCUCUUCUCUUCCUAGUGCCUGGCUGGCAGUACUCCGGAGAGUUCUGGAACCUUUUAGGAAGAGUGUUAGUAUCCUUUUCAGAUAACGCUAAAUUGUUGGCGUGAAUUUGCCUUCGGAUACUAAAAUGUGUUGUCUGUUGAUUUUACGGAGUGGAUACUAGAUUGCAGGAGCAAAUGCUGUAUGCUAAAAUGCAGGAGUAUUGAGAGAAAUCAGGAUUUUGGAUCCGUCUGAAAGAAGGGUUUCGAUCUAAGGCCCAUUUUUCCAAGAAGAGUUGACACCAGUGCCCAGCCGAAGAGGUUGUGUAUGAGCUGGGCCGUGGAAACCACAGCGGCAGGCCGUCCGUGCAGCUCCAGCUCGAUGAAAACACAGGCCCAAAUCUCCGCCGACGGAAAAAAAAUCUAAAAAAUAAAACCUUAUCAUGAUCUCCGCUCCCCCCCCAAAAAAAAGAGAAAUAAAUUUAAUCUCAUCGUGAUCGGCGACUUCGUUCCGUUACGCCUCGUCUCGUCUGCCAACGCACCACGGCGUGGUCGGGACUCUAGGGAAGCGAGCCGUGCCCGUCUCUCCGAUCCCCUCCACGCUCGCCCCCAUCCCCGCCGCCGCCGCUGACGCCGUCGGCGAAGUUGAUACCACCUGCACAGCAAGGUGGGGGCAUACACAACACACCAAUCACCCUCUCAGCCACUUCGCCCGCAACUGCCCUCACACAAAUUUCCCGAAAUCUCCGCUUCCUCCUCUCGUGUCCUCAGCUAGCCAGCUCUCUCUGUCGCGCGCGCGUCUUCUGGGCUGCUCGCCGCCGCCGGCGCGGCAUCUUCUUCUCCGACCGAUCAAACCCAUUGAUCGAUCAUGGCGUCGUCGAGCGCGGCGGCUGCUGCUAGUGACAGCCAGGGCGGCCUGAAGGCUCGGGAUGUCUGCAUCGUCGGCGUCGCCCGCACGCCCAUCGGCGCGCUGCUCGGGUCGCUGUCGUCUCUCCCGGCCACCAAGCUCGGCUCCAUCGCCAUCCAGGGUACGUCCCCCUCCCUUGCCAGUCCCUCGUCUCCAGCGGAUUGGCUGCGCCCAUAACAACCCAUUAACGAAUCCUUCCCUGUGUGAUUCUUACCAAAUCGGCAAAUCCCAAUGCGUCAGGCGCUCUCAGGAGGGCGAAUGUCGACCCGGCGCUCGUGCAGGAGGUGUUCAUGGGCAACGUCCUCAGCGCCAACCUCGGCCAGGCCCCGGCGAGGCAGGCCGCCCUCGGCGCAGGCUUGCCCAACACCGUCCCCUGCACCACCGUCAACAAAGUUUGCUCCUCAGGAAUGAAGGGUACUACUACUAGCUGCUAGUUGUUAAUUGAUUGUUAAUUACCCUUGCAAUGUGGAGGCUUAUCCUGGCACGUUGCCACCAACUUGUUGCAGCUGUCAUGUUUGCGGCGCAGAGUAUUCAGCUGGGGAUCAAUGACGUUGUGGUCGCUGGUGGAAUGGAGAGCAUGUCAAAUGCCCCCAAAUAUGUGGCUGAAGCAAGGUUCAUUUCUAUUCCCAAAUCCCAAGCGAUAGUUAUAGGCUGGAAUGAUUUUGUUGUGAGCAUCCUCUGUUGUAGCUUGUGUUUAUAAUAAGCGGGUGACAAUAAAACACAGACGAGGAUCACGAUUUGGACAUGAUGUCCUGGUCGACGGGAUGCUGAAGGAUGGCUUGUGGGAUGUCUAUAACGAUUUUCCGAUGGGGAUGUGUGCUGAAUUGUGUGCGGACCAGCACUCAAUCUCAAGGGAGGAGCAGGUUGCUGCUAUUUCCUGGCUUUAUUUAUGAAUUACAACCUGUUAUAUCCUACUACUUAUUAGAGUCUAAUCGUGGCAGUGACUUGUUCUUUCUUCUAGGAUUCUUAUGCUAUUCUCAGCAAUGAACGUGGAAUAGCAGCUCGGGACAGCGGUGCAUUUUCUUGGGAGACUGUUCCUGUGCGUGCAUAAUUUUGAUUGACCAGAUAACUCUUUUUGUGUAUUAAGUUUUGAUACCUCAAUACAUGGUACUAAUCUCAGACAUUUGUUGUUUCGCAGGUUGAAAUUUCUGCUGGUAGAGGGAGACCACCAGUAGUUGUGGACAAGGAUGAGAGUCUUGCAAAGGUAAUCCUGAGGUCUAGCUAAUAUGAUUGAUUUUGGUUGUUACAGAUUCAAAAAAAGGUUAUGUAAUGUCGGAAUGAAAACGAAAGAGCAUACAUGAAGACAUUCACAUUUAGCAGUGGCUAUAACAACAAUUAACACAAUUUUUUUCUUGUCAUAUUUGACGUGAUUCCUUGGUAUCCUAUAUGCAGUUUGAUCCAGUAAAGUUGAAGAAACUUGGGCCAACUUUUAAGGCAAAUGGUUCUGUAACUGCUGGCAAUUCUUCUAGUAUCAGGUUUGCUUCUUUGUUACUCUGAACAGCCGUAUAUUAUCAAUAUAAGUAACAUGCAGCCAAACUCAAUACUAUACCAUAUUCUAAAAUAAGCAUAUGCAUUUAAACUAAUUUAUAUUGAGUUUAUAACUGAAAUAAUUCUAUUUAGUACUAUACAUCUUUUGGCAUUGUUCUGAUUCUUUUAAAAACAAGAAAGGCUUCAGCCGACAACAAACAGAUCUGAGCUGGUCAGAAUUGUCCUUUUAGUUGCAUUUGUUAUGCCUUAAGCUAGUUAUGUAAAAUAAGAUCUGAUUUGAUUCGAUUUGCAUCUAUUCUUUAGUUGAGCUUGUUAGGGCCUAUCCCUGUAAUGGUGAUCAUUAAGCUAUAUUAAAACUGGAACCCCACCCCCCUCUCUUUAGUCUCUAGUAUGCACCCUCACAUAUAUCACUGCCAUGCCUCCCUUUCUAUUCCUCCCUUGCCACAGGCUUCUUCUCCCUUAUGUCUUCUUGUUGCUCCUUAUUAAUCUAAUCAUCUCAGUCUGUAACAAUACUCCUUGUCGUUGCAUUUGCUUGUUGGAUGUAUACCUGUACCACUGCUUGUUUGUGAUCAGACCACCUUCUGCAGGCAGUCAAACAUGUUGCAUUUCUUGACCAGUGAAAAUCGCAGGAACCAGUUCUGGUUCGUUCUAGAGUACCGAUGCUAGAUUAUUCGAGAGUGUCUGGGCUGACUGCACAGAAGUACUGCUGAAAUACUAUUGAGCAUUGAGAGCUUGAUUUUACAGGGGAUACAUGAUUGUCAAGACACUAUUCAAUUGAGUAAUUAGAAGGAGCUGGUAUCAUCGGGUGGGGAACUUGCAGCAUGCUGCCAAACUUAUUUUUUAUUCCUAGCCAACCCUAAUUGGCCCUGUAGGUUCUGAUCCAUAACAUACAAUUCGGAAUUUGUGCAUAAAAAGUAGGUAUUUAAUGCAUAUUUCAUUAUUGAUUCGAAAUAAUAAUUAGUACCCUGGUCCCUCUGUUCCAGUUUUGAAAUGGAGGGAGUACAUGGUUAGCAAAUGAGGCAGGACAAGAUGGGACGGUCCAAUUUCUUUUAUGGGAUGGUCCAGGGUUUUUGGAUGAUAGUGAUCCCAGUAAUAUGCAUCUGCCCUCCACAAAGGACUCUGCUGAUAAAUCUAAAUGACUUCCUAAAACACAGUGUUGCCAUUGUCACUGUCAAAGAGCUAGAACAAGUAACAGAGCUGCAGAAGUAAUAUGCAGCUACUUGACUAUUAUUGAGGGAUCUUCUGUUCUUUUUUUGGAUGAUGUGUUGGUAGUUGCUUUUAUCAUAGAGAAACCACAUUUCAGAACCAGGACAGCUGAUGCAAGUGCCUAUUCUAGAGGGGAAAAACAAGGAACAAAAGGGAUGCACCUGAGUUUAUACAACGGUGGUGGUGCAACUUGCCAUAGGAGGUAGAAGCAGAAUCACUGCUGGCUUUGCUCAGCAAAUCAAUUCCAAAGCGUAUCUAGUACACGAGAAGGAUCCCUAUGUGUCACGAUUGGUGGAGAGAGGGUUACCUGCCAUCAUGCUCACUUGCUCAGCUGUGAUUUUUCCUAUUUCAAUGUUUGAACUCUGCUUUUCUUUAUGUCUAAUCUAAAUUAAGCUUGUUUGGGUGAUGUGUGAUUCAGCAAGUGUAAUGCCAUCCUUAUCUGUCAAUGUGCAGUGAUGGUGCUGCCGCAAUUGUCCUUGUAAGUGGAGAGAAAGCUAAGAAUCUUGGCCUUCAGGUUAUUGCAAGGAUCAGAGGGUAUGCUGAUGCUGCUCAGGUAACUUUUGCUUGUGCCUGUCAAUGCCCCUAAAAUAGCAUUGUCUGGCAGAGAAAUCUCACAUAUGUAAGAUCUUGACCUGUUGGUUUUUAUGUUACUGAGGAAAACAAUGCUUUUGCCUAGCACAAAUGCCUGUUUUCCAUUCAGUGGUGCAUCACUAUAGUCCUAGUUAUCUUGUAAUCUUGCUUACUGUGACAUGUUACGUUGAACAAUUUUUGUAUGUUUUGUGUGAACUCCUUACAAAUGCAGGCACCUGAGCUGUUUACGACAGCUCCAGCUCUUUCUAUUCCGAAGGCUAUAUCAAGUGCGGGUCUUCAAACUUCACAAAUAGAUUAUUAUGAAAUAAACGAGGCCUUCGCUGUAUGUUCUUGACCUUUUCAGUUUCAACUGUCAACACUUAAGCCUCCAAGUCCAGACUUAACAAUGCUUCUGGUCAUUUGCAGGUUGUUGCAUUGGCUAAUCAGAGGCUUCUUGGUAUCCCUUCUGUGAGUCACAAAACUUUACUUGUCUGUAUAAUUCAGCAGUUAGUAUUUGUAUUUGUAUCUGUGAAUGAUCUCAUAAAUGUAUGCACAUUUCAGGAAAAGCUAAACUUAAGUGGUGGUGCUGUUUCGCUGGGCCAUCCUAUUGGUUGCAGUGGUGCACGGAUUAUAGUCACUUUGCUUGGGGUAUGCUUCUAGCCCAUGUAUAGCUAUGAUGUAUUAUUAUUUACUGCAAAAUAUGCCCUGUUUAAGCACAUAAACAUUCCCGUUUCUUCCUAUCACAUUUGCAACACUCCCAUUUGGUUUUCUUUAAUCAGAAUUUAAUGAACAUACGGUGGCAGGCUAAGAUAUUUCUUGCUUUAUCAUGUCACAAACCACCCUUUUCACUAUAUUUCCAGCCAUGCCUCAGAGUAGUUCUACAACUUCCAUGUUUUGCUGAUACAGGACGGCAAGAAUUGUAUAAGUUGAGAACUUGACCUAUUGAAUAAUGUUAGCUUACACUGUGUGGGCGGCCAUUUUCUUUUUGUGCAGUUCUGUUCAAAUUUGUUUUUGUAUCCUUAUGUGCACACAAAGUAAUUUUAUAUUUUGCUGCCAUCUAUUUUUCUUCUUCUAAAUGUGUCAUGUUUAAUAGUUUGACUUGAUGGCAUGGUGUGUGUCUUUGUUAAACUUGUAGCUUUAUUUGCUCUACAGAUUCUUAGACAGAAACCUGGAAAAUUUGGUGUCGCUGGAGUUUGCAAUGGUGGUGGAGGUGCCUCAGCACUAGUUUUAGAGCUCAUGUAAGCUCCUAUGGUGUUUAUUCAUCACACUUUUUCAAGUCUUCAAUUCUUUAUUACGCUUAUGAUCCAUUUGAUUUUUUUUCAAUGGCAAAUAAUAAAACAUUCAUUAAUAAGAGUAACUUUCAGUACUCCUCGCACUACAUUUUUUCCACCUGCAAAGUUAUGUUGUCCAUUAAAUUGAAAAAAAAAACACUCAAUAGUUAUUUGGGCUACUUUCUUAGCUUCUGUGACAUGGUGCAGGCAACCCUCUUCGCAUAUUCAUUCUUCAUUGUGAAGUUGGUGCAAGCAAAUUAGCAGACAUGAAUUGUAUACUAUGUUUUUAUCACUGUAUCUUUUGUCAUUUGUAGGGGGGAUUAGUUGGUGUUGUAUAUGCCAGAUGUAUGGUAGAAGAAACACUGUAAAAUAAGACUUGUGCUACAAAGCACAGGGCACUAUCUUGUACCUUCUAUGGCAAGUAUAGGCGUAUAGCAAAUGAAAAUAACAGAGGGGCAGAAGGAUAAUGUACAGAUACAGGCACCAUGUUACUAAAAAUAGCAAUGGGUACUUAACAACCUGUCAUGGUAAAGAUUUUUGUUUACCAUUUUAUGUUAUCUGAGUAUAAAGUUUGCAUCUUACCCCGUGAAGAAGAUAAGAAAAGUGUUCAGCUUUUACGAGAGGAAGUUACUCCUUAGAGCAGCAAAAAAAAAAAAGUUCAUGGGACAAUAUUAUCUUUAACAGGCAUAACAAACUGCAAUAUUGUGACUUGUUCCCCCAACUUGGAACAUAAUGAUCAGAUCUGAACGUACGACCCAUCUCUUCAUCAGCUUUUAUUUUCGAGAAUAAAGAUAGUUAUCCAAUGGGGAAAGUGCAAAGAAAGAUCCUGAAGGCAAGUUAUGAGCCUGUCAUUGUGUUAAGAUACGGUUAAGAGGAGCCGGGCCGAAAUGUACUAGCCCCCAACAAUGAUUGAACCCACGCUACAAAUCAGCCCAAGCUUGCAACUGAAGCAUUGCAGACUUACAGAUAUUUGUUAGAACUAAAUGCUAGGACCAUCUGCCUCAUCUAGACCGUACAAAUUCAGCAGUUCUCCGUCAAGAGAAAAAAAGGUUCUUCAAAGUUACCCUGUUUGAAAGGACUCGUGUCUUGAUCGACCAUCUACGACCUGCAUAAUUACACUCCCCCAGAAAUAGAUUAGCCCGCUAAUCACUACUGUUCAUCGCAGCACAAUUAUCCUGUCGACACCGUCAGCCACUGAAGCUGUGCCGUGUCGGUCAUGGCAUGCGUCACAGGAACGGAACCGGAGCCGGUGCUCCUGUUGCCUUUGCACAUGCCACGUGAUCCCAUGAUCAGUAGGUGGCAUCAGUGGCGUCCAGUGUUAUAUAUGCAUAUCAGAUGGGGAUGGGGUCUCGUCUCCAUGAAGCAUCUUUCUCCCGAGUCAAAUCCGCCGUCCUGCGCGCGUCCCGCCUCGCCUCGCCUCCCCUCCCAUCCCCUGCACUGCACUUGCGAGCUGCGAACCACCUGUAAAGGGCGCAUGAUUAGGUUAGGGCCAUCCCCAAUUGCGGAUGUCCCCCCUCAUCGAGCCAUCCCUUCGGUUUCUCUUCAAUUUCAUCCGCCCAGUAAAUUCUACGAACAAUUUGUGAAUAAAUAAGUGAAAUUUAGAAAGGGGUAAUGGCAUUUGGCGAUAUUCUAGGAAAGUUCAGACUUCAGAUAUUUGUGUCAACACCAGGUGUGCGUGCGUUCCAGGUUCGAUGUUCUCCUUGUUCUAGCAUCGGUGACGCACGAGCUCGUCGGGUUUACGCAGACGAUGGUGUCGCGCACGAUUCCUCGUCCCUGUCAGAUCUAGAUAGACGAAGUCACCACUCACCAGGGAUUCCAAGCAGAUUGGAUACCCUACCAGGUAUAGCCAAGAAGCUGAUGCGCACCUCUUUUUUUUUUUCAGAUAAGAACCAACUCAAAAGGGCACACAUCUGAACAAACUUUGCUCAAAAGCUCAAGCUAAACGAAUUAUCCCUGGUCCCAAAGUCGAGAUUUCUGAAGCACUGCUGAUUACAGAAAUACUUUAAAAUCUGCAAAAUCAACAGAGCAUUCACUAGUGGCUGAACGCACCAGUUACUCCUCAGCAGUUAACAAGCCUUUGCACAAUGAAGCAGAUCUCACCACAACAUCUAUGUUAGUGGUAGACAGGGAUGGCGAAAGAAUAAUCACGAUUGAUCCACUCAAAGAAUCACACGAAGUAAAAGGUCGACACAAAAUGCCCUACCUAGUUGUUUUUGCAAAAGAAAAAAAAAGCCCUAGCUAGUUAGAUUUACGAAUUUACGAUGACCAAGAUUACAAUGGCCUCGAACCGGAGGCAUCAAGACCUCUACUCUGGCUGUUCCAGCUGGAAUGGCUGAAAUCGGUCGUGAAAUCCUGGCUGCCGAACGCCAUCCGCUGGAACAGCCUGAUCUCGGCCGUGUUCGCAACGUUGAACAUCUCGCUCUUGCCUGGCUGGACACCGUUGGUUAGAUCCACGUCAGCUAGGCUAUCAAGAACCCGCACCACCUGAGAGGAGAGGAAAGCAGUGAUAAAUUUUUUUUGUCAGAUUCUGGUUUCAGAACAUGUGCAUGUACUUUCUUCUUCAAUCUUAUAUGGAUAUCAAGUUUUGGUUUGUUGAGAUGUGCAUAUUCUCUCUUUCUUCAAUCUUAUACCUGACUCAUCCUGGGUCUCCUGGAUGCUGAAUGCCGAAUACAAGCUGCAGCAGCCUCAAUCAUACGGAACAAUUCGACUUCGUCGUAGUUCUUAUCGAGUCUGGCGUCCACCAGCUCCCCUACUUUGCCACUCUCAAGUGCUUGUGUCAGCAAUGGCCUAGCCUGCAAAUAACUACGGUGUCAAGAAAUGUUUGAUUGUUGCAAAUUAAAGAACGAAAGCAAUCCUUCACUAAGGGGUUACAAAAACAUAAUAUCAGAAAUUCACAGAAUCUGUUCUCAAUAGCUGGUCCCCACAGCACUAUUUCUCCCUUGGUUGGCUGACUUGAUGAAUUACCUUUCUAUCACAAUUCAAGAGUGGGAUGUGUAUCUGGCUGACUAUAGUGUUAUUAAACUCUCAUACCGAAUUGAAUGUAACCAAUGAGCAAGUCUACUUAACAUUUUGAAUAUGGAAUAGCUCAAGAUAAUGCUUAGAUUUCCUUUGCUACUAAAGGGCAAGAAAAUUGGAACCUCUUAAUGCAUUAAAUUAACUGUUAUGCUUACCCACUCAACAAGGCUCUCAUCACCCAAUGGUUUUGAUGCAUCAACAGGCUUUCGACCAGUAAUAAGCUCCAAGAGAACAACACCGAAAGAGAAUACAUCUGAUCUCUCAGUCAACUUGCCACUUGAUGCAUACUCUGGAGCCAGGUACCUAAAUGAGAAACAUGCAUCAGAUUAUAAGAAAAUUAGGAUAGUUCUCUUGGGCUUGUCACUGCGUUACUUACCCGAAAGUUCCCAUCACCCGUGUAGUUACAUGCGUGCAAGCAUCCAGAGCUAACCUUGCAAGACCAAAAUCAGCAACCUAGCAAAUGGGCACGCAUCCAUUAGUAACAACACCAGUAUUAUUAAAUGCUUUUGAAGAUAUGUAGAAAGCAUUGUUACCAGCGCUUCAAAGUUAUUGUCCAGUAAAAUAUUGGAGGAUUUUAUAUCUCGGUGGAUUAUUCGUGGAUGACCUGCCAAGGAAAAGAAUUAAGCAACAAAAGAUAAGACUUGUGCAAAUUAUCACACAAAUGUAGGAAAGAAAUGAGAGAUAUCAUUACAGUCUUCAUGAAGAUAGGCUAUUCCCCGAGCUGAGCCGGCUGCGAUUUUAACCCUAGCUGGCCAUUCCAAAACCGGCACUCCGCGUCCUAUGGUGACAGAUCAAUACAAUUAUACAUUAAUUUAUUACUCCAGAAAAGGAACUACAAAAUUGCUCCUGCAUGAUAGUAAAAGCUUACAACAUACCAUGAAGAUGGUAGUGCAGUGUGUUGUUAGGCACAAAAUCGUAAACGAGCAAUCUCUGGUCAUCUGAAAUGCAAUACCCUACUAGAGAGACUAGAUGCCGAUGAUGCACGCGGCUGAUAAUCUCCACCUCCGCAUGGAACUCACGUUCUCCCUGCCCACCACCUUCUUUCAGUUUCUUAACUGCGACCUCUUUUCCAUCAGCUAAGCAACCCUUGUACACUGACCCAAACCCACCUUCCCCUAGCAGGUUCUGAGCUGAGAACCCAUUUGUGAUCUGAUACAAUUCCUCAUAAGUGAAGAACCGACAGUUGCCCAUACUGAACUCUGGCAUUGAAUCUUUCGAUUCAGGACUCCCAGCAGUGAAGUUUGUUUUAGCUGAAUACCCUGGAUAAAAAAGAGUUUUAGUUGUUCAGUUCAUCAUCACUCAGGUAAUAUAAAGACUGAUCUUAACUUUUAAGGUGUAUAAUUGCUGUGAAUGCACUUGAUUAAAUUACCUAGCACUUGUGUGGGAGAUGACGCAGGUGAAGGCAUUACGAAUCCAGCAUGGUAACCAUGCACUCUCCUCCGUUUCUUCUUGUACCAUAAUGCAGCUCCAACCAAGCUAAGCACAAGAAUGGCAACGACGACACCAAUGCCUGCCUUUGCACCCGAACUCAUCCCACCACUGCUUCCUGAGGAGCUGCUGCUCUGCGUGGCUGGGCUUGAUGAUUUGUUGGAACCCCGGUCCCCGUUGGUUACCGGGCUGGCUGGAUCAACUGCCGUUGCUGGGGCUGGCACCGACGGUGUACCAGAGCCCGGCGUCCCUGAAGGCGAGGGGCUAGUGGGAGUAGGGAUCAAAGGAUCUCCAGAGGUCGGCGCAGGGCUAGCUGGAGAAGGUUCGGCAGGAAUUCCAGAAGGUGGUGGUGCCGGCUGAGUUCCAGGCUUCCUUGGCGGCCGAUGAUGCCGUGGUGGAGGCGGCGGCACUGCCGUCGGCGGAGUUGGAUCAGCCGGUGGGUUGGGAGCUGGCAAAUUGGAUGGUGGUGGUGAUGCAGCGGCAGGCGGGAGUAUAGGCGAUGCCUUUGGCGGGGCGGCCGGUGUAGGUGGUGGUGGCAUUGCAACCGGCAGCGAGGGUGGCGGCACUACGGCUGUUGGGGCUGGUGGCGGAGAGGCAACAACUACCGGCGGCGGCGGCACAGCGGCAGGAGGAGGCGGAGCCGAGGAGGGCGGUGGAGGAGUGAGCUGCGGGGGUGGCGUGGAUGCGGAGGGAAGGGGAGGGGGCGCCGCCGGCGAGGAGGGAGGAUCGGCCGGGGUAGCAUUGGGCUGCGUCACCGGAGCCGGGGAGGCCGGCGUGGGUGUGGUGGUUACCGGCGACGGGGUUGCUGUGGACGGCGGCAAGGUGGCCCUGAUGGUGCCCGGGGAGGGCGAAGGCGAGGACGCCAUUGGAGCCCAGAAGGCUGGAGCACUACAGCGCCGUCACUGCUGAGCUGCUGCCUUCUUGGUGGAAAUGGACGCGCCAAUCAUGGGACACGCCGCAAUUCAAGGGACAAUCGAGCCUCCCACACGAGAAAAUCUCGCGGAUUCGCGCAGGAACGAGUCGAAAUUGCUCUCCUUUCCUUCCUCCUCUGAUCCCUUCCUUCUCUCUCCUGACGCUGCAAGAACGCGGAGGUGGUGAAAUCUCACCUCGACCGCCACAAGAAACAGCUUCUCGCUCAAAUCAGCAGGCGCAACACUGCAUUAACAUGGCUCUCUUCAGCACCAAAAGCCGACGCAUAAAAUGAAUUCAAAAUUUCAAAUCCUCCAGAAAGUGAGUCAAGAUCCCACCUUUCUCACGGAUGCAGCAAAGAAGAAGACGCAGCGACGGAAGACUGAAAUUCCGAGAGAGAAAAAAAACAGAAUCCUGAAGAAGCAGGCACCAAGAUUAGCUUCAAGACGGAGGCGGACGCGGUGGGUCUCUCAGAUCCGGCAGUAACGCGGUAGCAUUGAAGGCGAGGCGGAGGUAACGGCAAGAACAGCAAGGAGAGCAAGCGGACAAGACGAGGACGACCUCUCUCCUUUCUCUGGCUUCUUUUCCCCCUUUCCUCUCUCGCCUCUUCCCCCCGAAAUCCAACGCAUGUGACUCGCUGUACCUUUGCAGAAAUCUCUCCUGGCUGCAAGGUCACCACCCUGCCCGAGUGGGAAUGAAUUCCAAUUUCCACUCGUCUCUUCUAGGGGAGAGAGAGGGAGGGAGGGAGGGAGGGAGGGAGAUCGUAUCGUGCACUGUCAGUGUGUCACUGCUGCCAUGGUUCAUGGUUGGGUUGGAAAAAGACUGCCCUCUUUUCAACUUUGGCCCCUGACUGUUUUGGGAUUUAACAUUUCUCCUUGCGAUAGUGAUCUGUGAGCUGUGAACCUGUGACGCGUUUUUAGGGCUUUGGGUGCAUUAUUCUCCAUGUAUUCCUAUUUGAAGUAGAAGCACAUCUUUCGGUUUUCAAAAAAAAUAGAGGAAAGGGGGAAAAAAGGCUUCUUCCUAUAUUUCAGAUUAAAGGCAGGAUUCCUGUUCACCUAAACUGCAUCAAGAGGAAAUUCUUAGCAAGGAAGUAUUACUACAAGCCCUGAUUUGUCAUAGACAAGGAGCACUGGUGGUUGAACUAAUGACCUGAACAAGGGUGACACUGAUACUCCGGCAGGUCAAAGAAAACUAUCAGCAGGUGAAUGUUGUACAUCAUCUUAACUCUAUCUAAACCACAUGGAUAAAGUUAAACGAAUUUCACAUGGUCCCUCACGGCCUCACUCCUCCUACCUUGUUAAUAGUAGAGUUAACUUAUCCAGAGAGAGAAAAAAAAACAUAUUUUUUGGAACAGUUACAAAGCAGGAAGUUCAGAAAGGUUUCUUCAUAUGCUUCGUUUUCUGUUUAACAACAAUUAGGUGACAAAGAAGACAAAGCACAUUUGGAGUUUAGCUGUGCCCAACAGGUGUGUGCACAUGGCUGCGUUUUAUGGGUCUCCGGAUUGAAAAAGCCCUUUUUCCCCCCUCUCUAUUUUCAGAUGCAGGAUUGCGCGUUUGGACUUGCCUGCCAGAAUUUGACCCGGAAAUGUCUCGUGAGUUUUUAAAACGGUUAGAUCAAAAUGUUUGACAUUUUUUUUCAUAUCCAGUUUCCAGGGGCCAGAACUUUGCCAUCAAACAUAGCUUGGAUUGAAGAUCUAUUUGAUCAGAUGAGAGGAGCUAAGGUUUUCUCCAAGAUUGAUCUGCGAUCAUGUUACCAUUAAAUUUGGUUCUGUAUUUUUUUUAAUUAGUGAACUCUGAAUGGGGUCUUUAUUGAGCUUACCAUAAUAUUCUGGUUUGUUAGGAAAAUGAUCUGUUUGGUCAUCGACAUAUAAUCACUCGGCACAUCGCUGUAAGAAUCUUAAAAAAAAAAUCAAUGUAAGAAAGAGUUGAUAGUACAUUCUCUCUAUUUUGUGUUCCGUUGUGCUGCAUUUGAACGGGGGAAGGAAGAUGCAUAGUUAUAAAAUACUUCCUCGUUUUAAAUUAUAGGUUGUUUUAGUUUUUUAGUUCAUAUAUAUUUGUAUGCAUCUAGACAUACACUAUUUAGGUACAUACAAACAUCUAUGCACCUAUAAAAGCUAAAACGACCUACAAUUUGGGAUGGAGGGAGUAUGAGUUGCAUGAAAGAUAGCACCAGGAGAUCUCAUUGGUUGAAGUUGACCCGUUCAAACUUAAACAUCUCCAUGUAGAAUUGUUCAAAUUAGUCUGCAGAGUACUCCAUAAACAGGGUUUCUUAAAGUUGACUCAAAAGUCAACCCACCUGCAGGCUAAAGAAACGGGGUGCAAGUGCAACCAUACAAAAAUCACAACUGAUGUUGGGGUGUUUGGAUACAUCAUGCUAAAGUUUAGCACCUGUCACAUCGGAUGUUAGGAUGCUAAUUAGGAGUAUUAAACAUAGGCUAAUUAUAAAACUAAUUGCACAGAUGGAGUCUAAUUCGCAAGACGAAUCUAUUAAGCCUAAUUAGUCCAUGAUUUGACAAUGUGGUGCUACAGUAACCAUUUGGUAAUGAUGAAUUAAUUAGGCUUAAUAGAUUCGUCUCGCGAAUUAGCACAGGGGUUCUGCAAUUAGUUUUAUAAUUAGCUCAUGUUUAGUCCUCCUAAUUAGUAUCCGAACAUCUGAUGUGACACUGCUAAAAUUUAACACAUAGUAUCAAACACCCUAGUUCAUCACUAUAACUUGACCUCGAUUUUUGUGCUCGGACUCUUCGGAGGAAACAUGCAUGGGCAGCUACGACUUUCAGCUACUCCUCUGCCAUUGUUUUUUGUUUUUUUUUGGUAAAGUGACAUAUUGAAAUUGAUCUUGCUACUAUUGACACCAAUAAUUUAAGCUUAGGAUCAUUCCACCAAAAAUUAUUGACACAACUCGUCCCUAAGCUUAACCACAUCACCGAGGCAACCAUGACAGCUCAUGGCGAACAGUGUGAGGCACCGUCACUGUAUUUUCGUUGACCUGGGCUACGCUAAAGUAUCGCGGCUUCUGUCCACACGUGUCUGAUUGAACCCCCAAUUUCAGCAUCUCUCGCUUUCCAUGCAAUCUCGCAACAAGUGAACGUACAGCUAGUGUCCACAUUUGCCCCCAACAAACAGCUCGAAAUUGCUGACGCGAUGUUAGGCAGAUGCCAAGCAACCUAAUUGCCCUGUGAGAACAUAAUUAAUUACUUAAUUAGCAUUGCGGUACGGUGCCGGCCAAAGGAGAGCCUUGAAACAGAUCACGAAAUAGCAAUACUCGUUUGUUAUUUUCUGAGAGCACGAGGGGAAAAAAUUGUUCAAGGAGAAUUACAAUGAGGCGCUCAGGCACAAAAAAAACUACUUUAUUUUUUUGCCAUGUCGUAUAAAAUUGAUGCUGAGGGAAAUGAGGGGAUAUUUAAGUUUUUACCCCAAAAUAUAAAGGGAUAUUUAAGUUUGGUUUAGGUGCUUAAAGUGUGUAGAAUGGCAAUUGUCAAUUGGAUCCUUUUUAAGCAUUUUUUUGUGUGAUCUUGCCCGUCUUGGAAGUGCAAUUGUGUUUUUACCCCUGUUUUUUAAAUUUUGUGAUUUUUCCCUUACAUAUUCACAAGUCAAUGCGAUUUUACCCUUAUCUUUGCGUAUUCGCCCCUGUUUUGACCAUUGACUAGGGCAAAAUCACAUUUUGAUGGAAAAUCACAAAGUUGAGAAAAUGAGGGCAAAAUCACAAUUACACUUCAAAGCAGGGGUAUGAACACAAAUGCCUCCUAUUACUAAUUGGAGUCUCCUUUUGAGACCUCCAAAUGAAGUCACCUAGGAUCCUAGGUGGACACUCUAGGAAAAAAAGAAAAAUCCUAAAAAAAUAAAAUAUCUGACCAUCAAUCGGUAGACUCAAAUCAUCAUAGCUAUUGAAUCUAUUAUGUUUUAAAAAAUUACCUACCUGCCAUUAUGAAAAUAGGUUAAAGUAACCCCUAAAUCUAUAUCUAAAUUACCCAUCUCCACCAUUAUAUAAAAUAAACUAAAGUAACCCCUAAUCUUCAUCUAAAUUACCCACUAAUACCUUUAUAAAAUAAUUUAAAAUAAGCCCCUAAACUUGCAACUAAAUUGCCUCCACUAAUACUUAAAAAAAUAACUUAAAAUAACCUCUAAAUUUACAUCUAUAUUACUAGCAUGUGCUAUUAUUAAAAAUAACAUUAGGUAACGCUAAAUUUGAAUUCAAAUCACCUUCAUUAAAAAUAUACCCCAAUAUACACUAAUAUAUGAAUUAAAGCAUAUAUGCAUGAUGUGUAUCACCAUUUAUAAAGAUAUAAAGGAAGUGAUGAGAAUAUAUUAUUUUUUGUUAAAAUAAUGGCUCAAACUUAUGGUCCAUUAAACAAAUUCAAGUGCAUCCCCUUGCGAUGCAAAGUGAAAAGUUAAAAAUUAUAAAUGUAGAUGAAUACAUUAUAGAGUAAUUACUAACUAAAAUUUAUCACAAUCGAAUGAAGAUAAUAAGUAUCUAUCUAUAUAAAUAUCGUGUUUGAAUAUUUAACACAUGAGAGGUAGCUCAAUGCAAGGUAAUAGUUUUGUAGUAAUGCGGCCUUAUUUUUUUUUCCAUUGGAGGCUUCGCAUUAGUUCUAAUAAAAAAAGACAAAUUCUAGAAAUUGUCACAAAAAUCAGAAACAUCAAAUGCCAAUCAUGUAAACUCUAAAAAUCAUAGCAUUGACCUAUUAUAUUUUCUAAAAAGUUACCCACCACUAUCAUUAUGGAAAUAUUCAAAGUAAACCUCUAAACUUAUAUCUAAAUUACCGAGCUCUGCCAUUAUAAAAAAAUAAUAUAAAAUAACCACAUAAUCUUCAUCCAAUUUACCCAUGCAUAUCAUUAUAAAGCAUAACUUACCAUUCUAAAUUUGUAUCUAAGAUACUCACAUAUGUUAUUUUUAAAAUAACUUAAAGCAAACACUUAAAUCUUAAUCUAAUUACCUUCAUGUUCAUCAUACAGAAAUGUCCAAAAGUAAACUAUUAUAUGAAUCUAACUUACCUAUUUAUGUUAUUGUUAAUAUUGAAAUACUUAACUAGUAUAUACGCACGAUGCGCAUCACCAUAUAGACCAUUUAUACAUGUAUGUGAGGAAGUAUUGAAAAAUAUUAAUUUUUAUGGUAAACACAAUGCAUGGAGGUGCGAUACAAAAUGAAAAAAGUUUGAAUGUGGAUGAAAAAAUGUAUAGAGUAAUUACUAAUUAAAAAUCAAUCACAACUAGACAAAGGUAAAUACACAUCUAUAUGAAUAUUAUGUUGAAUUAUUAAAAAAGAGAGUGGUAGGUAAAAAAAUUAAUUAUUAGUUUAAAUUUAAUUUUUAAAUACAAUAGUUUUGAAAAUUUUAGCAUGUGCGGAAGCACGGAUUGAUGGACUAGUUUGCUCUAAUUUUCAUUGAGUUUUAUUCGGGCAACUAUAUUGAUGUGUUCACUCUCUCUUACCAAGCACUCGUGUCUAAACGCUGACUCUGCGAGGUACAGUAGCCAGUAUGCAUAAAACACGGCGGUUCUUUUGUUUUUGCCCCUUCAAUUUUGUUAGCGUUGGUAAUUAAUCGCACACGUGCUUAUUAAAGCUUGAGGGGGUUGGAGGCAUGUCACCAUUUUGGGAGCUAAAGCGUCAUUGGGCCAUCUCAACUCCUCGUCCGAUUCCGAUCCCUACAAAAUUAGUAGGCGCGUAAACAAUGGAGGCGUUGGAAGCUCGAGAUCCCGGCAGAAUCGAAGCACGUACUCCGUAGGAGUAGUAGACUAGCAUUUUCUGUGUAUAAACAAAUCAACAAACGAACACAAAGUAGUAGGAGUAAGAAACUUCCUCCUACUGGUGUAUAUAAAAUUCACUAUCUGUAUUGAUGAGAUGACCCGGUCAAUCCACAUUUUAGGGCCACGCGACGCGACGGCCACGAGCACCGCCGACGACUGCUGGGCUGAGCUCGUCUCCCCGGAAUCCAGCCAGGGCUCACGAAACCGCGUCGGCAGCGGUGGCCCACGGCGGUGUCGGCGCGCGCAUCAAUAAUUCAUGAGAAUUGACCGCAGAUAUAUUCUAACGAACUGAAGAACCGUAGUAGAUCCGGAUGAACAACAAAAAAGAAUGUUGACUUGGGUCCAACAUCAUCAUCUAGAGUAACAAAAUCGAAGCUGUCAGCCAGUCACCAAAUGGCGGAUCGGAUCCUCGAUCCAGCCACCAAACGAUGGAUGCAACAAGAAGGCGGCGGGCCGGUCAGCCUGUGUUGCGCAUGCCGGCGGCGAUGCCGUUGAUGGUGAUGAGCAGCGCGUCGCGGAGCCUGCGGUUGUCGUCGUCCCGCCGUAGCCUCCGGAGCACCUCCACCUGCAGCAUGUUGAUGGGGUUGAGGUAGGCCAGCCGGCUCUCGAUGAGCCGGCGCAGGCUCCGGUUGUGCGCCGUGAGCUUGGCGUGCCCGCUCACCGCCAGCACGCACCGCUCCGUGCGCGCCAGCUCCCGGCGCAGCUCCCCGCCCACCGCGCGCCGCUCGGGGGCCACCAGCAUCGCCUCGUAGUGCGCCGCCAUGGGCGCGUCCGCCUUCGCCGUCACCAUCUCGAUCAGGUCCACCGUGCUCUGGAAGAAGGGCCACUCCGCGUACAUGGCGCGGAGCUCCUCGCCGUGCCCGCCGUCCAGCGCGCCCUGCAGCCCCGUCCCGACGCCCAGCCACGCCGGGAGCACCAGCCGCGUCUGCGUCCACGCGAACACCCAGGGGAUGGCGCGCAGGCUCGAGAUGCCCCCCGCCGGCUUCCGCUUCGCCGGCCGGCUGCCGAUGUUGAGGAACCCGAGCUCCGCCUGCGGCGUCGCCUCCUGGAAGUAGGUGAUGAAGUCCGGGUCCUCGUACACCGUGCGCCGGUAGUGCGCGCAGCUCACGCGGGAGAUCUCCUCCAUCAGGUGGCGCCAGUUGGGGUCCCGCGGCGGCUGCGGUGGCCGCAGCGUCGCCAGGAGCACCGCAGUCGUGUAGAUCUCCAGCUGGCGGACGGCGGUCUGCGGCAGACCGAACUUGGCCUGCACCAUCUCGCCUUGCUCCGUCGACCGGAGCGUGCCCUGAUAAGAUGAGAUGAGCGUGCCUUCUCGUCGUAAGGAACACAAGAACACAUGCGAAAGAAGAGGUUACUGAGGAGCAACCACGCACCAUUACUGAGCCGGGAGGCUGCGACUGGAUGGCCAGGUAGGUCGGCCCGCCACCGCGGCCGAUGCUGCCGCCACGGCCGUGGAAGAGCGUCACCUUGAUCCCGAACUCGUUGCACGCGGCGACCACGUCUUCCUGAGCCUUGUACAGCUCCCAUGCGGCGGUGAACCGCCCGGCGUCCUUGCCGGAGUCCGAGUAGCCCACCAUGACCUGCAAGAAUCAAUGAAUUCAGAAGUUUCAGACAAAAAUUGGAAUGAAAACACAGAGUUCUAGUGCUUGGUGGCAUUCCAUUUCUUGUGUACCUCCUGGUGGCCAUUGUGGUUCUUGAUGACAUGCUCCCUGUACCAGUCGAUGGAUAGCAGCUUCCUGAUUGCUGAGCCAGCUUCUCGCAAAUCUUUCACGGUCUCAAACAACGGAACAACUCUUAACCUGUUCACCAAGGAUCAAUUGAAGAGUAAUCGAAAAAAAACACUGUUAUGAUGAUGGCCCUAGCAAGUCAAUAUUCAAAUCACUAGACUGUACAAAUUGGCAUGAACAUCAUGCUUACGUUCCACCAGGACAUGGCCUUCCUAGGUCCCCGCUAACUGUAAGCCUUGCAUCCUUCUGCAACAGCUCAACAGCAAGGACAUCACUUGCCUGCAAGGAAAUCAGAAAAUGAAUGUCAAGCUAUAUAACAUUUGUGAACGCCUAUGGUUCUAACUUCUAAGCUGUGUAACCUAGCUGCAGAAGGGUGUUAAUAAGCAUGGCAUGGAAAGACAUGUAACUAAAUUUUACCCCACUAUGUGGGUGCAAUGCAGGAUAUAUCUGCAGAACUGUAAAAUAUUGAUUGCGGAUAAUUAAGAUUGUAUUUAUCUUUUACUGCAUUGUAUAGAUGCAUGGUGUCUCUUCAUACAUUUGAGGCCAUGGAAAUCACAUAUGCUCCAAGCGAGUCGCUCCCUAAUUCUGCAGCAACCUUGAAGGUGUCCAGAACUUCUUUCACAUCAGCAGCAACCUAUACAGAAGAAAAUAAAUGCAGAUGUAGGUGAAUUAGUGUAGAGUUUAUCCCUUUCUUUUUCUUUAACUAUCACACAGUUUAGACAGUCAUAAACUUGUGAUGCCAAAAUUUAAAACAAUGGAUACUUAAUCCAUUAUUGAUAGAUCCAGGUUUGGUAGUUCUGGUGUUGCGGUCUCACCAAACACUUCACAGACCACUGCCUCUCUAUUAUCAGUUUAGCAGAGCAGUAACCAAUUAGCCAAUUUGGCACGGGCCACCGUCAAAGACACAAAUUAAUCUCGGCAGCAAUAACUUCAAUAGGGACCAACGAUGCAACAUGAGGGUAGCUUAUUUCCAACUAGAGCUUAAUAGCUUUGAUCAGUUUUAUAAUCUGUCAUCUUCAGAAUGAUAUUCUAACAUGAUGUUGAAAGUUGCAAACAUUACAAUAAUGUGGAAAUCAAUUAAAAUGACUUUGAGCGAUUAAUAAAAAAAUAUCAAGCAGCAAAUAACCUUAAGAACUGAAGAAGUAUUAGUCUAGAAUGCAACCUUUAACCUGGAUAAGAUUUAAACAACACUUCGUCUAUAGGAUUCGAAAAGGUUGCUUUACACAGGCAAGGACUAACCUCUAUGCUUGGAGGAACUAGUGGACGCUUCCCUUUCAGCUCUCUAGUCAAGAAAUCCAACUUCUUUUCUUCAUCCCACUCACUAUAAACGCCAAGAUCCAAAUAAGAUGUGACAGCAUCAAGAGCUUCUGUGUGUCAACCAGAUUCCUGCAGCAACGAAUAACUUUGCCUAAUCUUUUAUAGUUGCCAAUAGGAAACUUAGAAGCUGAGCAAGCAAAAGCAGUAGUUUUCAUUAUAUGUACCUGGCGCACAUCGAGCUUCAUUAGCACCAUACCAAAGGUUGCAACCCUUCGUAUCAAAUCUGCCAAUCGGCCAUCAGCAAGCACGCUAGAUCCACAUGAUUGCUGCCUCACAGAGUAAUGGAAGGUUUGAGCACUACUCAAUACAAGAGCAGUUCUUAUAUUAAGAGUCAGGAUUCUUGAGCUACCGUUGCUGUUUCUCACAACUCAAAUAGUCUUAUUUUAUCAAUUUAAUUGCAGAUACAUUUUCUAUUUUUACUGAUAGAGAAACUUCUGUUUCUUAUUUCCAUCCUCUCCAUACAUUUAGUAAAAGCUGUCAAGCUUACAGUUUUUGUUAAAAAAAAUGGAACUCAUAUGUAUUAGGGUCGUUCACAUGACUGUUGAUGGUUAUUCAGCAAAAAGUUAGCAUGGACAAAAGCAACUUUGAAUGACGUUAUUAAUAAUAUCUGUACCAAAUUUUCCAGCAUGGAUACUUCUGAUUGUAAUUUUAAGUAGCAUCACAUGAUUAACCCAGCAUUGUGCAACCACAGUUAUUCAAGAGGACUAACCAGUGAUUGAUAGCACAAGAGCAAGGGCUCCAAAAGUUGAUCUGAUGUUUCACAAUAUUCUUCAGUGUCAUAGUCACAUGGUAAAUCCUCAAGAAGAAGUUCUAGCCUUCUGCGUGUCUUCACCAGCUGGCAGCAGAAAUUAUGAUCAGAACAAUAAUGAAAAAAAAACAUGUAAAAUGUACUAGUUUGGUCCUAUAUAUAAUUAGCACCAUUGGUUUGGUUUAUUCUUAUAUUACCCCUUUGUAUCAAAUUUGGGUAUAGAGCACUAAUUGCCCAAUAUUUGGAUUUAUAAUUUUUCUGGUACAAUAAAUUUGCAAGACAACCCUAGGAUCUGUAUGAUAAUAAAACGUUCUUAUAUUCACACUAUAUUUCUAAUAAAUUGAAAGAUAUGAUUCUGACCUUUUCUUUCACAUGACCAAGGACAACCCUGUAAGGAGUAAUUCCUGGUUUGUCUGAUAUGCUUGGCUCAAGUAACUUCCUAAAGCUACUUGAUCGACCCAUAUUAGAUUCUUUCAACAACUUCCUCAGUUGACCGCCACUUGGAGUUCUACCCAUCUGCGAUUGACGACCAGUAGGAGAUGACAAUGGACCGUCUUCAAAUUUUUCUGGUAAAUUAAGACCUCCCUGGAAAACAUGAGUGAUAAACUAACUUUUAUUGCAUGCUGUGUUGGACAGCUGAUCGGCUAGCAAAAAGGAAUCUGCCACACCCUGCAAGCUGCCCACACUGUGAUCAAGCGGAGGAAACCAUUAAUCACCUGCUGAUAGAAUGUGUCUUUGCUCGAGAGUUUUGGUUUAAUAUUCUGAGAAGGGUUGGACUGCAGGCUCUCACCCCUCAUCGGAGUUUUGAGGAUUGGUGGGAAGUAAGUUCUAACAAUGUGCCUGCUCCCAUUAGAAAAGGCCUUAACUCUCUAAUUAUUCUGGGAGCCUGGACGUUGUGGAACCAUCGCAACCGAUGUGUCUUUGAUGGGGCCUAUCCAAGUGUUACCAGAGCUUUGUUGUCGGCCGGUGAGGAGUUACAUUUGUGGGGUAUGGCUGGAGCUCGAGGAGUUAAUCACCUCCUUGCUCUAGUGCCAACUGAGGAGUGAAGGUUUAGGUCAAGGUCGGCUGUUUUUUUCUGUAGAAAAGGCGCUUGUCGGCAUGGUUCUGUAAUGGUGUGUGUGUUUGUGUGUUGUAAGGGUUCUUAUCCUUUUUUCUUCUUAAUAUAAUGAUACGCAGCUCUCCUGCGUGUUCGAGAAAAAAAAACCUUUUAUUGUAUGAAAACAAAUUUAGAUGUGCAUUAAAUCUAUCUGGAUGGCAAGCGCUUACUUCCUUGCUAGAGAAAAAAAACUUGGUAAAACAGUUGUCAGAAGCACAUUUUCUAACUGGUGAGGUCUUCGUAUCUAAUUUGUAAAUACUAGAUUAGGUAAGACCAGGCUGUAUUCAAUAAACCUGCGUUAAUGUGUAUGCCUAUUUUCUAACAGCAUAAAGUUUGAUUGAUCGUUAACUAUUGCUCAAUGAACUUCACAUAAAAGUAAAGAACAUUUUCAGACGUCACAAAAUUGGCAUGUUCUUACAGGACGACUUGGGUUCCUUGGAAGAUUUAUCAUCCUGAAUUGGGAUUCUCCAUCACUGCAUUCUGCAUCAAAGUGCAAUUGUUCAAGGUUAGAAGUUGAUGCGGACAUAUAGAAAUGCAUUAGUAGAUGCCACUGCAAAAUUUAUGUGGCGGAGGAAACCCAGGUGGUAUUAGAGAUGAUGCAUGAUGUUAAAUCCUAGCCUGUUACACAGGAGGUUUGUUAACUAAAGAUUCUAAUUGAAUGGUAAUAUAAAGGAAUGUUUUAAAUAAUUCGUCAAAUAUUGUCCAUUUUAUGCACAUGCACAUAAAGUUAUCUGCUCCAAACAGAGAAAUCUACCUGUACAUGAAGGAAGAUCAGCACCAGAAGGAAGCUGUGCAGGUAGCGCCAAGCUAUGGUGUAGCUUUGCAUUGUUUUGAGGUACUGUUUGGUUCCAGGCGUUGGCCUUUAGGUCCUCGGAUGCUGAUUCAGUAGAGGUCACUCGAAAAUAUCAACACAAAUUAUCCAAUGAACUUUCUGUGAGACAUGAACAUGUACAGAAUGUGCUGAGCUCAUUUCUACACCACGUAAAUGUUUUACCAUCUUAAACUAGUAACAAUCCAAUAGUUGUCAUAGCUGAUGAUAACUAGCCAGCUCCUAGCUGGAUUUGAUAAUCAAGUACAAAACCAUGAAACUGACCUUUGAGCAAAAUUUCAUUAGCCAAGCUUGUAACCUUGUCACUGCAUCUCUUGACAGACAGUUCAAAGCUGAGAUUGUCUAAUUCCCUGAUGUAUAAGUCAAUUGCCAUCCACCGGGACAACAAUGAAACAUCCCUAGUCACCUAGUAUUAUAGAAUGACAAUUUUUUUCAGUAUUUCUGAUUGCAUCAAAACUCACAGAAUUGAUGACUCCAUCAAACCAUUACAGUAGUACGAGAUAGUGAACAUGCACCAAGUCACUGAUAUCUUACUUUUGCUGUAACAUUAGGAUUUCCAUCUCGGUCCCCACCCAUCCAAGAACCAAACUUGAUUGGUGUGCAGGUUAGUGGAAGUGGGCUUCCAGUGUGCUAUAGUGAAGUAUGACGAAGAAAGGUUGAGAGUUUUUUGGGAACCAAAUAGAUGACAAAUCUAAUAAAGGCAAUCACUGUAUCUGUACCUUCUUUAGAGCACUGCUAACACGGCGAAGAUAGUGUGGUACCGCUUUCCAAAGGGAUUGCUCCACAAUAUGAAGACCUACAGUGUCAGUAAAAAUAAUUAUAAGAUAUACAUAAACAGCAUAAGUGACAAAUCAGAGACCAGGAUGCUUAAUUUUCCUACCAGCUCUAGCUUCGUCAACUGGUGUAGGUUUAUGGCGCCUCAACUCAUCUGUCUGCCAUAUUGCUGUGAUUUCCCUUACCUACAUAUCAAAGUUCUGGGGUUUCGACUGAGGAGAAUAAAAGAAUUACUAUGCAAAUUCUCAGUUCUGAUAUAUACCAGAUCUUCAAUGAGCAUUUCUUUAUCCUCAUGGCUAAGAUCAGGGCGUGCAUUGAACUCCAAAAGAUGCUACAACACAUCUCCAUCAGUAAGUGACAGCCAAUGUAGUAACGAGGGGAAAUGGACAAAGAGUUUCUAAUAAACUAUAGAUGUUAAACUCACAGCUACUCUGAGGUGCUUGUAUUGCAAAGUUCGCCGAUUUAUUUGGGUGGGAUGAGCUGUCAGAACAAUUUCAACCUCCUACAAAAAAAACGAUCAAGCGUCAACUAAAAGGCUUGAUGAUGCAUGGCACUCUUAAGAACCACAAUGUAGAAAAGUACCUGCUUGCAAACGGUGUCAUAUAGUUGUUUCGGAGGGACGCCACUUUGAAUCAGCUUACCAAAUAUAUCAUCACAAGAUUUUGAGAGUUGUUCUACGUUGCGUGCUUUCCGAACCCUACAUAAAAAAAAUUAUAAUAUGCAUAAUCAAUGCACAAUAAUAACCAGUUUAACAUAAACUGUAAAAUUUAGUUGAUUUUCCAAGCUAGGUAAGAAUGUUCAACGGUCAGGAAAUUCAUUAGUACAAAAUGGGUAAGAUAUUACUGCUAGCUUGCAACAUGCAUGAUGAUGUGGCAUCAAUUCACGUAAUGUAUUACCUAUGUAAUUUUUUCUUAAGCGUCUGGAGAGACUCCUGACCAUUACUAAAUAUGUCAAGCUAUUAGAUCACUUAUAAUUAACAAAAUAAGUAUUACACCAAAUUGUGUUACUAGAUUGCAGAAAUCACUGAUUGCUUUCUCGGUAGAAUAUUCCCCCUAUGACGAUCAUAAUCAACCUAGUAUGUGAAAGCCUAAGGCUCAUAUAGUUAAAUAUAUCUGAGGAGGGUGACACUGACAUGGAAAGGAAGCAAUCAACCAUGACCCAGCAUUACAUGUUGUACGCAUCACAUUGUACGUAAAUUCUUGGAUUCUAGGCUGAGAAAUAGAAAACAAAAAAAGGCUUCUGAUACCUAAGGUUGCUGCAAUGCAAUGUACCAUUACCUACCAUACAUACGAUCUGAACAAAAUAUAGUCCGUCAGAAGUCGGAGAGGACAACAAAAUCCUGCAUACUUAUUUGUAUCCUACUUAAAAGUUAAAAUCUAGACCCAAAUUGAUUUGCUCAACAUUAUUUGACCAUCAAAUUGGGGAGAUGAGCCUUUCGAGUUGAGUGAAUCCUACUGUAAAUCUCAAAUUGGGUUCAAUCCGAAUGUUGGCACCGAAAAUGUUACUUCGUACUGGGUAGUUGUAAACUUGCAAUGCAUGCCCAUUCUAAAGUAUUAUAUUGCAAUGCAAAUUUUUAAAAUCUUGAACGUAAUUAACACAGGAAUCGUACAUUCAUAAGCACAUUGUUAGAGUAUGCAUUCCUGCGGUUCUGAGUAUAGAUCAGCGUCGAAAUGCUAGCGAGCGAGCCUACCUGUGAUGGGUCUCCGCGAUGCCCAUGAGGUUGAGGUAGUGGGAGAAGGCCCGGGCGACGCAGAGCGCGUCCUCGAGGGACAUGGCGGCGAGGUCGGCCUCCAGCUGGCUCUCGACGACGGCCGCCGUGUCAUCCAUCCCCGCCGCGCGCGUGGAGACGGCGCUCUGCACGAUCGAUCGCCGACGCAAGAUCGAUCGUUCGUGCACCGAUCGAACGAUAGAUUUGUCAGAUCACCAUUUCACAGUUCACACUUCAGUGACUUGACACGCACGCCGAGAGCAGCGCAGUGCGGGGGGUGAUCGACGAGAUCGAUAAAUAAUGCGAUGGCAAACGCAAUUGCGUGGCCGAUGGAUGCGGCGGCGGCGGAUCGGAGGUGUACCUGGGCGAGGAUGCGGAUGCGCUCGAGGAUGUGGAUGAAGCGGGGGCCGAGCUCGCGGAGGAGGACGUCGUGGAGGAGGGUGGCGAGGAGGCGGCAGUCGUCCUCGAACGCCUGGAACGAUAUGCCCUCCGCGAUGUCAUCCGUCGUGUCCAGCAUCCUCCUUCCUCCUCUUCUUCCUCCUCCUCGAGAUCGAUCGACGGGUUAAUGGAUUGGUAGAGAGAAAGGGGACGUGUCGACGUGAGACGGAAUGGAAGUCUCUGCGUGUGUUACGCGAGGCUGCGAGAGGGGGAGGCGAGGCAGAGGUGGGGGAGGAAAAACCGGAGGGCGCGGGCACCCGAAAUAGAAGGUGAUACGCUGAUACUGAGGGCCCGUGGUUGCGCAUCCAACGGAUGCAACCGGCCGGGUGCACCCGAUCCGCUCUAGUGUUCUUUUACGGAGGGUCCAAGUUCGUGGUCACUCGGUGAGAAGCCCAAGGGGCCCUAAAUUGAACCUAGCCCACCACCGGCGCCAACCCCGAAAGGCCGAAGCAAACCUGUUUUUCGUGACCCCGUUCCGAAAGCCCAAAACGUACUUGGGUUGUAUAAAGCGAGUAUAUUACUGUGUGUGUUGAGUGAUACUGACCUCCGUCUCUAAUAAGUACUGGUCACUUUUUUUUAAGGAACGACUGGUCACUUCUGAACAAUACAAAGCUCUGUUCGGCUGGAUUUAUAAGCCGGCUGAAAAGCUAAAACGGCUGAUUUGCUGUGAGAGAAAAAUACUGUUUGGUAGCUGAUAAGUUGAAGCGAACGUAGCAUAUGUUUGUUUCAAAAGACAGUUAUAGCGAAUCGAAGAAACAAGAAUAUUGUACUGUACUGCACACCACAUUUGCAAGUUCCAAACGACAACAGCAGGAUAGCAGUACGUGUUGUUGUUGAGGUUGGUUGGGAAAAUUUUUUUGCUGCAGCACAGCAGGCGGCCGUGUCCCUGGACGGGCUGCACUUGCGAGCGAGGCCGCGAGUCGGAUGCCGAAUGAUGCUGCAUUGAAGAUGGGCUCAGGAUCCGGAUGCUGAACGAGCAGGGAGGCAUGGAGGGGGCGGCGAGGCGCCUCAGGAUCCGGAGGUCAGCGCUCCGCUCCGGCGGCAGCGGCGGGAAGCAUCAUGUCAUUUCGGUCGGAUGGCGCAGCAGAGUGGGCAGGAGGCCGCAGGGCGGCAGACGGCUGCAGCACACUGAUGGAUGCAUGGAUGGAUGGGAUAUGUGUCUGUCGCAGCGACAAGGCAGCCGCAGACGAGACAAAAAAGCUUGGAACUGGAACUGUGGAACACUCUGCUUGAGUGCUUGUGCUUGGUUUCCUAGACGGACGAUCGAACAGGUGCAGCAGAGGCCAUGGCCUGCAGAAGAUCUGAAGUAGUAGUACAGUGGAACGCUAAAGCAGGCAAGCAAGCUGCGGCUGCGAGAAGGACAGAAGGGGGACGAAGCGAGGCGACAGCGAACAGACAUUUUUGCCUUGACAGGGGUGACUCCGGCAAGCGCCUGCCUUUUCUUUCGGGUCAUUACGGAUUUACGGCAUCUCCAUCUCGCUCGACCUUGCUUCCUUGCUUGGGGAGCCAGGCCAGCACUGCAGUAUGAAAUUGCUUGCUUGCUGCUGCCACAAACCUUUUUGCCCCCCCCCCCCCCCCCCCCCCCCCCCCCCCCCCCCACAAAAAAAAAAAAAACCGCAGCUACUGCCGGGAGAGUCCGGUGUCUAGGCACUCACGCACCCCCGCACAACACGAGACGCUAGCUUCCCCCACGUAGGCCCCUUCCAAUCUUUCCAUAGCCCAUAGCUCCAUUUCUCCAAACGGCCAGACGACCUUCUCUUUUCCUUUACUUUUACCACGCUGUCUUUGAUGAGGGACGAGCUGUGCUGUGCUGUGCCGUGCAGUGUGCACGCAGCGCAGCGUAGCAGCCAUUACCUACAGCAGGAUGCCGACGCCGCGGCUGACACGCACCGCGCAAAUACGUAGCGCUACAAUUAUUGCGUGCACUGCACUGGGAUACUGGAAACUACUCUGGUAGGAGUACAGUACAAUUCCUAGGCGUCCGGUGAAUACUCCUACAGGCUACAGUCCUGCUCCUGCGAUGCGACGGUGACUAGAGCCUAUAGGAGGACUAGCGAGCGAGUGCCAGACCUCAACUGGCCACCGCGGCCAGCGUGCAGGCUAUCCGUCAGGCUACGGCUGGCCCGCCUAGCUCAGGCCCCCACCUUUCCAAGGUCCUUUCUGUCUCUUAGAUAAAAGACCAUUACUGUCCGGCUUUAUAAAGAAAGCAGAGCUUCACUGGGACAACAGUUUACGAUUUAGGGGUGUUUGGAUACAAUUUUAGAAGUAUCUCGGAUGUUCGAUACUAAUUAGAAGGACUAAAUAUGAGUUAAUUAUAAAACUAAUUGCAGAAUCCAAUACUAAUUCGAGAGACGAAUCUAUUGAGCCUAAUUAAUUCAUGAUUAACACAUGUUUACUGUAGCAGCAUAUUAUCAAAUCAUGGAUUAAUUAGGCUUAAUAGAUUCGUCUCGCGAAUUAGACUCCAUCUCUGCAAUGGAUUUUGUAAAUAGUGUACGUUUAAUACUUCUAAUUAGUUUCAAACAUUCCAUGUGACAGGUACUAAAGUAGGUGUAUCCAAACACGCCCCAGCUAUUACAGAUAAACUGACAUGCAGCUAAGACUUUAGCCAAACCCACUCUACUAUUCUCUCUAAGCAAAACAAGCAGCGUAACAGCUUGCUUUAAGACUGUCAUAAAGCUGAUACAGAAAGAUUAGCUGAACUACACACUCUCUCAAGCACCUUCUGAUCAAGAAAAAAGAACCAGCAGAAACCGUGGGAACUGGAUUUGUCGCCCCUCCUUUUUCAUGUGUUUUGAGCAUCUUCAGACCUUAAUGAUAACAGUCGAAGUCUCAGCUUGCGAAAUGCCGUAUCGAUCCAGAGUUGCUCCUUCUCCUUGUUCAGGAUCUUCCAUUUCUGCAUAAAAGACAUUGAACGGUAUAUGCCUACGUCAGGAGAAGAAACAACAACAUUGUUAAAGACUAGAUCGUUUCUAAUUAGCCAUAGGCUCCACGCUAGACAGCCAAAACGAAAAAUAAAACUCCUAAUCUGUUUGUUAGAUCCUUCCUGUACUCUCUCUUGAAGCUCAUCCUAGUUGGUGUAAAAUGCCACUCUACAAUAUCUCUAAUCACACACCAGCAGAACUGCGCGACUAGACAUCGGAAAAAGAUAUGAUCAGUGCUUUCUAUUUGACCACAUAGUUUGCAUUCAAUUGGUCCAGGCCAAUUUCUCUUCUUUAGCUGUUCUGCCGAUUGGACUUUGUCAUUGCAGACUUGCCAAAGGAACACUUUGACCUUUAGAGGUAUCUUGGCCCUCCAAAUGCACAUCAACCAUCUAUUCGAGAGGCCUGAGAAGUUAGUUCAGUAUACAGAGAAGGAGUAGAGAAGUCCCCUGAUUUUUCUAAAGCCCAUCUCACUGUGUCUGAUGUUUCUGACAAAGUAAUGUUACCUAUUAGGUUGGUUAGAUUUUCCCACUCUAUUUCCUCUCGAAUUCCAAAAUUCCUUCUGAAAGUCAGGUUAAUGUCCCCAUGCUGAAGAACCUCAAAGACCGACCAUUCUUGUUGAUUGCAUACCUCAAAGAGUUCAGAAAAGGCAAUUUUCAGAGGGCAGUUACCUCUCCAUACGUCUGACCAAAAUCUUGCUUUCUUCCCAUUCCCGAUAAUGUAGAUCAGCCCUCUAGCACAACUAUCCCUUGCCUCUAGCAGGCCUUUCCAAAAUUGUGAUCCAUUCUGCUUAUGGUAGCUAAAGAAUCCCUUCUCGCCUAAGUAUUUCUGUCAAAGAAGGUUACAGCAGAAACUGUCAUCUCCUCUUUCAAUUUUGAAGAUCCACUUAGCCAACAAACAUUUGUUCAUCUCUCUAGUGUUUGUGAAACCUGCCCCUCCAAAUUUCUUUGGUGUAGCCAUCAGGUCCCAUUUUGCCAUAUGAUACUUCCUUUUCAUUUGUGGUCCAUGCUAAAAGAAAUUUGCUCUAGCUGAAUCCAUCUUAUGGUGAAUCUCUUCUUGCAGGAGGUACACACCCAUUGUGUAGUUAGGAAUAGAGCUAAAACAUGAUUCUAUCAGGAUCAUCCCCCCCCCCCCCCCCCAAAAGAAGAUAAUCCAGCACAUUGCCCUGAUCGUGCAUGCUUCUCCCCCUUUUUGGGGUGGCUUCCCCAAGCUUAAAUGGUUCUGUGAUAUGGUUUUAGAGCUAAAACCUCACUGAUUCCUAGUCAACUGACCACAUUGCAACUGAAAAACGUAUCCACUUGUGUUUGUCUUCUCUUGGAUGGCCAAAAACCUUUACACAUUUGGUUAAGUGAUAUCAUCUACGUGGCUGAUCUGAUCCUCCAGGGAGAGAAACUUCAGAUAUGAAAUAUCAAGGACCUGCUUCACGGAAACAACUAUCAAUUUUCCUCUUGGUUCUCGANNNNNNNNNNNNNNNNNNNNNNNNNNNNNNNNNNNNNNNNNNNNNNNNNNNNNNNNNNNNNNNNNNNNNNNNNNNNNNNNNNNNNNNNNNNNNNNNNNNNCAAACGAAGACAAGCCAACACUUUGCCACGUUGACAAUCUCUUCUCCACUUUUUUGGUACACGUAUGCCAAAUCUGAAAUGGUCAUGUGUUCGUUGUUAACCAUUAUACCCAGAUAUUUCAUUGGUAAGCAUCCGACAUUGCAGUUGAAAAGUUAUGCCACUCUGGUUUGUUCCUCUUCGGAUCCUCCUAGAACCUCACUCUUUUGGUAGUUAAUACGCAGAUCAGACAUAUUCUCAAAACAGUAUAAGAGAAACUUGAUAUGUAAAAUAGAUUGGUCAUCUAGCUCUAACAAGACAAUUAUAUCGUCUGCAUAUUGGAGAUGGGUAAUACCGCCCUCUAUCAGGUUUGGAACAAGGCCCUUAAUUUCUCCAGCUUCUCUAGCGUUAUCCAUCAUAAAUCCCCAAUGUACUUUAUCAUAUGCUUUCUCGAAAUCCAAUUUCAGAAUAUUCCCCUUAAGUUUAUUCAGGCCAUGUUUAGUUACUCCCAACUCCCAACUUUGACACUAUGCAAAAAGAAGAUUCCCCAUCACAUCGAACUUGUGGUACAUGCAUGGAGUACUAAAUGUAGAUGAAAUUAAAAACUAAUUGCACAGUUUUGUUGUACUUUGCGAGACGAAUCUUUUGAGCCUAAUUAGUCAAUAUUUGGACAAUAAUUCACAAAUACAAACGAAACGCUACAGUGUGCUACAGUGCUGUAACAGUAAUUUGGCACCUCCCAAAUUCCCCAACUAAACAAGGCCUCACUCUCAAUUCAUGUACCGUCAAGAAUGAAUCCCCCCCCUCCUCUCUGGCUUCCUCUGCGCGCGCGGGGGCCCGCGCAGUCACCGUCACGUUUCAGAAACACAGCAGGCGGCCAGUUCAGGACCAGGCACGCCCCUGCCGCCAGCGCAACUGCACGGCGCGCGCUCGCCGCGGCCUGUGCUUCCUGCUUGCCCGUCCCUGUGCUUCGCGGCUCCUGCGGGAGGACGGAGGAGAGCACAGAGCAGUAGAGCACACGGCUGCGUUGCUGACUUGCUGUUCCUGCCGAGCGCCAAUGCCACUCUCCGUCUCCACGGCCUUCGUUUCGGCUUCCUUCCUGCUCCCUAAAACGGGAGAGUCUCAGAGAGUGACCAGCAACAAUCCAAAGUAUAUCCACUCCCUGUUGCAACAUCAGAGGAGAACACGGGCUAAUUACACGAAACGGAACGAAGAGGCUACCCUGUCACCACUACACACUUUCAGGACUCACCCUACUGUAAUCUGGCUUUCAUCACAGCCACCAGACACGUCCAUCCAGCCAUGCUUCUUUCACCCGUCCGAUGAUGAGCAGAAGCACCAGCCAAAAAAGGGGGGCAAAAGAUCAGAGAACACGCAGAAACUAGUUUCCGCAAAACUACCUACAAGUUUCUCCAUGUUCUGCUCCCAGUCCAUCUGUCUGAACUGUCUGAACCUGCCGCUAUAGCAGCACCGACCCAAGGAGCGCAGCCACGGUGCCCUGAACCGCCACCAUGGACCAGAAACCCGCCCGGGCCAGCGGCCGAGAACCCGACCGACGACGACGCCAUGAGGCUUGAGCUCGCCUCAGGCUUCCUCCCCCCGUCCUCCCGCGCGCCAGCGCGGGCGCCGGGCUCCUGCAGGUCCUUGCACACCACCACCCCGGCGGGCGCGUGGGCCGCGUCCACGGCGGCCACGUCGUAGCACAGCCCCGGGUUGUCCCACGACGCGAACCGCCGCCCCAUCCGCCGGUAGAACCCCGGCGCGAACCCGAGCGCGCCCGUCAGGUUGUUGCCGUUCAGGUACAUGGCGCCGAUGCUGGGCAGCUGCGCCAGCCUCGCCGGCACGGGGCCCGUCAGCCGGUUGUGGUCGAGCGCAAGGAACCGCAGCCCGGACAGCGCCGCCAUCGACUCCGGUAUAGCACCGGCGAGCCCGACGUUGGACAGGUCCAGCGUCGCCAGGCCGGACAGCCUCUCCCACCCGGAGGCCGGCAGGGUCCCGCCCAGCGGGUUGUUCGAGAGCAGCAGGUCCUGCAGCGACGCCAUGCCCAGCACGAACCCCGGCAGGGCGCCGGUGAGGCUGUUGUUCCGGAGGUCCAGCAGCGUGAGGCUCUUGAGCCCGCCGAGCUCCGGCGGGAUGCCCCCUUGCAGUUGGUUGUUGCUCAGGUCCAGCUUGAGGAGCCCUCUCAGAGCACCUAGCGACGGAGGCAGAGACCCGGUUAGAUGGUUCUUGCUCAGGUCCACGAUCAGCUGCUCGUCGUGGCGGCGGGGGUUACCGAGUGUCGCCGGGAUCGGCCCCGACAGCCCGUUCCCGGACAGGACCAGCCGCCUCAGCUUCAGCAGCGCGCCGAGCUCGGCGGGCACGGCGCCUGUGAGGUUGUUCUCGACGAGCACCAGCGACUGCAGGCUGGCCAGGCGGCCGAGGGAGGCCGGGACGGCGCCGGUGAGGCCCGGGUUGGUGCGGAACUCGAGCGUCUCCAGGCUGCCCGACAGCUUCUCCCAGCUGGCGGCGGGGAUCGCCGUGGGGUUGCUCGCCGGGAAGCAGCUGUAGAAGGACAGCGUCCGGAGGCGCCUCAGGUCGAACAGCUGGGGGCUGAACUUGGCGUCAGGGGCGCACUGCAGUGAGUUGUCAAGAACUGGGCCAAUGCUGAUCGAUGUUGGGUACCACAAGCCAUUGAACAAGUCACAUGACACCCCCUGCACAAAUUCAGGCAUCCAAGAACCAGUUAAUCCAAAGAAUUUGAAUUUUACAGGCAAGCAUGCUACAAUCUGAGAUUUACAGCCAGCCAUCAUCAGUUGCAGACAAGGUAACUAACACAUGUUGAACAGUAACCGGAGUAGUUACUGGUAGCAGUAACACAGAGUGGGUUGAUCCAAGAUGGUGCCAUUUCUUAAAGGUACACCUACAAUUUUGGCACCUUCUUAACUGUUACCAGUAACAAUCAAAUUGUAAAUCCGACCAGUGCAUUCUGAAAGGUAAAUAAUUGCAAGAGCAAAUUCGUAUGUGUGGAGUAUAAAAGUAGGCAUGUAUUCAUCAUAGAGAAGAAAAGGCAUGUCUGCAGAGCAAAAGGAAGAAGAUACUAAAAUAGGAGAGUACUGUUCGAGGCAUGUCGAGGAAAUAUGCCAUUUCAAAUCAUCAGAGAUUCUUUUUCAUGUGAGUGGAAAAGCUCCUGCCCAAGAGAUCAGAUCCUCCUAUAUCGAGUAAGGCUGAGGAGUGCGUGAAGACCCAAGGCUGAAGCACCAGCAGAGGUCUCAUCCAACAGUGAAGCGAAUGUGCACAACGAACACUCGAACAGUGGUACAACACUCUUGUCUCUUGAAGCAACAGUUCAGGAACAGAGCGCUUGAAGAACACAAGCAGGACAAAACAGAGGCUACCUAGAACCAGGAAUUUCAAAACCAAGACGAGGAAGAGGAAGGUUCAUGUAAGCAAAACUCCAGGAAAAUUCAAGAAGUUCAGAGCAUCUGAACAAUUGGCAUCCCGAAACAAGACACCUAUCUGGACGUUGCCUGCCUGAGCGUCCUUUCAGGCUUGCAGCGAUGGUUUGGAUUGGAGCUGAAAGCAACAGGGCCGGCAUCACCAAGGAAGGAUUGGCGACCAGCAUGGGCAAAGCAGAACAAAAAGAAACAAAGCGAAGAGCUUUUGAGCAAGCCGAUGAACAGCCCGGUGCCAAGGAAUUGCGCUACAGGGAUUCAUGAGAGAGGAAAAACUGUACUAGUACUAGUCUGCUGCCUGCACACCCAGCAGAGCACACCCAUGGCAACGACUCCGCAGUCAGGCAGGCAGGCAGGAACGCACCUGGAUGGGCGACCAGCCGCAGGGGUCGGGGUAGAUGCCGGAGCCGUUCCACCCCUUGCCGACGAAGCUCUCGAUGGCCGCGUACAGCGCCGCCCGCUCCUUCUCCUCCAUCGGAGCCGUCGGGGAGUCGGACCCGUCGUCCUCCUCCCCUUGGCCCGCGCAGGCGCCGAGCGCUACCAGCAACGCGAGGCCGAGCGCCAGCAGCCGGCGGCCGCGAGCGGGUCUCAUCGCCGGACGAACAGGAGCAGCUGGACACUCGAACAGCUAGCACGCUACUCCCGCUCAGCUCUGGAUCGAGCACGGAGAACACGCCCGCUAUAUACUAGCAGCGGCGGCGGCGGCCAUUGCUCGCUCCUCACUGUGGCGCUGCAGGGUCUCGCGAGGUGUGCCCCUCGUAGGUAGCAAAUAAAUGCGGCGCGGAGGGAGAGCGGAAGGCUGGGCUGCGUGCUGCGGCUGCGGGGAGGACCCGGGACAUUCCCCAAUGCCAAGAGCUGCUCUGGGGAUCCCAAGGCGAAGGCGGCCAGGCGGGCGGCCGCCGCAGAGCGCAGCCGACACUACGACAGGCGGGCGGGCGGGGCGGUGUGCGUGAGUCUGAGAGAGAUUGCGGGAUUGGUUGGGUUUUGUGUGUGUGUGUUCNNNNNNNNNNNNNNNNNNNNNNNNNNNNNNNNNNNNNNNNNNNNNNNNNNNNNNNNNNNNNNNNNNNNNNNNNNNNNNNNNNNNNNNNNNNNNNNNNNNNAAAACAGAGCAAGUACUCAUAUGAGGAAUGAGUACUGAUUUAAAGUUGUAGACAACACAGAAGGAACUUACCGCCAAAUACUCACUACACAGCGGUACAUUUCCAUCAUCAUGGCCUCCGCUCUAUGGUGAGCAGUGGGUCCGUGAUGAGCUAGAUAUCUUCCAAGUUCCCCCACUGUGGCUAUCCACGGGGAUGAGCCGUACCGUAGGAUACAUACGAUGGGACGCACCGACCGGUGAAAAGAUGGCGACGGCGCAGUGGAAAUCCCCGGUGGGCUGACGGGGGUAGCUGGCUCUUUUAUUAACCGAAAUGACUUAGCAGCAGUUGCUUCCUCCCCGAGGCCUUUCUCGAUUUUUGUGCACGAGGCAGCUGCUUCCUCCGUCAGGGAAAAAAAAAACGAGUGACUGGAUGUUGCUAGUUGCCGCUGAGAUUUAUGGGUUGUUUGAGAUUAUUACUAGCGGUGUCGCUUCGAAUGCUAACUAUAGGAUUAAAUAUGAGUUAAUUAUAAAAUUAAUUGCAGAACCCUAUGCUAAUUCGCGAGAUGAAUCUAUUAAACCUAAUUAAUCUAUCGUUAGUAAAUAGUUACUGUAUCACCACAUUAUCAAAUCAUGGACUAAUUAGGCUUAAUAGAUUCUUCUCGCGAAUUAAACUCUAUCUGUGCAAUUAGUUUUGUAAUUAGCUUAUGUUUAAUACUCUUAAUUAGUAUCAAACAUCUGAUGUGAUAGGUGCUAAAUUUUAACAGAAGUAUUCAAACUGAUCCUUGAUUAGUGCCAUUAUUCGAUUUCACUCUACCACCUGCAUGGUCAAGUAAAAUGGGACAUGUUCGCAGGCAACUUGCAAGCAGCGUAUGCUUCAAGGCAAAUCAUUCAGGGUUGCAUCCAAACAUGCCCUCGCUGCCUGGGUAGUACAGUAGACACGAGCGAGAAACAUCUUAUCUCGUGUCUAUUUCAUACUUAUUAGGAUCGGAUCGGACAAUGAACCGGUUGAACUCUCGGUUCGUGGUGGUUCAACACGGUUCAAAUAUGGUAACUUAUCAACCAAAAUCAUAAACAUAGUUGCAUCCUGAUGGUUGCUAUCCACGCUACCGGAGGCAAGGGUGGGGGGUUCGAACCCCAGCCACACCAUUUUCUUCCUUGUGCUCGGUUUUCUCCAGUUUGUACCGGUUUCUUAUCCGAUUUUAUACCGGUUUCUUGCUAAAAACUGCCGGUUUCUUAUCCGAUUUUAUAUCGGUUUCUUGCUAAAAACUGCCGGUUCAAUCGGUUUUUCCCGGUUCAAUUACUUAUCCGAUCUUUUAGGUUUCCCGGUUCAAUUACUUAUCCGAUCUUUUAGGUGGACCGGACCGGCCGAGACUCUGGUUCGGUCUUUUACCGAUCGGACCGCCAGUCCGGUCCGGUCCUAAUAACUAUGGUCCAUUCUACCGUUGUUGCGGACGCGUCCGGCGUCUCCCUCCCUCCCUCUCUAUAUCUCUCUACUCUCUCUCUCAAAAUAAAUACACUUCUAGAGUUUGGAUAAAGAUAUCAAUAUUUGUGAGAAAUUAUAUAUAUACCUCUAUAAAGAUGUAAUCAUCGCACCUUGGGAGGAGAGAAAGUAGAAAAAGACAACUAGAAUUGGGUGGUUCCAUUCCUAAAUGUACACUUAUUUUGGGACAAAUUUUAAACUUUAGGACCAGUUUGGUGUAGCUCCAAAUGACUCCGACUUCGGGGGUGUUUGGGAAGGGGUGCUAAACUUUAGCACCUCACUUUUAGCACACUUUUAGCACUUGAACUCCCAAACAGGUGUGCUAAAAGGCGAGUGCCAACGUUUAGCACCCUUAUUUUCUUUAGCCCACCCAAGGGGUGCUAAUGGGUGCUAAAAGUGGUCUCAAGUCCACUUUUUCCCUAGUUGCCCCCCCUCUCUCCUCUCCACUUUUCCCCAAGCCAAUCAUAAAUGAGGGUGAUGUAGUCAUUUCUCACAUAGGGUGCUAAACUUUAGCACUGUAUCCAAACAACCCCAAGUGCUAAAUUUUAGCACUCCAUUUGAGGGUGCUAAAGUUUAGUACUGUGCUAAAGUUUAGCAUUAUGUAUCCAAACGGGAUCUUCCUCUGACAUUUUACUGUUCACGCAAGUCAUUUUUCUCUCUCCCCUCCCUCCCUCUUACAGAUCAAGGAGUAGCCGGUGGAGCCAGAUUUUAUUACUCCUCCAACUCCGACUUCUCGGAUGCCAGUGGAGGAGCCGGAGUCCGCGGGAGCUCCACCAAACUGGCCGGCGUGGGAGGGAGUGCACGUCUACAAUGGCUGACCAGUGGUAUGCCAAGUAGUAUGCGAUGGCUGACAUGUGGGCCCCGGCUGUUUAAUAAACGUGGCAUUAGGGAUGGCCGCGGCACCCAAGCCUAGGCUCAUUCACGGUUCACGCCUCUCUUCUUGAGCUACCCAACAAGAGAUUACGUAGCUGAGGCAGAGCGGCUUUACUCCCCUUUGCAGAGCGCAGUGAGAGGCCGCAGCUCGAGCUGAGGUAGCUGCUCCGUUGGCUGAUCCGUCGUCACGUUGCCCAACCCACACACAUGUCUUGACACACCCGCCCCCAGCGGUAGAGCAGGCGUAGAGUCGUAGAGGGUGUAAAUACGGAGCGAGCAGUCGUCUGGAUCUGGCGUUCUGCGAGACUGCGACGGGUAGCGUGCGUGCCCAGCGGCGUCGUAGCGGCGCCAGCGUGACGGAGACCGAUGGCGACGCCUACUCUACUCCGAUCCUGCUCGAUCCGCCUCCGCUCCUAGUCCCAUCCCUACUCGGGCCCGGCGGCUACCCCCUGCGCCUACGCCUCGUGGCAGCAGCGGCUAUGGUAUCGGAAAGGAAAGGGUGCAGCACAGACCAGAUCGCCAGAGCAAGAGGGAACGAGGACAUGGACGGAGCGUGCGAGCUAGAGCCACAGGCAGCUGUCCGUGGAGCACAGGAGCAGGCGCACGCGCCGCGGCUUGGUGCGCGCGCGGCCGCCGGUCAGUUGCAGCCUGCUAGCCCGGGCUGCUGGGGCAUGGCAUUAGGCAUUAGCCAUUGGCAUUGGCUUUUGGCCCAUGGGGCCGACCGGCCGGGGAGCCUUGUCGAGUCGUACGUACGUUCACGCCGCUCGAAACAAUGGCGCAGUGCGAUACCUCGGGCCGCCACUGCUCCUCCGGUGCUCCAUCUCUCCCACCCGGUGGAUACAGAUAACUGUGUGCCAUUGUUUCGAGCAGGAGCCAGUACGGCCAGGUUAAUCCUCUUCCCUGAAGGCCUCAGAGCAAGAGCAAUAAUUUAGCCAGCGACCGGCUGCAAGCCCAUGCCAUAUCAUAUCACAAGGAUAGGAGACGGAAGGGGCGGCAUCUCGCUCGUAUGCGGGCUGGGAGAAGGCUGGGAGAGUUAAUUUUUUCUCGUACCUUGCGCUCAAGUCGGGCGAGAUGGGAAGCGCCGGCUCCGUAGUCUCUCUCCGACGUGGCCUGUUUUUCUGCCGAUGUGGACUUCUCCCAGCCGGCUUAUUCACGUUAUUAUACUUGCUCUUAAACCAUGUGUGCCGGAUGGGCAAAUCCAGGCACGCAGCAUGCAUGCAACCUCCUCCAGGGCUGACAGCCUGAGCAACGCGCACAGUCCCUGCCACUGGGUUCAAUUCACUAGCCGCACGGGCUAAUAUUUUAAAAAUUAUUGUAUUUAAAAUUAUUUAGAAAUUAAACUCGUAGCUAAUAAUCAAAAUUAUUUACCUACACCUCUCUUUUUUUCAAUACCUCAACAUAAUACUCAUAUAGAUGUGUACUUAUCUUUGCCCAGAUGUGAUUGAUUUUUAAUUAGUAAUUACUCUAUACAUUUUUUCAUCUAUAUUCACACUUUUUUUAUUUGUAUCGCACCUCCAUACAUUAUGUUUAGCAUAAAAAUCAAUAUUUUUCAUCACUUCCUAUAUACAUGUAUAAGUGGUUUACAUGGUGAUGGUUUACAUGGUGACACUCAUCGUGCCUAUAUACCUUGACUUAGUAUUUCGAUAUUAACAAUGACAUAAAUAAUGACAUAAGUAGUAAUUUAGAAUCGUAUGUUAGUUUAUUUUCGGAUAUUUUUGUACGAUGCACAUGAAGAUCAUUAGAUAAGAAUUAGGUGUUUACUUUAGAUUAUUUUUAAUAACGACGUACAUGGGUAACUUAGAUACAAAUUUAGAAUGACAUUUUAAGUAAUGCUUUAUAAUCAUAUGCACGCGUAAAUUGGAUGAAGAUUAUGGGGUUACUUUGGAUUUUUCAUAAUGGCGGAGCUCGGUAAUUUAGAUAUAGGUUAAUUUAGAUAUAGGUUUAAGAUUUAUUUUAGAAUAUUUUCAUAAUGAUAGUGGUGGGUAACUUUUUUAAAAAAUAUAAUAUAACAAUUACUAUGAUUAUUAGAAUUUACAGGAUUGAUGUUUUUGAUUUUUGUGAGAAUUUUUAGAAUUUGUCUUUUUUUCUAGUGUGUCUCAUCAGAACUAUUGCGGAGUCUCCAAUGAGAAAACAAUGAGGCCACAUUGCUACAGAACUAUUACCUUGCGCUACUUCUCAUUUGUUAAAUUUUCGAGCACAAUACUUAUAUAGAUAUAUACUUAUUAUCUUCAUCCGACUGCGAUAGAUUUUAGUUAGUAAUUUCUCUAUAAUAUUUUCAUCCACAUUUAUAAUCUUUAACUUUUAACUUUGCACUGUGUAUAUGAGCUUGAAUUUAUUUAAUGGACCCUAUGUUUGAGCUAUAAUUUUAACAUAAACAUUUAUAUUCAUCACUGCCUCUGUAUCUUUAUAAGUGGUGACACAUCAUGUCUAUAUACCUUAAUAAUUAUAUCAUAUACCAAUAGUGUAAGAAAUAGAUGAUUAAAAAUCAUAUAUUGGUUAUAUUUUUAAUUAAGUUGAUUUGGAUUCAAAUGUAGGGUUAGCUCAUGUUAUUUUAGUAAUGGCAUAUAUGUGGGUAAUAUAAAUGCAAAUUUAAGGGGUUCACUUUAAAUUACUUUUUAAGUAUUAGUGGUGGGCAAUUUAGUUGCAAAUUUAGGGGUUAUUUUAAAUGUUAUUUAUAAUGGCAUAAGUGGGUAAUUUUGAUGAAGAUUAGGGGGUUACUUUAGUUUGUUUUAUAUAAUGGUAGAGGUGGGUAAUUUAGAUAUAGAUUUAGGAGGUUAUUUUAGGCUAUUUUCAUAAUGGCAGAGGUGGGUAUUUUUUUAGAAAAUAUAAUAUAUCCAAUGGCUAUAAUGAUUUGAGUCUAGCUAGAUGUUUUGCUUUUCUUAUAGAAUUUUUAGAUUUUUUUUUUCUAUAGCGUUCACCUAGGAUUCUAAGUGGCUUGACCUGAAGGGUUAAAGAAACCUCCAAUUUUAGUAAAAGUAAGAUUUCCCAAAGGUCGUAUGGGAUCCAGCCCCGUGGUUAAGGAGCAGUGACACGGGGGAGUACGAGCGGUGCUGCCACGGAGGCGCCCGGGGGGGGGGGGGGGGGGCGCGCGCGAGGAUACAGUAGUGUCCUCCUUCUGUGCGCGAGCUCGGAGCAGUGUUUUCCAUCGCAGGCGGAUCUGGAGUCCCGUAUGAUACGGGAACUGAUACCGGCGCUGGCUGACGCUGCUGCAGGGAGGGAAGGCUCGCCGUUGCCAGUUCGCCACUGUGCACUCUAGCAGUUGCAAAGCCAACGGAGCGAUUCAUCGCUCAACAGUGCCACUCUGACGUCACAACAGAAGAUCUUUUUUCCUUAAAAAAAUAAACCAAAUGAGGAGGAAAUGGGGGGAAAAUAAUGGGUCUCGCUGGGGCGUCGAGUGAUACAGGAAGGCCAUUGAAAACCUGGCGGCUGAGCCGAGCGUACCAGGAGGAGGCACCGUCCCAUGUUCUCCCAGUACGGCGAUUUUUACCGGACGUAGCGUCAGACGUCAGUACAGUACACCAGCGUCGCGAGUGGUGUAUAUGAUUGACUCUCUCGAGAGCCUUUUCUUUUCUUUUCUUUUCUUUUCUUCUUCUCUAUCUGAUCGAAAAAUGAUUGGAUCUUGAUGUGUAGGGUCCCUCGCGGUAGCGGCAGGAAUGCAUGCAUGCAGCAUGUGUGGUGUGAGCUGGGGGUGGGGCUGCGUGGGGUUCUUGGCUUUGCGGAUUUGCUGCGGCGCGCCCGCUGCGCGGGGACAGAAAGAGCGAACAAAAGAGGGGGAGGCCGGUGUGGGGAGGAGGAACUGCGCGGCACAGGCGCACAGCUGCAGGAGGCGGGCCCCACGGCUAGUCGGCUAGAGCUCCUUUUGCAUACACGCCAUUGUUGCCACUAAUAGCGUCUUCAAUGGCACGAGAUAGCACUAGAAAAUAAGCGAGAUUAUCUUUUCGGCUCUGCUUAGAAAGAAGAGGGCCGUUAAAGAUCUCCUCCUGCUCUGCUGCCUGCUCUCGUCAGUGGCUCUCUCUCUCUCUUUUUAAUUUUACUUUGUGAUGCCCCUGAGCUUUGCACCCUCCGAUUCAUUCUCUCUCUUUUCCCCUUUCUUUUUAUGCAAAAAAAAGGAAAACAGAGAGAAGUAAACGCGUCUGCUUCGCUAGGGAUCCCCGACUGGACAAAUAUUGAGCUACGGACGCAACCGGCAUGCAUGCCGUUGCCGUGUCUGCCUGGCCUGCUACCCGUCCGAAAGGAGAAACUGACCCUGUCGACCAUGGCGCGUGGUGCAGCCGUACGUGCAGGACGCGGGCGGUUGUUAAACUCCAGAGCAACCAUCUGCGCGGCCGACACGUGCCCGUGCUGCCCUUCGUCCUUUCGGAAAUUGGAAUGCCAACCGAACAGCACGAGAGGCGCCAGUGCAGUGCAGCAGCCACGUCCGCAGCACAAGAGGAACGAGCAGCACCCUGCUGAAAAGAGAAUCGUCGAGUACUACGAGCACAGGCAUCUGCGAGACAGGUCUCUCCGAGCAUGCGAUGCAAGCGGCAUGGUGCGCCGCAGCUGAUCGGACAAGGGAUUAAAGGAAGGAAUAAAGAGCUGCGGCGGGACGGAGCGACGGCGACACGGGAUCGGCGGAGGCGGCGACCGGCGAAAGGAAGGAGGCGGUAGAUGGCGGGAGGUAAUGCGACGUAGGCCUGCAACGCGCUAGCUGCCGCAGGCCGCAGCAGCCUCCCAGAUCCGAUCGGAUAGGAUUGGCCGGGCGCUUUUGUUCCGGUAGUGAGUGGAGGCCUGGGGGCAACUGGCCCCCGGGCCUGCCUCUAGCUACUAGUAGCAGCAGGCGACGGGACCAUCCAUCCAUCGCUGCGCGAGCUGCGAGCAUGGACGACGCCGUAGUCACCGAGGCAGCGAGCAGGGGUAGGGGGUGCAUGAGCGGCGCAUGUGAUUGGGGCCCAUGCCACCGCCUCCGGGACGGAGGAGCAAUCAUGGGUAGGGGACCUCCCUCCCUCCCUGCCUGGUGGUAGGGGAUCAUCAUUCACUCGACGGAAGAAGCGGAGUGAUGGCAUGGGGGCGGACCGGCGGAGUAGGAGCGGACGCAGCGGCCGGCCUCGUGCCAUCCCCCCGCGAGAGCUUCGGCAGAUGGAGUCGGAGUUGGGGAGCGUAUGCGCUGUGUGCGCUGCACUGCAUGGAGGGCGGGGGUUUCUGGUUUCGGAACGUUUCUAUUCCUGGCCUGCCCCAGCAAGCGGCUGCGCGCUUUUAUUUACUGCGCGCCGCCUCUGCUCUCGCCGCCCAUUUCUUACUGUUCAUCCGGUGAGUGUUCGCCAGUUCGUGGAUGCAUCCUCGAUCUGCAGGCACAGUGCCUCUCGCCCAUGGGGUCCUGUUUAGGACGCCGGACUUCUGCGUCAAUGAAUUCUGCGAGAAAAAAAAAAGGUCGACAGCAGAUGAACAAGUCAAAUCCCUCUUCAACUUCAACUGGAGCUACAGUUUUCCUUUAACAGGAUCCUGCACCUUCCAAAAUGGGGGCAAUGAACUUUGGAUGCCCGGAAGGAUCGAAGCUGGUCCAAAAUAAAGCCUGAAGUCGUUAGUCUCCCUCGUCUCGCACGAUCUGAUGAGCGAGUUCAUUACAGUACGGCACUCAUAAGCUGCAGCAGUACUGCAUGCUUAAGCGUAGCUGCCAAAUUACUGUUCGGGUUUGGUAGCGUCAGUACGUGCCGGUUUUAAGACCGGUGCGGAAGCAGCUUGCGAGCAGGUGAGAGCUCUCAAGGGCGUCCCCUGUGCGGAGGAGCAGGUAGCGGCACCAGUAACCACUGACCAGUUUGGCCGGCGACGACGAGCCCAUCCGGCCAUUCCCCUCCUCGCGUUUCCGUCCGUCCGGUGGGCGGCGGCGGGAUGGUCAGGGAAUGGUACGUUCGUACGCCGCCAUGCAUGGCGACAGUCAGGAUCCCACAUGACUUUGCCGGGGCCGUAGGCCACUGCACUCGGUAACUGUAUCUGUAUGUACCAGCGGGUCGACUGCUUUUCCAAAGUAGAUUCCGAAUCGUACGUAUGGUUGUAGAAUGAGGCCACAACGGUUAUGCUUUGUGCUCAGAACAUAAUGUGUUUUGAAAGCAAGCAAGCAAUCCGGUUCCUGUUCGAUGCUUCCAAAAUCCAUGCAUUCCGUCGGCAUCAAGAUCUGGAAUUUUUUUUCCCUUAAAGUUUACGGUUCAACUUUGAGACCAUAGCGAUGGAGACAUGGAGUCUCGGACUCUGGGUAACCUUGCUGCCCCUUCAACUCUGACGAUAACUAACUUGUUGAACAUGUAGUAAGGUAACAUGUUUGGGCCAUCCAUGGAUGCCCAUGAAGGAGCCUUAGACGAUGACGUUUCGGCCCAGGGCUUGCUGCACCUGCGUGUGGUGGCCUCUUGCUUUGUUGGUAUAAGGCCCAUGGAAGAAAUGAUAUUUUUUUUUCCAUUUUCCAUGACCAAAAUGAUUACCAAAUCACCUCCAAACUUCAUGAAGCGUUUUCUAGUGAUAGAAAAAAGAUAAAAGGAUCCAUUUUGAUCCAAAACCACACACGUACAAUUAAUAUUCUAAAACUAAAAAUCACCCAAUUAUGCGACUUUUAAAAAUUUUGUCCGAUUCAUGGCACCAAAAUACUUUCUCGAAAUAAUGACAAAAUAGAUAAUAUUCUUCAAAUGGGAUGCAUCAAUUUAUAAAAUUAUUUCUCAUCGUAAGUUACAUAUAUUUCUCUAUGUAACUUAUGAUGGAAAUAGUUUUAUAAAUUAUUGCAUUCAUGUAAGGAAUAUUAGAUGAAAUCCAAUAAUUUUUGGAAAGAAAUUGGUGUCAUAAAAAUUCAGAUAACUUUCAAAAGUAACAUAAUGCGGUGAAUUUUAAUUUUAAAACCAUAAUCGUACAUGUGUGUUUUCUAAGCAACAUGGGUUCAACUCCAAUUGUCGUAUCACUGGAAAAAUAUCCAUGGAUUUUUUAGGUGAUUUGGAGGCCAUUUUGGUGAAGAGAAAUAGAAAAAGGAGGAUUGGUUAAUGUUCACCCUACUUAACCGAUGGAAGUAAUGUUCAAUGACCUGUCUCAAUUUUUACUAGAAAAAUUGGUGUCAUGGUAAGCGAACGAAUUGGGAGUGAGCGGACUUGGCUAGGGAUCGUAGCCACGCAUGGGCAUGAUGCUAGUUUAAAACAAACAUAACAAAAUGGUAGGUGCUAUAAAAUGGUAUGAUAUCCAUAGUCAAAUUAUGGGGACAAAAAAGGCAAAUUCAUUUGCAAAUAAAAAAAGAAAGCUAAGCGAUCAGCUCUAAAGCCCCCUGGUCCCCGGACACAAAAGGCUUCCAUGGUGCAUCGCAACAGCACAGUAAUCUUCGACUGUGGCCAGAUCGCCCCAGGUUCUUGUCUUUGGAUCAUAUGCUGUGAGGACCCCUGCCUCCUCCACCCAAACAACGAUCCUCCCGUCGCUUGAAGCUACUAGUAGUGGAUAAAAAAAAUACACUCAUGGCGCUCCCUCUCGCAUGUAGAGAAACAACCCGUGAGUAAAUCCAGUCAGGCGCCCACCGCAUGGAGUAUCGUCCACAGGGCCUCCUCCAAGAACCAGAGAUCUGUGGAUGAAUCCUCCAUGUUGCAAUGGACUACGACCAGGCAGCCGCUCAACCCGGCUAGCCGGAAAUACCUCAUGUGUUCAAAGGGAAGCAGCUUCUUGCCGGUGCUGUAAUGGAGAGGGUGCUCACAGGCCCCUGUAACACCAUAGGGUUCCACUCCUCCGACGCCAUGUCGAACGAGGCCAUGCAGUCAGGCCCUACGUCGACGAGAACCUGACAAACCGAGAAGUAGGCGACGCCGCCGCCGACCACCGCGUGGCACGACAGCGGCACGAUCAUCACCGGAGCGUACGGCCUCGCUCUCCACCUCACGUCGCCGAGCGUCGUGACGUGGCACGUGGUCAUGAAAGCCUUUGGUGCGCUGGUCCAUGAACAUGCGGACGCGGAGCACCUUGUACUCGCCGGUUGAGGGGACGUGCCCGAGAAUGUACGCCGCCGGCGAGUGCAGGAUCGCCGGCGCGCAGCUUAUGCCGCCGGGCAGGACCGUCGCCGCGCCAGUGGCAAGGUCGAGCACGCAGGCUUCCCCCGUGGUUUCUGACGACGAGGUCGACAUGGUCACGGUGUGUGCUUAUUAGGCUGAGGCCGGCGGGAUCCGCGAGGGGUAUGCGCUUGAGGACGUUGCCGGACAGGGUGGCGCGGAUCUCGUGGCGGCCGCGGUGGAGGUCGACGAGGAUCGGGUGGCGCGGUGAGUGGGCGGCGGCGAAGAGCCGGUCGGAGGUGAGCUACCGCCAUGACCGGCAGACGAGGUGGAGGCGGGCAACGGCGGAACCAGGGCGGCCGGCCGACGGUGCGUGCGUUGGUGCUGCAGGUCGCCCACGGGUGCCGAGGAUAAGGCGUCAGGGCUGCUGAGGCCUGAUGGUGGGCUGGGCCGUAUCGCCAAACUCGAUUGGUACGUCUCGGCCCACGUAUCACAUUUUUUCAUAUUUAUUACUAGGAAUGUGCCCGUUGCUACGGACAAAAUAAAUUCCCUUCAUAAUGACCAGAACCAGAAGGAAAAUGCCUCUCAAAUAUGUCCGCGACCAUGUUUCCAACCAUAAUAAUCAUUUUGCAUUCAUACAUUCAACCACAAUCAAUAUUAACUUGUCAUGCACAUAUAAAUCCAAAUCUCAUUCCAAUACACAUCCAUGAACGUGUCCCAAUUGUUCAUUAUUAUAUUUCAAAAAAGACAUAUGUCAUGUGUACAAGACCUACCAUUUGUCACGUACAUCCACUUGAGUGGUGAACAAUGUUGUGGAACCAAAAGGUUCUGUUUAAGUUUGCUAGUUACCAAAAGUAUCCCUCCAUCAAGAACCAAAAGAGCCCCAAAGUAUGAAGGAUCAUGUAAUCCUUAACUCCCCUCCGUUCCAUUCCAUGACAAUGCUUCCUUUAGUUGACAAUAGGUGAACUGACUGUAACGAAGAAUAUGACAAGUCAGUUUGCAAAUUUAGCAAGGAAAAAUACAUGUACUGCUGUACAGGUGAUACCAUAUGGUUAUGUUGAACUAAAUCAGGCUUAGAUUUAAACUAAAUUUGGUUAUGUAGUGUUGCCCUGUUAGCACAUGAAUGCUGCAUGUUGCUUAUGCUGGACAGGUUAUGGAAGUAUGCCACCACCAUUUUGUGCAUCAGUUAGACAUGAGCUCAAGCAGAGUAUGGCACAAGUGACAAAGGUACAGAUUUAUAUUCAAAUUCAGCAAGAUAGACAAUCAUUCAAAUAAACACUGCAAAUUUAUGGUAGGAACUUACCUUCAAAAUAUAUUCUUUGAUGAAGAAUCUAAAGCUAAAUGCAACUAUUUAAUUUUCCUAUGUAUUAUUGCAUAUGGCAGUAGCCAAAUUAUUUGAUUCAAGUAAAAUAGUUUCUGCUUCUACCUGCUCAUCAGACACAUUAUCCCAAUGUUAUAAAGUGAUUCCUCAAAGACACAAGUAGUUAUCCCAAUGUUAUAAAGUGAUUCCUCAAAAACAAAAUACUAACUUCAGGUGUGCAAUAACCAACCAGAAAAUCAGAAAAUUACGCAAUCCAACCUUUCUCUGAGCACGCAUCUUCUUAAAAUAAAGUAGCAUAUUACUGGCUUGCUAUUCUACUUCUUUCCUGUAAGCAGUUCCCGUGAGUCUGGGAUAAAAUUUACCACCAAUAAAAGAAGGAAAAUGGCGAGUUAGUACUCAAAUAUUGUUUUCGCACUUGCAAGGCUACAGAAAAGUUUCAGUCUAUUGGUGCAGUCUGCCGAAUCAAACAGUAGGCCUGGCAAAUACUUGGUUCAGUAUAAGAAGAGAAUCCAAAUUAUAUAUAGUUCAAAAUGAUGGAUAUUCUUCACCAGGUUUAUGGAAAACAUUAGUCUCAGUACAUCACGGCUAAUUAUCUACAAGACCGAGAAAGAACUUAUAAUUUUCUGGCAACAGUAAGCAACAUGACAAGAUCAAAGAUGAUGACAGGAACCAAUGUACCUGGUAAAAACUAAGAGCAAAAAUGUAUGCAUAAGUAGCCAGACUGUUAUGUAUCAGACAUGCAGAACUGACCUCUCUCUGGACGUGGUCCAUAUGUUAAGCAUGGUUGGCUAGAUACAAAUGAACACAAUCACAUAGUAAUGCACUGUCAUGUAAGGUCGUUCAGUAUACAACCAAAAUUCUAUGUAUAUCAGUAUAUCUAUUGCCGAUUGCCCCUAUUGUGCAACAUAAACCAUUGCAAAAGCAUAGCGAUUUCAAAAUUUUGGUACACCUCAGUACCUUACCAUGCUCUGGUUUCAAGAGGUUACCUUCCUAGAAUGCCAUAUACUAUUCCAGUUCUACACUUUGUCUGGCCCCUCUUUCGUCUCCGCCUGUAACUUACUACGCACGAAAUCUCCAGCCAGGCUAUUAGAGGAACUUGACUCUUCUAUGCAGAUGGAACUUCGCCAGCAGGCUUAUCCUCAAGAGCUCUAGCUGCAGGUUUGUCAAACGGUUUCACAGGCUCAGCAGCAGAGGACAUGUCAAGAAUACAAGGCAGACAAGUUAGGUUUAAUUAUCUCAAGAAUUUGUAUGUACACAUAUCUAUGAAAAAAAGCCAUGUGUAAAAUCAUUUUCAAAUAUAAGGCCCAAUUGCACAAAGAGGUAUUUAUAGAUCACAAGACAAAGGACAUUAUUGCUGGCCUUUUAAGAUGCAUUUAGGUUACAAUACAUAGCAGCUUGUUUCAGACGAUAGUUGCUAACACAUAAUCAAAGAAGAACUCCAUCAAGUAAUGCAGAACACCACGCUGAGGAUUGCAUAUUUGCAUGCUCACAUUUGAGAUGAACUAAAAAAUUUCAAUAGGGCCUGAAGCUUUCAUACUUCUGUAGUUAUGUUACAAUCCAUAGUUUUCUAUAAAAUGAUGCAAUCGAUAUGAACACUGUAGUUUUCUCAUUGCCCGACAGGUAACAGGUUCCAAGUAGGUUGUGUACAAUAAUAUAUCUAUGCUUUUACUUUUCAGGCAAAGACAUAACCGCUCAACCUGAGAGCUUGAGGCUAGGUUUCUGAAAGAAAAAAAAACUGUUCCUAAUAAAAGAAAAAAAAUCUACAAGCCUUUGAAGGAAACAUAAAAGGUAGUAUACUAAAUUGACAGCAGCAGCCUAGCCUGUUCUGUUCCACGUGAUGAUCCAUCCAACAUUGCUAUCCAGAACUGCAACAGCUCCACAAUUACAACCUAAGAGAGAAAUUGAAUGAAUACAUGCAUCCAACAGUUUCAUAGUAUUAACAGAACUUUCUUUUUUUGUUACCUCUUGCAAGAUUACUCAAAACAUAUUAACAAUGUGUGCACUAAAUUGACAAUUUCGCACCCAAACAUCCAAACUUUCCAAAGCAGAGUAAACCUAAUUUCAGAUCCAACAUUUAGCACUGAUUUCAGCUAUCCCAUGGUCGAAGCUGCUAGAGUUCAGCUAACCCAACCAUGAAUUCUACCCCCAAUCACAACAUGGUCCAAGGCAUCUCAUACAGGAGGCAAUAGGCUAGACAAUAUAUCAUUAAAACACCAAUCCUUUGCAGCACCGUUUCGUGGAAGAAUCCGGCAUUGUUUCAUUGCAGAAUCAACCAAAAAUAAAUCAAGCGUGUGUCAAGUGAAAGUAUAAUUUUUUUAUUAUCCUAAAAAAGAGUUGCAGGCAGCAAAGCACAAAAACCAUUGGGCUCCCAGCCGGCCACAAAAUUGCCAUGAUGGCUCAUGCCAUCUCGUGAUAUGAUGACUGGAAAGGAAAAACUAAUCCCAUGGCCAUUCAAUCCUACGACGAUUGAUACGAAUUGGAUCAAAUUGGAUUGGUCGAAUGGAAUGGACAAAAAUCAUGGAAGUGAUUACCUAAAGGCUUGCACGGGCAGCGUGUUGCUAAACUUGCAGGCAGAGACGUCCAGAUGCCGCGGCCGGAACAGAUGCAGUCGUCGCCGGUUUGUUGCCAGAGAAGAUGGUUCGCACGGAUCCCCAUUCCUACAGCCCAUGCACCAUCGGCGGGACGGUUGGCGAUGGAGUUCCGGCGGGGGAUGGGGCGUCACCGGUGGGGGAUGGAGUGAGAGAGGAGGCGGAGAUCGAGCGAAGGAGGCGCCGCCCUAGGGAGGAUGGCGACCUUGCGGCGCUUGUACCUGGGGCGGCGCUGCCCGGGGUCGGCGCCCGCGCCGGCGGCGGAGGGCGAGGUGCGCUCGGCGUCGGCCUCCGAGUCCGAGGAGAAGAACAUCUUGGGGCGCCAUAGGGUUGCGGCGAGUGGAGCGAGGCCACGACGUCGAGGAGGUGGAUGGAGUAGCGGAAGGAGCGGAUCUUGACGUCGCGCGGGGCGGCGCGGUCGGCGGUGAGGCGCUCGAUGCCCAGCUCGAGAUUGGCCACCACGGCACGCUGCGGCGGUGGCAAGGCAUACUUCUCCCUGAGCUCACUAAGGAACUCAGCGUCCACCAGUAACCUCCCCGCCGACCGCGCCACCGUCAGCGGCCUCCUCCCCUCCUUCCCCUUCCAAGCCAGCGGCGGCGAUGCGUGCCUCCGCCUGCACGACCUGGAUCUCGACUCCGCCCCGCACAGCGUUGCGCAGAGCAGGCCGAUGCGGGAGGGGAUGGAGCUGAGGAUGGGCCCCACUUUAGCGUGCGGUAGAUUAAGUUCCGAGAGGAAGCAGCUUGUAGUCUACGGUGUACGGUGGACAGGGUCUACGUAAAGGGUAUGUUAUUGAUGGAAUAAUCUACACCAUCAGUUUUGGAUCUAAGGAUUGCAACAUCAUCUCCUUGCCCCAGCAUAGGAUGCCGACGACCAUUCACGGUGGCGCCAUGCAUGCUGCUCGUGUGCUCGGCCGGAGCAUCGCCGGAGACACUGGAGAACGGCAUACGGUGCACAAAAAUCGACGGGGAUAGGUAAAAUGGAACCGUCUUGGGAUAGGGAUCUCACCUUUGGUGACUCGGAAGGCCGCAGCAGCCAGCAGCACAACACGGACGUAGAAUGGAGAGAGGGCUUUGUUGGGCUCGGAUGAGAUGUGGCGGCGUGGCUGCCUAAUGGUCCCGCGACGCCGGCUCCCUGGACAUCUGUGGCGAUGGCGACUGUCCACGGCGUCGGGCGCCGUGUGGUCGAUGGACGACGGCAACUCGCCGCCGAUGGAUCACGGCUGCGACCGGGGAUUGGAGAGGGCGUCGUGCGGUGGCGGCGGAUAGGAGUUAAGGGGGGCGCUCGGCCGAUCGUAGGGCUUAGGAUCGUCACUCCUCUCCGUGGGACGGUCGUGGGCGCUGGUGGGUCCUCUACAUCGAUCGGAGGGUGCUGGUGGUCUCGUCGCCGCUUCUUCCGGAGACGGACGGCGAAAAUUAGAUGCAGCACGGUACUAUGGAGCCGAGGACCCCCGACGUACGCACGUUUCGUCGCCUUUUUGCUUUUUUUUUAAGGAGGAGUAGAGAAGAGAAGAGAUUUUUAUAGCCUAUACUUCUUGAUAGUACGUAUCCGUAUCGUAUACGUAUCCGAUACAGGAUACGCUACGUAUCCGUGUUACAUACUCCUGUAUUUAUCCAAUUAUCCUGUCCUCGUGUAUUCACACACAUCAAUUGCCAUCGUCGGUGGACCAUCUAACAAACAAACCAAAAAACAAAGUCAACGGCCGCGGCCAGCGAAACAGCAAUUUGGGCGGCUCGCAUGUAACGACAUCGAUUCAAGGGAGCGGCGGAAGUUGACACCCCACCUCAGUGGCCAGGUCCGAUCCGGCGAAGAGCGGCGGCGCGAUUCCCGCCGGCGGCGGGCGGUGAGUCCUAGCUGUCUCUCGUACUCCCGUUCUUUAAUUUGUGCGGGUCCCAAGAUCGAGAUCCUACUCUUAGGCCAUGGUUUUCUAGAGCACCACCAUUCUACUCCUCACGCCACUACUAUUGGGGUUCUUCAGAAAUGUUCCACGCGCAUACACAGCAACCUUACUCGCAAUCUUGCAGGGACGGAUUCAUGGAGGUGGUGAUGGGGGUAAUGUCGAGGCUCAUCCUCAAGAUUGGGGAUCUGCUCGUCGGCGAGUACAAGCUGCAGAAGGGGGUGAAGGGGGAGAUCAUGUUCCUCCAACCUGAGCUCGAGAGCAUGCAGGGCGCCCUGAAGGAGAUAACCAAGGUUCCGUCAGACCAGAUUGACAGCCAGGACAAGGCCUGGGCCAGCGAUGUGCGAGAGCUCUGCUACGACAUAGAGGACAGCAUCGACACAUUCAUGGUGCGCUGCACGGGCAUUGAGCCUGCAGGGCCGGAUGGCAUGAGGGGGUUCAUUAGCAGGAGCCUUGAUUUGCUGACAAGGCUCCGGAUGCGCCGCAAGGUUGCUACUGACAUCAGGGACAUCAAGAGGCGUGUCAUUGAGGCGGGCGAGCGGCGUGAGAGGUACAAGAUCGAUGUCGAUAAGCCUGCUGCUGUUGAUCCUCGUUUGUUGGCUCAUUACAAGAAGGCAACAGAGCUCGUUGGCAUUGAUGAGGCAAGGGAUGAGGUGAUUAACAUUCUGGUGGAAGGGGAUGGUGUGUCCAGCCAGCAUGGCAAGGUAGUUUCCAUAGUUGGAUUUGGGGGGCUGGGAAAGACGACUCUUGCUAAUGUGGUGUAUGAAAAGAUCAAGGAAAAAUUCGAUUGCUGGGCUUUUGUUAUUGUGUCUCAAAAUCCUGACAUGAGGAAAUUCUUCAAGGGGUUGCUCUAUGAACUUGGAAAGAACGUCAAUGAUGAAACAUUGGAUGAGAGGCAGCUCAUCGAUCAAACCAGAAAACUCCUUCAGACAAAGAGGUAUGAAUAAAUCGCACGACAUUUACACUCCGUCAAUUUCACAAUACUACUAUACUAUAAUCGUCAUGCACAAAGGUUACAUUGGCACUAACUCAAAAGGUAAGUGCAGGUACCCUAACUAGAUUAGUUUGCUUAUUAUGAUAAGACUUUUGUAUCAUAUGUGCAGGUACUGCAUUGUUAUUGAUGACAUAUGGAGUGUGUCGAUUUGGGAUAUGAUUAGAUGUGCUUUGCCCGAUGAUGUUGGUGGAUACAUAAUUAUCACAACUACCCGUAUUUUAAAGGUAGCCGAACAAGUUGGUGGUGCCUACAUGAUGAAACCCCUUUGUCUUGAGAGCUCCAGAAAAUUAUUAUACAGAAGAAUAUUUGGCAAUGAAGAGAAAUACAAAUGUCUUGAUGAGCACUUAACAGAAGUAUCUGAUAGAAUUUUAAAGAAAUGUGCAGGUGUACCAUUAGCCAUCAUUACCAUAGCUAGUUUGUUGGCUAAUAGAGCUAGAGAUAAAAUGGACUGGUAUGAGGUGUGCAACUCUAUUGGUACUGGAUUGGAGUAUAGUCUAGAUGUAGAGAAUAUGAGGAAGAUUUUGGCAUAUAGCUAUUAUGAUUUGCCACCUCAUCUACGGACUUGCUUACUAUAUUUAAGUGUAUUUCCUGAGGAUUCUGCGAUUGAAAAAUUUCGGCUGAUAUGGAUGUGGAUAGCUGAAGGUUUUGUACAACAUGAAGAAAAAGGGAAAGGCCUAUAUGAACUUGGAGAAUAUUAUUUUAAUGAGCUCAUAAACAAAAGUUUGAUCCAACCAGUGUAUGACAGUUAUGAAGCCAUAAUAGUAUCCUGCCGUGUACAUGAUAUGGUCCUUGACCUUGUACAUUCCAUUUCAAGUGAAGAAAAUUUUGUUACCAUGUUAAUCAAUGAGCACAACGCAUCUCAGGAAAAAAAGGUUCGUAGAUUAUUGCUUCAGAGCAACACAGAUCAAGCUAUUCCUUGUGCUCAUAUGAACAUGCUACAAGUGAGGUCAGUUGUUGCCUUUUCACUAGCUUUUAAUCUAAUGCCAGCCCUUGGGACAUUCAAAGUUCUGCGUGUACUGGAUUUAAAAAGCUGUCAUCUUUCACAAGAUUGUGAUCUUAAGCAUCUUGGAAAUCUAUUUCACUUAAGGUACUUGGGAAUAGGAAGGACAUAUAGUGAUCAGCUCCCUGAUGAUGUAGGAAACCUACGAUAUCUACAAACAUUGGACGUAGUGGGAAGUAGUUUUUUAAGUUUGCCAUCAACAGUUGUUCAGCUAAGACAUUUGAUGUGUCUAUGCAUCGACCAGAAUACAAGAGUGCCAAACGGGAUUGGGAGCCUAACAUCCCUUGAAGACCUCUCAACCCUGUACAUUUGUGAUGACUCCAUGAAUAUUUUAGAAGAGCUAUGCCAUCUGACCAAACUCAGGGUGCUAGAAAUUUUCUUAGUCCCUGCAGGGAAUGUCACCUUGGGGAAAUCUCUGGUGAUGUCCCUAUGCAAGUUGCAAAAAGUCCAGAGUCUGACUAUCUGGACCACUGGUGGUGAAUGCAACUUCGAUGCAUGGGUUGCCCCUCGACAUCUCCGUAGAUUGCAACUACAAUACUGCUGGUUCUCAAGGCUUCCAGAUUGGGUGAAUUCAUCACUUCAGGACCUCUCCUCCCUAUGGAUCUCUGUGAGGGAGCUACAUCAGGAUGAUCUUGAAAUUCUUGGAAGGUUGCCAGCCCUCCGUUAUUUGUAUCUGAUGGUGGACCAUGAGAAUCUCAAAAUCCCUCGGAGAUUCGUCAUUGGUACUAGUUCAUUCCCAUGCCUUGUAGGAUGCAGGUUGUUGGGAUUUUUAGGUGCAGUGGUGUUUCAACAAGGAGCUAUGAUGAGGCUUGAAAUCCUUGCAUUCACAUUCCAUGCAGGGGAGGUGAGAGAAAUUACGAGCAGCGAUGGUAGAUUGAACUUGGGCUUGGAGAACCUUCUGUCACUCCAGGAGGUCCUGGUUUACUUCCGAUCAAGAGGUGCCAGUGUGAUGGAAGUGGAGGAGGCCAAGGCUGCACUAAGCCAUGCGAUUGAGAUUCAUCCCAGUCAUCCCAAGCAUGACAUAUGGGGAUGAAGGUUAGCUAGCCGGCUAGCUGUGGUUGUUAUUUUUUUUCUUUCCUCCAUUUUGUCCGCUGAUCUAAUCUUAAUUUUCCUCUGUUUUUUUCUCACAUUCAUAUUGAUGUUGGUCCGCGCAACAGAUAUUCAUCCUACAGAUAGAUGAAUCAUACAUGCCCGCAUACUUAACACAUGUAUUUUGCCCAAAAAAAUCUAUCUGAUUCUGCAUACCAGUACAUUUUGUCAGUAGUGGCGAUCUUGUUUUAUUUACUCAUUUGACCGAGGACAUGAUGCUGAUGCAUGUCCUCUUUUGCUUUUCCAUCCACCCUAGGUAGGCAAAUGUGUUUUUUAGUCAUGUCUCUAUUUUUAAAGGGUAAUUGUUUUGGGUGAACCUAUUGCAACUUGUACCAUUUCGCCCAUGGUUGCAAUGCUCAAGAAUUGGGAGCAACUAUGUCCAUUUCGCCAUCUGCACCUGUACAAGUUGUCGAUCACCUGCUGGAAGCGGCGGCAUCAAGACCAGAGAGGCUCUCUCUGACUGGGAGCGGAUGGAAAGCCUGGAGGUUCAUCUCAGUGAGAAACUGAGGAUGUGGCCGGUGCUGGAUGGCUGCACUUGAACUGACCUGACCUGAGAAAUCAAGUAAUGCUAGCUAUGGCCGAUGUGCUGUCUAUCUAGAAUUAGCCGGAAUGUAAUGUGUGUGAUGUCAGCCUAUUAAUGCUAAUUGAGUUAAGAACUCAGGCUGGCCUGAGUGCCAAGCUUCUGUGAAGAGUGACAGGCACUUCCUUGUCGUAAACUGAACCAGAAUCCUUGUUUUCCUUUUUGCAAUGCGAUCGGACUGGGGUAUACCCCUGGAACUCUAAAAAAACCUAUUGCAACUUGUGCUAACUAAAAGCUGACUUGAUACUUACUGAAAUGGAUGAAACUACAUCACUGCUGGUUCCCUACACUGAUGUUUGUUUCACCCUUCAACAUCAUUGUAGACUGAAACUGCGUGACUACUGGUUCUCUAGUCUGCUAUUUUGGACUCAUCCCAAACUUAUGGAUCUCUCUUUCAUUUGAAUAAUCUGGAUACCUUCGGGAGGUUGCUAGCUCCCUGCUAUCUUUAUUUGAAGGUGGGCCAUAGAAAAUUCAAAAUCCCCUCGUUUGGAUAAAACCAAAUCAUCCCAAUACUCAUGUAUUGGAGUGAAAAGAAAAACCAAUUGGAAGGGACUAUUGUGUUUCCAAUCAAGACCAAGGACAUUCGCUGUUGGUGCUUGUUCGUUCCAAUGCCUGGUAGGAAUUAAGUUGUUCAGAUUUAUAGGAGCUUUGAAGUUCCUAAGCAAAAGAAGCUAUACUGUCGUGAUUUUCACCUUGAUCAUCUUGUGAAUCAGUCAGUGAAUAAAUAGGCAUAGUAUUUGUUUGUUUAAGGCCCUUUUCUUCUUUUAUCUAUGUAGUCUCUGCUAACAAAUGGCAUUGGUGCUUGUAAUUUCAAAUCAUUACACUUAGGACCUGUUUGGUUCCAUGGGACUAAAGUUUGGUCCUCCCUUUUGACCUCUUUUAGUUCCUCCCUAAACUUCCAAACAGAGAGACUAAAUGGAGGACUAAAUGGAUUAGUCCUCUAGUCCUCUAAUGGUGACUAAAGCUUUGUUCGGCAGGAGGGGGUUUGAUCCCGACGCUGAUUUAUUCCCUGCAGGGAUUGGGUGGAUCCCCUUGCUACCACCCAAUCCCUGUGCGGUUUAAUUCCCCGUUAAUCCCUUCCUACAUAUCUUAUUCGGUUAGCCAGGGAUCAAGGAUAGUUCCAGAGCUGCAAGUUAUGCAUCAGCCUCCAGAAUGAAAGUGAGGCAUUUUUCCUAUCUCUACGUACUGGCCUCUAACAGACAUAUUAUCCAUGUUAUCAACUGAGAGUGCUUAGAAGUACAAACACAUACAAGCACAAGCAAGGCAUCAUCGACUCGUAAUCUCAAAGCAUUGCAAGGCAUUAUCUAACAGGCACAUUAUCCAUGUUGUUUGUUGGUUACAUGUCCCUCUUUAACUCAGGGCAUGGGCAUUACAACACAAUAUCUAAAGUGGUCAGUACAUUAGAAUGACGCUUCGACAGAUCACAGGUUCGCGAUGUUGUUUCAGUCCUUCUAUGCCAGUUUCUUCUUUAUCCUCAGCUGGAAACGAAAAUUUGGAGAAAGAACACAUUAGAUGCAAAAAUCAACAAAAUUUAAUUCCAAAGUGUGUUUUGACAGUAGCUGAUGACACAUUGUCAAAUGCCAUUUCAAGCAACGUCCACCAAAAUCGGAAUUGAAAAUAGUUGACAUCACAGCCAAUUUAAUGGACAAAAAAUGCUGCACGCAUGCAAAAACCAUCAAUGUUGGUAAUUGUUGUACUGCUAAUUACAGUUGCUGCUAAAAGGCAACUGCUAGUACAUAGUUCAGAGCCAGAAUGAUUUUCGUUUUCCAUUCAGACUUAAUUGGAAAUUGCACAACUAAGAAGUCAGGACCAAGCAACUCCUUGGGACUAUAUCAUAUUAUCAUGGAUGUAUCCCUACAUGUAACUAAGAUCCAAGUAUGAACAUUAAUCAAUCAAACAAGUUUUACAGCUAAGAUUUCUGCAAGUCCUGACUAGUGACUACUGCUCUAGACAAAAUUAAGAUACACAUGACCUUUCUUGUUCAACCACAAUCGACACAAGCAAGUACUUUGUUUCGGAACUUUGCAGGAAGACGGGCCAAUAGCCACUAAGCUAUCUGAACCAGCAAAAGAAAAUAAGUUCAUGUUAGUGUCCAACAAAAUAAGAAAUAUCCAGGCAUUUCCUCAACAUGGUUUGUGCACACUUUAUAUAUAUUCAGGCAGAACUCCGAAAUAUUAGGUGAUCAAGGAAUAACAUAAAUAUGUACGUGAAUGCUCAUCAUCGAGAUGGUACCGAGUCCCAAGAUGGUGGAGGUUGAUCUUCUCCUACUCGAACCGUUGCAUGGAUAAUCUACAAAAUAGAUAAUUCAUAUUAGAAAAUGCUUCUAGAUACUUGCAAAAGAAUUAGUAAAGGAUAACAUACUGAAACUAAAUGAUUUCUGUUUCUUAGUACUCUACAAUGAAAAUAACUAGAUGCAUGCAUAUGAUCUGUGCAGCUUAGCAUUAAUGCAAGACCAUGAACAUGGUAGCUCAUUCUGGAAUACUGAACUGAACCCUCCAUGAUGAAUGCAUCAUGGUAGAUAUUGCAUUCAGUCAUAAGAAAAAGAAUGAACAUGAUGUGUUAAUGACCCAGAAAAAGAAUAAUCAGUUGAUAUAAUUGUCCGUGCAUCAGAAUAUGAAAUUCUUAUACAUACCGCUAUUGUUUCUAUAAAUACGGCCAGACACACAUAGUCUUGUAUAGGGACACACAUAUAUACUUAAGUCGCCGUCGUGCAUUUGGCCAAACCGUGAAGCAAGCACUGCCAACAAUAGCUAACGACAUUUCUUACAGAAAUUAAGCUCAGGGUCAGGGGAAAGAAAGCGACAGGUUCAGAAAGAAUAAGCAUGUAUUUUUUUCUGAGUGUUGAGAGGUCAUUAUACAUGACUAAGCUAGUGGUGGUUGAGAGAUACAUUACAUUCCUCAAGUAACUUUCAAGGUACAAAGCACUGCUGAUCGGAGAGGCCUCAUCAAGUGAUUAGUCAUCAUUUCUACUACACACUGCGUGGUGAGUGGUGACUAGCUUGUGCAAGGCAAAGGCACCCAUAUGUAUCCUAGUUGCUUGCUGUAUGCAGUUACUGGCACCCAUAUGCUGUAUGCAGUCCUAGUCGCUUAAACGUGUACAACUCCAUCCUAAUCUGAGUACCUGAUGACGAAAGACAUCAAUCAUAGCGGGCUGGGGUGGGAGGAAAUGAGGGGUUUUGGGCCGGGAUGCGACCUAGGCCGGUGUUAAACGAACGCUGAGUUUUUCGUGGGCCGGGAUCCGAACCAGGCCGAGGUGACCGGCCGGGAAUGGGCUAAACGAACGAGGCCUAACACGUGAACAACUCUUUGACACCCCCCUCUGUAUUAGCAUGGUCUUUGGCACUGAGAUUAGCACUUCAGCUCCUAAGCCAACAAUGAAUGUAGAAAGUAUACUUAGAACAAGCUAGGCAGCAGGCAGCAACCAAGUGGAUUAGGAGCCACUCUAGCUAGUCUAGCUUGGAGGCUUUGUAAUUGUGCAAAGGACUGCUGCGGCCAACGUGCGGAAGAUCUGAUGGCCUGAGCAUGCAGCGCCGCUCGUUAUCUGACAGACGACGGAUGGGGUCGGGACCUGCAGUCCUGCACAAACAAGAGAAUUCUAUUAAUCGGAAAUAUUGCAAGCCGCUGGGGGGCAAAAUAGGGGGGAAAUAUUGCAGAGCGAUGUUCACGAACAACAGAAAUAACCACGCAUAUGAAAAAGGUUAGCUGUAAACCUUGCUUCAUAUCCUUCGUUCAGUCACUCGCCCCCGGAGUUCUUGCUGGUGAUCGGCAUUGUUCUUCAAAAGGAACUGUGUGGCCGCCACAAGACCUUCAGUUAUUGGUGAGUGGUGACAGAAUGUGUUAAUGUCAGGAUUCAGAAGCAAUGCUAGGAGCAACGAAAUCACAAAGAAUAAAGUUAACAUGCAACAGGAUGUUAGCCCCCUGCAGUGUGGAUGUAUGGCAAGGAUUAACUGGAGCCGUGCUUUAUUUGUUUGAUCCCAGUACAGAAUUAUGGAACAAUUAGGCUACCAAAUGUCCUGACUUGUUACAUACACAAAGCAUUAGCAUCGAUGCUGUCAGUCAUUGAUUUUCUUAAUCCUUGGCAAUAACUAUCGACAUGCACGAUCAAUUCAUUCGAUACUGAUUAUAGAUAAGGUUAGGAUUUGAAACAGCUUGUUACUGAUACUGAUUAAAAACACUAUGAUCACAUAAAACCAUUAGUCCUGAACUGAUGUCAAGAACUAGGAAGUGUCUAGCUAGUCCAGCAAUCCAGAUAUAAAAGACGAGACCUAGUUAACUAAUCUAGAAGGUGAGCAAGAAUAAAAGAGUGCGGAGGACUGGAGGUGGUCGGCAAGGGCACCAACUCACGACUGACGGCUUCAACAUGUUAGGAUUCUAGGAUGGUGUACAUCCAGUGGGUGAAUAACUUAGUUCUUAGAUUAAAACAACAUUGUCCUAGAUCUAAAUCGGAGAAACCGAGAGGGAGAGAGAGUGAGUAAGAGCACCACCAUCGGGCUUGGACAACGAGCUCGCCAUGGCGACAACGGCGGUGUUGACGGCGAGAGCGGUGACGGCGGCGGCGGUGCUUCCCGCCGCUUACCGUGCUAGUUCAGAUCGAGUUCUAGGUUUGUCGAUGGAUCUGGUGGGAACGUCCAACCUUAGCGUGCGUGCCCCGGCCCCACCUUUUCUUUUAUAGUGCUGCACGACGGGGGGCCGCCAACCAUAUACGGUUGGACGCCCCCCAUCAGGGCGCGAUCAAGGAGUCCGGCUCGAUUGUUGGACCGAGUCGGAUGAGAUCAAUACUAACAUUCUCCCACUUAAUCUCUUCUUAUACUUAAACUUAGUCUUAAACUUGGAAUGCUUAAUUUAGCACCCAUUUCAUCACGGAUCAGUGCAUAGAGCAUGCCUCGUCAUAAUAGUCGGUUACGUACUAUCAGAUUCAACAGCUACAGCACACCUUUCUAUUUUCAAACAGAUUCUUGUUCUAGGUCCUUAGUAUCCAGGGAUCAUAGGCUUUCUUGUAAACCCAUGCCGACUAAUUGUUCUCUGAACACAUUAGGCGAUAAACCUUUCAUGAGCGGAUCCACGAGCAUUUCCAUUGUUCUUAUAUACUCUAGACUAAUGGUAUGCCCCUGGAUUUUCUCUUUCACAAUAUAAAACUUGAUGUCAAUGUGUUUGGCAGCACCACUUGACUUAUUGUUGUGAGCAGAAAAUACUGUUGGCUCAUUGUCGUAGUACAUCUUGAGUGGCCACGGGAGAACUAACAACAGGUGCUGUUAGCACAGUGUCCUGCACUAUCGGUGCAGCAUCAACAGGUAUCAAGAAAAAAGAUUCCUAAAUCAUCGGAGUGGGUACGUAUACCCGCUUCUCCUCAAGGCUAAUUUCUUGGGGUACCCUGCUCCCCCCCUGAUCAUCCCAUCCUCGAAAAAGACAGCGUGUCUCGUUUCUUCAAACUUAGUAUGUCGUCAGGACAGUAGAAACGAUAACUUUUUGACUUAUUUGGAUAGCCAAUGAAAUGGCAACUGACUGUCUUAGGAUUUAGUUUCCCAAUAUUUAGGUUAAAUACUUUAGCCUCAGCCAGACAGCCCCACACACGCAAAUAAUUUAGUGAGGGCUCUCAUCCAGUCCAUAACUCAUAUGGUGUUUUAGAUACCGACUUACUGGAAACUCGAUUAAGAAUGUGAAUGGCAGUUUUUAACACCUCCAACCACAAAUUAAUCCGUAAAGUGGAGUAACUUAUCAUACUUCUCACCAUAUUCAUUAAGGUACGGUUGCGUCUUUCAGCUACUCCAUUCUGCUGAGGCUCGCCCGAUGUGGAGUACUGGGCAACUAUGUUAUUUUCCUAUAGAAACCUUACAAAAGAUCCAGGAAUUUGGCCAUAUGGGAUAUGUCGACCGUAGUACUCCCCCCACACGGUCGGAUCUUACUAUCUUAAUCUUUAAAUUAUACUAAUUUUUUACUUCAGCCUUAAAUAUCUUAAAUUUAUCCAACGCCUCUGAACAUUCCUUAAUUGGAUAAAUAUAACCAUAACAUGAAAAAUCAUCUGUGAAUGUUAUAAAUGAAUCAUAACCAUCCACAGAUGUCACAGGAAACAGACUACAGAUGUCUAUGUGAAUUGUUUCUAAAAUUUCUGUACUUCAUUUGGCGUCUUUCCUAAUUUUCUUAACAUACUUUCCCUUAGGCCCCGUUUGUUUCGCUAGAAUCAGGUGGAAUUGGAAUCGGUUUCCUCAGCUGGCCUGUUUGGCUGCACACUGAAUCGGAAAACGACUUUCCAGUUGUUUCCACAGGCUGAAUCGAACAAGUAUGAUAGAUUCUUAGCCUCUCAGAUGGAAAAGGAUUCCGAGCGAUGAGCACCUCAUCUUGCGACUCGUCUCCCUCCACCUCCCCGUCCCGAUGGAGGACCCCGUGAGCCGCUUCCACCCGAUGGAGACACCGAACAGCCUCGCGCCAGCCUUGCUGCCGUCGUCGUCAUCGUUGUGCUCCGUCCCCGCCGCCUCGGUCGGCUCGGCGGCCACGGGCGCGGGGCCGCGGCACGAGGGGAGGAGCUCGAGGACCGACGGCAGCGGCGGGGGCAUGGCGGCGGCCUCCGACGAUACGCCGGAGCAGUUCCCUACCGCGGCAGCCGUAGCCUUGGCGGCCUCAACCUACUGCGCGGCGGCGUCGAGCUGCUGGGUGGUGGCGUACUUGGACAUGAGGAGGAGGAUGUUGUUGCAAAGCUUCUUCAUCUAGCCGAGCUCCUGCGCGAGGCGUGCGUUCUUGCGGCGCAGGCGGUCGUUCUCCUCGCCCAUGUUGCCGCCAUCGGAGGUCGCUGUCCCGCCGGAGCCCGACCUAGCCGACGCCUGCGACUGCAGCGGCGGGGGCUCCGAGGAUGAGCUCGACGACAGCACCUGCUCCUCACCGGAGUACAUCGACGAUCCCACGAGCAGCGCUAUCAGGAUGGCGGUGGCGGCGGCGGCAGCCACCGUGACUGCCCCGUCGCCGCCACGGCUGGCGUCACCUUCCGGCGGUGGAUGUCGCAGAGCAGCCACUUCUCCUCCGCCGGAAGCAGUCGUUGGCGAACUCCCACGGGUCCGGCGGCGCUGAAGAAAGAAAGGAGGAGGAAAAUGCGCUAGGGUUCCAGAACCAGCACGUGUGGGCGUUUUUGCUCCCGCGAAACGAACGGAGAACCGUCCAUCGUGAUGAACGACGCAGAUCAGCCGGGCCAGAUUAGGCCCAGGCGGGACAGCACUUUGGCGGCCCAGGCCCAGGUUGUGGUUUCCAUAUUUAGUUAUCCAAACAUAAUAUGGAAUUUAAUUCAUGGAGAAGAAUUCCAUCAACACCCAAACAAAAAAAUUGAAUUGAAUCAAAUUUUGAUAAUUCAUUUCUGGUGGAAUCCAAUGUCUAGAAUAUAAUUCCUGGAAUGGGUUUCAAUUCCUGCGAAACAAACGGGCCCUUAAUGGAAUCGAUGCAUUGCUCUAAGGAUGGAAGAAUUGAUUCCUUAAUUAAUCAUUCAAUUCCCCCCUUGAAAUAUGGCCUAAACGACCAUGCCAUAAUUUCGAAGAUAUGUCAUCAAUUGUUUUUCGCUUAUUUCUUACAUUCAUAGACGAGGAGGCAUUCACAUUCUCAGCACUUACAACAAUCACAUUCUCACAAAGUGAUAGCAAAUAAAGCUCAUCUUGUUUGAAGGCAAGACCAACACACUUAUUAUUAAACUUGAUCUUAUAUUGUCCAUCACCGAAGUGACAAGCAAAACCAUCACUGUAUAAGCAUGAUACACUUAUUAAAUUUCUACGCAAAAAGGGUACAUAGAGAACAUCUCUUAGAUGAAGUACAAAACCAUCUACUAAUUCUAAUGGGAGUUCUCCAAUGGCUUCAACUUCAGCUUCGACGCUAUUUGCUACUUUAAUGCUUCUUUCUCCUCUUUGCAGGGUCCUCCUCGUAUGGAAUAUCUGUAAUGAAUUUGCAACAUGAAUAGUUGCACCUGAAUCAAUCCACCAAGUAGAUUUUGCAUAAGUUAAAUACAAGAAUUCAUCUACGAAUGUAAUAAGUUCCUCACCUUUCUUACACAGAAACUUCAUGAAUUCCACACAAUCCUUCUAGUAGUGUCCCUUCUUCUUGCACCACUUGCAAGUGUCCUUGUCCACCACAUCUUCAUGGUUUGAUCUCUGAUAGUGAUCAUUUAGUGGAGCCUUUCCAUGUUCUUUAGAAGAAGAGGUAUUGUCCCACUGAAGUUUUUCUUGUGGCUUAGAAUUAUUGCUAUGAUAAUUCCUCUUCUUAUUUUAACAUGGUAGAAAUAUAAGAAAUUAGAUAAGGAUGAUGAGGGUUCUAGAAUUAGGAUAUUUUGUAUGGAAGAGUGUGAAAGUUGCCACAUGGCAACACCACAAUAAUCAUGAGUACCUAUAAAUAGAGGUGCCUCCCUCCCUCCUAGCCAUAUCAUGGCAUAAGAGGUCUCAAGUAGGAGAUUGCAAGGUAGCCAUGUAGUGUAGUAUUGUUAUGGUAGGAUAGCCACAAAAAGAGUAUACAAGUGAGUCUUGUAUCAAAUUGAGUAGUAAAUAAAGGUUUGAGUUUCCUUGCAGAGAGUUGGUCCUCCGCAUUGGUGUCAGUGCGAAUGUCUUCUCGAAGUAGUGUGGGUAAGGGUAUACAAAAGAAGUGGUAGAACACUACUUUGGUACCACUUCUAGGAAGUCGGUGUUAAGUUCGGGGCGCCGAUUUCUCAACAAUUGGUAUCAGAGCAGGUUGGUCAGGGACCGUCAUUAGGAGGAGUUUUGUGGUGAGUACGGGACACUCAUAGUGGUCGGUAUAGUUGUUAGUAGGUGCAGGGCGCUUACAUUGCUUGGUGUGGCACCGAGAGGUGCUAAGGGGAGACUCUGCUAGAGAUCACAGUCCGCGACUGUAAAAGAAUGCUAGUCUGGGACCAAGCGUAGGUGAUGCUGGGUGUCAGUUGAGAUGGAGGAUUUCUUGAGCGCAAGAGGCAUGAGGAAGCUCAAUAGCCACAACUAUGGCUAUUGGCAGACUUAUAUAGAGUCCUACUUGAUGGGUCAGGACCUAUGGGAGGUCGUAGCAGGCAUCGAGAAAACUCCUGCAUUGAAAGAGAACGCGGAAGCCUUGUGGAAAUGGUGAAUCAAGGUAGGCAAGGCUAUGUUUGUGUUGAAGACGAUGAUCGUGGAAGACCUGGUAGAGCACAUCAGAGACGCGGAGACACCAAAUAAGGCCUAGGAGACAUUGGCAAAGCUAUUCUCGAAGAAGAAUGAGGCACGAUUCCAGCUCCUACAGAAAGAGCUUGCAGGUAUCCCACAAGGAACUCUUAGUAUUAACAAGUAUUUUACUAAGGUGAAGAAUAUCUGCCGGGAGAUAUUUCAGCUUGACCCGGAGAAGAGGUCAGCGAAGCUCGGAUGAGAAGGAUCAUCAUCAACGGUCUAAGACUCGAGUACAAUGGGUUAAUGGCUGCAGUGAGUGGAUGGCCAGUAGAGCCAUCCUUAGUGGUGCUGGAGAACUUAUUGGCUAAUCAGGAGGUAUUAGCCAAGAAGAUGGGCAACAUCACUUUGGAUGAGAAGGAUGAUGAGGAGGCACCCUUCAUCAGGAAGAAGGAUCCACUGAGAGGCUAAGGAGAGGUGAAGGAGUGGACAAGAGGUGAUAGCCGUUGCCCAAAGAAGAGCAGCUAUUCAAGGGGAGCUCAACAAGAGAGCAGUGACGAAGAUGACGAAGAGUUGGUCAAGAACAAGAGGAGAAUAAGAGGUGAUGCUUCAACUUUUGUAAGAAAGGGCAUCUUACACGGGACUGCAGGAGUCUACAGAGGCACUUAGAAGGAAACAUGGCUACAACAAAAGAAGUUGUCCUGAGUGGGUGGCUAACUGAAGAAGAGUGGGAUGCUGUGGCAGCAGCCACAAUUGAAGAUGAUGGAGCUUACUUCAUGGAAGACUUGACAAAAGGUGAAACUCCAUCAAAUAGCAAGAAGAAGAGUGGGAUGCAGAAGGUGGCUUCUCCUUGGAGGUAAGAGAUCCAGAUACUUCAGAAGGAUUCAUAGUAUUUGGAUAUGAUAGUGAUGAAGAUUGGGAGGCUCUAAGAGAUGAGGAGGAAGAUAUUAAAGAUGAGAAGAUAGAGCCUAGUCUUCAUGAUGAUGAGGAGCCACAAGAGCAUGGUGAAGAUAGACAUGGAGCAUUGGUGAUCCAUGAAGAUUUGGAGGAGCAUGAUAAGCGAAGAAAAUUCCGAAAGGACGCAGUUGUGAAGAUCUCAGGUACGACAAUGCUUCUCCGGCUAAAGUUAUUUUGCCCUCGUACAAGGAAGCAUCUAGAGGAUAGACAACUAGAAGGGUGAAGAAGAAAGAAGAGAUGCAUGGAUGCAUCAAGUCUGCAGGGAACCUCCAACUGAAGACAAAGGCAUAUGAGUUGAAGGAAGAGAAGACCAUGUCACGAGGGUAAGUGAAGAAAAAAAUUCAUAAUGGCAGAGCGCAGACGAUCCAAGAGCAGUGACACGUAUGGUUCGACCGCCCAAGACAAGUAUGCAUUGAGAGGGAGUGUUGAAACAUGCAAUGCAUACUUGGAACAUUCUAGAAGAUUAUGGAGAUCUCAAGAGACUAAAUUUGCCAUGUAUAAGGAUAAGAUCAUGGCAAGGUAAGAAGAUUCUAGAAAAUUGGAGAGAAUGUAUGAGCUAUAGUGCCAUGCUUCAUGGUGAAGUGUGGAAUACUCUAAAACUAGAUAUUUUAGCAUGGUAGAAAUAUAAGAAACUAGAUAAGAAUGAGGAGGGUUCUAGAAUUAAGAUAUUUUGUAUGGAAGAGUGUGGAAAUUGCCACAUGACAACACUACAAUGAUCAUGAGCACCUAUAAAUAGAAGUGCUCCCCUCCCUCCUAGCCAUACAAAGGCAUAAGAGGUCUCAAGUAGAAAAUUGCAAGGUAGCCAUGUAGUGUAGUGGUGUCAUGGUAGGAUAGCCAAAAAAGAGUGUACAAGUGAGUCUCAUAUCAAAUUGAGUAGUGAAUAAAGGUUUGAGUUUCCUUGUAGAGAGUUGAUCUCCCGCAUUGGUGUCAGUGCGAAGGUCUUCUCGAAGUAGUGUGGGUAAGAGUUUACAAAAGAAGUGGUAGCAUACUACUUUGGUGCCACAUCUAGGUAGUUGGUGUCAAGUUCGGGGCGCCGAUUUCUUAACAUGAAACAAUUGAAUCAUGUAACCCUUUUCAUAAACCUUUGAUUAGUUGUGUUGCCUGAAUGUGGUUCCAAUAAAAGAUCUGAUAGGACAUGCUAAUUCAGGCUAACUCCUGAUUUGUUUGAAUUGUAUUAGCAAAACUAAAAGUAAGCACGAUAGUUUAUAAUUUGUUGUCCAACUUUUAGCGGUGGCUAACCUUGGAUUCUUGCUUUUUUAUGGAGGGUCUAGAUCAGAGACAGUAGUACUAGCUCAAUUUUUUCACACUUCCAAAUAGCAGUAGUUAGGAUAGGGUAAUAUUGAACAGUAAUACCUGACAUAAUUUAGUGCCGAAUUCAAAGUCAUUAUCUCAUUUAAACUUGGGUUUCUUCUCUUUCAGUUUUGUUUAUCUUGAGACUGAUGUCAUGCUGUAAUCAUUUACAUGAUAAACGUAGGAGUAAAAGGGCCAGGAUACCAAAUGUACGGGUACGGAUUCAGUAUGUGUUAUUUGGAUUAUGUAGAUGACAAUCGACAAGACUGGGGUUGUUUUUCAAAAAUUAUAGUCUUCUAGAAGAAUAAAAGGAAAAGGAGGUAGAAAAUUUUGAUGUCAGUCUUAUCUCAUGAAAACAUCACCUUUGUGUGUUUGUAGUUGAGCCAAGUGACUAACUAGACAUAUUUCUAUAAAAGGGUUACCAAACUAGUUAAGCUCCAUUUUUUUCAUUUAGUUUUCUGUUUUGCCUGACUUCUCUGCCCACAUGAACUGCAUGCAAAAUUAUUUUACAUUAUAUAAAACUUUCUUAUCCAAUGUGCUGGACCCUCCGGUAUCUCUGAUUCUAGGUCAUUUUGAAAUAAUUCAUGAUCCUUCUUGUAUGUGCUUACCUGUUCUUCCUAAUUGCUUUUUGUGUUGUUUGGACCAUGGAAGUUAUUCCUGAUGGAUAAAAUGAGAAACUUUUCAGAAUAUUGAGUGUGAUGAGGUACAUCAGUUUUGAAAGACAUAAAUGAUGUGUUCAUGCUCUCAAAGGGCAAGCACCAAGUUAAUGACAUGGGUUUGUUGCUGCCUGAGCAGCUAAUAUGUUCAUGUAAACAAGAUUUUGUGUGCAUAGAUUGCAAUUAAUUCAGUCUCAUUAGUAUUUUGUUAAUGUUUUCGCUGACUAAAAAAAAUCUCCAUUGUGGUUCGAGUCAAUUGGAGCAAGAGAUGCUAUCAGGACUCGAGAGCAAGAGAUGCUAUCGGGACUCGGGAGCAAAAGAGCGAUGUUGUCAAGAGACUCGAGGCAUACAUCCAUGAGAUGGAUUAUUUUAUGGGAUGUGCAAAUUUAUGUUGAAAAGGAAUAUAAGAUUCAUGUUUUCUGUAGUUUUUAGUAUUCAAACAAUAAAACAAGUUUAAUCCAUGCUCUAUUUUGCUUCUGGUUAUGUUACUUGGCAAAUUGUACCAUAUUGUUAUUUAAAUGUUGGUAGAAUUUUUGAAUCUGAUGCCUCCAUAUGAUUUAGGCCUUGUUUAGUUCCUUUUUUCCCAACUUUGGCACUAUGCAAAAAGAAGAUUCCCCAUCACAUCAAACUUGGGUACAUGCAUGGAGUACUAAGUGUAGACGAAAUCAAAAACUAAUUGCACAGUUUUGUUGUACUUUGCGAGACGAAUCUUUUGAGCCUAAUUAGUCAAUGUUUGGAUAAUAAUUCAUAAAUACAAACGAAAUACUACAGUUGCGCAUUUAUGGCAAAAUGCAAACUUUGCCACUCCUAAUUUGGAAACUUAACAAGGCCUUACUCGACAGAUGAUCCUGUAGUUGCCCAUCUGCAAAUCGUACGUGGACCAGACUACACGAUCAUUUUGGUAGGAGUUAGUGUGGUUAAGAUUGAGUUAGAGAUAAGGUUAGCUUGUUGGAGUAGCGUAGGUUUCAUAUACAACAGACUAUAUUUGGGUAAACUCGUGUCAGGCAUGUAAAUAAUAUGGACCAAAGAUAUUCUAGAAUAAAAGGUACAUGUACAUUGGAUUUGGAGUGCCAUAAAGUACUUGCACAUAGUUUCAGUGGUUCAUCCUCGUGAACACAGCAGCAAAAAAGAAAAAAAAAACUAAGACUCGAUUAGACGAUAUAUGGACUGCAUACCUAGAAAAUUACUAAGAGCGUUUUUUAAAAAAAAGAAAAUUUACUUAAGGAUUUGUAACGCAAUAUCACAGCAGCGUCUGAACGUACGCUUAGGGAAAUCUGAAUUGUAACAUCGAUGUGUCGAUGGUGUCGUCGGGGUCGGUGUGAUUUGCGAGGCCGUCGGAAUAAUCGAUGCUAUGGCUCGGUGGUGCUCGCUCGGUCGAAGAGGCCGGAGGCGGAUCCAGCAAACGGCGCCCCACCCUCAUUCGGCCACUCCAACCCUUGCACCGCCUCUUGCCGCCACCUUGUCGGCUUCCUCCGUGCUCGCGAGGAUCUGCCCUGCCGGCUAGUUGCCACUGCUCACGCUAGCCCGCACGAGCCCAUCCCCUAUUGGUCGCCGCUCGUGCGAGUAAGCUCGCCGUCGCUCACGAUGUUGGAUAUAUAAGCACUUUUAGUUUUAACUUAAUCCAGAAAUAAAUCAUGAAUAUGAUGAACAAGCAGCAGAUUAAACUAGACAUGUCUACGCAAGAUCUAGACAAGUCUAUCAUUGCAAAUAGAAUCAGACAUUCUACCAUACUAUCCAGUGCUAUCAGACUGCAACAGAUCAUAAUAGCUAGUAUGGAAGACAUAAUGUGAGUUAAGAGAACGUACGUUUCUUUCUUGAUGAAAACCGGCUCCUGGACGACUACCGGAUAUAGCAGGCGACGACGAUCAGCAGCUUGACGUUGUUCGCGACGACGAGUGAGACCCGAGCGACGAAGAGGUAGACGAGCCGUGGUGAAGGAGUCGACGAAGAACUUGACGAAGCGGAGGAAGCGAUCGAGCAGUCGCGCAGAGCGCUUCCCAAAAACCUUAUUCGCCCUCUCCCGGUACAGGAUCGCUGAAGACGACGGUUCCGGUAGGUCGCAUAUAUAGGAGAGCCCAUGAUUCUCACGUCGCGAUCGUGAUCUAAACCGGUUAGGAUUCCAUAUAUCUCGCUGACUUAACGACCAAGUAACCAAAAAAUAAAACGGCGAGGCGAGGCGAGGCGAGCGAGCGCGCGCGUGUGGAGCUCUCCUUCCCUCCCCACACACAUAGCUUGGAGGAGUGGAGACAACUUCCAUAUUUAAGUUGGUCAUCCCUCCCCUCCACUAGCAAUGUGGGACUAAAGACUUGCACCACUCCACCUCUUGCCCACAUGGGCCUUUGAGAUUUAUUUGAAAUUCUGAAAUUACUUAUGGGCUAGGCCCAUUAUUUCAACAGGUCUGCCCUGCCGCCGCCGCCAGUACGCGAGAGGAAGAUAAGAUGAGAUGAGAAAGAAAUGAAGAAUUAAGAAAAAAAAUGGAGGAACGAAAAGUGAUAUCAUAACUUAUAACUAUAUUACGAUGACACCCCUCGUGAUCUUUUCUAUAAUACCCUUAUACUACAUAUACUACUCCACUAUACUACUCAUACCACACGUGAGGGUUUUAGUAGUACACAAUUAAUCUGGACUAUUGGAUUACUAGUCCUUUUCGAACACUAGUAUAUGCUAGUAUUAUGCACCGUAAAAGACCUCAACCCAUCUAUGUACAUUGGCAACAUCGGUCUUUGGGGGCAUCCUCUUCCAAACAAUUGCCUGAGGGAAGGUGAUGCACCAAAGCAGGGUCCCCAGGGAAGAACUGAAGAAGAUCAUGGGAUAGAAUUCUUUUAUCUGGACUUGGGUGGCACUUGGUGUUCUGUUGUUCAAGAGAAGCUGGAGAAUUGCUUACUUCCAACUCCCCGACAAGCUGUACGACAAAGUUUAUAUGCUAGUUGCUACUACAUGGGCAAGACAACCUCAAAUCGAUUACGAUGAAGCUGCUGCGAUGGUUGGUUCUUCGACUAAAUUUAGCCAAGGUAUGCAUGAAUAAAUGGAAGUGGAGAGAAGUCUGUUCGGUGCUUGGACUUCUGUUACUACUACAUAAUUCUGGUUUCCUUUUUGUCACUGUUAUAAGUCCUGUGCCGAUCCACAUUCUUUGGGGAUAGGAGUUGUAAUAUUAACUAAUGAGAUGGCGAAGGGUAUAUUUUCUUAAGCAGCUACCAAGAACCUGAAUGCCAACAUGGCACAACGUAGAUGCAUUACUAUGCAUAUAGGCAUGCAGUAGUUGCCAAUUAUUGCCGCCAACCCAUGUAAAAAUUUCGGCAAUAAUACAUCACUAGUAGUUGUAGUUGGAGCAAGUGUUGUGCAUGGAAGGGGCAUUACAGAACGUUCUAUACUCUUGCGCUCCAUGCUUUACUGUGUGCCUGCUCCAUUUCUUACUGGUAAAAGCUUUUGGCUCUGAUACACGCAGCGUAUCUUCACUUUGGUUUCCGCUUGCCUUGUGCUGUGCUUAGAAUUAGUUUCUCUAGUAAACUAUUACUAUGUUAAAGUCAGUGGUGGGUGUAGAGUCCACCUACACGGCGAACAUACCACUAAUAUCAAGCCCUGGUGUAUAUUUGUUUAUACCAAGGGUUCCUGAAUCCUGAGCGGGAGAGCAGAGGAGCGGAUCUGCCUUCUAAGCGCUACGGUUGCCGUCCCUCCCUACCAGGGGUGCACCGCGCUCCGGCCGCCGGACAUGCCGUCGCCUGGCGGCGUUGGGAUCGCCGAGAGAAAGCCUAAACGUCAUUUAGGUUGUAGUUCUCGUUUUCUGGACUGGGCCUGUGGACGUUGGUUCCACGUUAGGGCUAAAAGGCCCAGUAGGCCGAAGUGGACACCGUCAUCCUAAGGCAGUGCCUUUCUUAUUUGUUUCAACAAAAAGGGCGAUUCUACCGUUCCAUUACUUGCACAGGUUGCAUCAAAUGAAGUGCUGAGUGUAGCUCAACCGGUAAGAUUUCUUGUAGUGAAACUUAUCCACCAGAGUUUUAGUCCUUGACUCGGCGCUGGUGCUUGCAUUUCAGAGGUGCCAGUUGUGACUUUCUCAAUCUCGAGGAUCUGUCGGUUCAGUCUUUCGGAGGUGCUCAUAGGAGUAGGAUUGCGUGCAUAUGUUUGUAGGGAGCGAGUGUGCGUGCGUGUUGUGAGCGUAUGUGUCUGUAAUGUGUUUCGCCAAAAAAAGAAAGGUUGCAUCAAAGCUAUUGUAGAAUGGCUCUACCUACCAAUCUUUUGUUAGUCAGAUAAAUAGUUUUACUUCAACAAUUUUGUUCCAUCGAUAUUUUGGCAUACUAUGCACAGAACGGACAUGCUGAUUCAAGUAAUAAAAGAUCAUAAAGUAUGUAUGAAUCUGUCAAGCAAACAUGAUUUUUAGGAUCAGAAAUUUGAUAGCCGUAAUAAAAAUUUUAGCUUCUGAAGGUUGGUGACAUCAAUUAGGAGCAGCAUCAAUUCCAAUUUUAUUUUCUAUCCAUCAGUUAAAAUUGGCAAUUCUUCACCAGCUCUAAUUGUUAACCAAACAGAAAAAUAUGUUCAAACAUUUCAAAUACAUAAGAGAAGAUUAUGUCUCCUUAUUAUGCUCAAGAGUCAAGAGCAGAGUUAUUGCCUCAAACACUUGUCAAUUUGUUGGUUACCAUGUGUUCAACUUAGUUUACAGUGUCAGAAAAUUGAUUGCUAGUUUUUCACUUCAUUCGGUGACAAACUGACAACUACAUUCGCAGUUGGUGUCUUGCCACCAGGCUUGAAGGCAACUUUAUGCAUUCGUUACUCACACACAAGCCCAGCACGUAAAAUUGCAAUCAACACAAUACUCGAAUUUUGUAAUUUUUCAGUACUGUUCACAAGUUACAGGACACUGCUGCUAACGUACAAGGUGUCUGGUGUUAGCCAUGAACUAAGUACAUGUACAUCAUUACAUACGCAAUCACUAGUGCGAAGAGCUAGUUAAUAAACAAAGAUCAACGAGCUGUCGCGGGCAUCAGCAGCGAUUCAGAAACUCCGGCAUCAAGUUCCUGUGUGUCAGAAAGCAACCUCCGAUCUUCCUCUGCAUCUUCUCUUGAAGCCAUCAGCCUCCACGUGUCUAUGAUACUCCUCAUCGGCCGUCCUCCUCCUCCUCCCAUGGCAUCCGUCGUGGUAGCCGGCCGGCGCCGGGACAUCCGUGUAGCCGCCACCGUAAGGCACGUCAUAGUGCAGGUAAGGACCACAUGCCCACGGCGUCGCACCGAAGAAAGGAUCGUAGCACGCCGGCGGGCCGAACGGGUUCCCGUAUCCGUAUUGCUCGGGGUAGCCUGCGGCGGGCUCCCCGAUUCCUGCCGACGAUGCCGCCGCAGUCUGCUUCGUUCUUGGCUCACGCGCCGCCGUAGCCGCCGCGCUCGUCGACGUUGAUGAAGCGCUCCCGUCGCUGCGCUCCGAGCAGGCGGUCGCCGUGACGUGCCUCCAGCUCUCCUGCGAGGCGAACGCACCCGGCGACGGCGUGGGCUCCGCGUUGCUGCCGGCCGAGCUCUUCCGGUUAUUGUCUGCGCCGCCCGAUCCGCUUCCUGCGGGCCUCGCCGUCGCAAGGAGCUUGGCGAUGGUGGCGCGCAGCGUCAGGUUGGGGAUCAGGUCGUCGGCG
RNAcentral lists this long non-coding RNA (95289 nucleotides) under Setaria italica (foxtail millet). RNAcentral describes it as "long non-coding RNA (SITA_LNC003451)". The record is from RNAcentral. Lineage: Eukaryota; Viridiplantae; Streptophyta; Magnoliopsida; Poales; Poaceae.